RNAcentral lists this long non-coding RNA (133278 nucleotides) under Triticum aestivum (bread wheat). RNAcentral's name for it is "long non-coding RNA (TAES_LNC006422)". The record is from RNAcentral. Lineage: Eukaryota; Viridiplantae; Streptophyta; Magnoliopsida; Poales; Poaceae.
UUUUUUUUUUUUUUGAUAAAAGAAGGGCUUCCCCCUUCCGAUUUUCAUUAAUGAAAACCUAAGCAUCCACACUAGACAAGCUACGACAGGAAGCAAACGCGAAAAGAGCUUGUAGUUUGUGCUGUAAAACUUGUAAUCCUGGAAAACCACAAGGUUUUCGUAGUAAUUCUUUGCACUUGGACAUUUGCAGUCCUGGGGAAGUACACUCUGUGUGCCCUCCACCCUUUGAAACGAAGGGUUUCUGCUCUCUGGGAGCAUAUGGGAAUUCCUGAGCUCAGCAACGUCGAUAGUUGAGCCAUUGAUACUUUCUUGGUAAAACUGAAUUUCUGCCUGAUUUGUGCAGAAAGCCAGAAACGCAAGGAAAUGGUCUAAUUCUUGCAGCAACUGAGGCAAAAGCCGUCUCCCUUCCCCAAAACAUAUGGAUAUGCGAAUUCACUCGUGUCUCUGGGAAAAAUAUGUGAGCGUGUAAAGCGUGCAUACUCAUGUUUCUGGCAAAAGGAGAAAUAAAGACUUAAUGAUCUUUAUUUAUAGCUCAAGAAAUUCGACAUAUGCACUCCGGGGUUGCGGAAGAUGUAGAGAGAGGGAGGGAGGGAGCAUGGCACACUUGGGGGUUUCAGAAAAAGAAAACUGAACGGAGAAAACUAUAGGAUUUAUUAGAAAAGUUUUGAAGGAUUGUGAAAAGCAUGGCACAAAUGCACUGUGGCGCUUUAUUCAGCAGAAACCUUUAUUUUUCUUGCUUUAUUAAGGUUAUUUUCUGCAGAAGAGACAUACACAGCUGGUGCUGCCCUCCGACCUCCAGCACGUUUUUUGUUUGACACGGGUGCCGAUGACUUGCUGAAAGAAUCGAGAAGAGGUGUCUAGAGGGGGGGAGGGGGUUGAAUAGACUUUAAUCAAGAAAAGUUGCAGUUUUUAAUUCUUUAGGUUCAUAUGGAGUAUUAGCACAAGUUUAAACAUUCACAAUACAUAUCAAGCAAGCAUGCAAGCAUACAAAGAGUAUAUGAGCAGCGGAAUGUAAAACAAUUGCAUAUGAAGGUAAAGGGAGGAGUUUGAGGGAGCAAACACAAUGUUGACACGGAGAUUUUUGGCGUGGUUCCGAUAGGUGGUGCUAUUGUACAUCCACGUUGAUGGAGACUUCAACCCACGAAGGGUAACGAUUGCGCGAGUCCACGGAGGGCUUCACCAGCGAAGGGUCCACGAAGAAGCAACCUUGUCUAUCCCACCAUGGCCGUCACCCAUGAAGGACUUGCCUCACUAGGGUAGAUCUUCACGAAGUAGGCGAUCUCCUUGCCCUUACAAACUCCUUGGUUCAACUCCACAAUCUUGUCGAAGACUCCCAAGUGACACCUAGCCAAUCUAGGAGACACCACUCUCCAAGAAGUAACAAAUGGUGUGUUGAUGAUGAACUCCUUGCUCUUGUGCUUCAAAUGAUAGUCUCCCCAACACUCAACUCUCUCUCAUAGGAUUGGAUUUGGUAGAAAGAAGAUUUGAGUGGAAAGCAACUUGGGGAAGGCUAGAGAUCAAGAUUUAUGUGGUUGGAAUGAAAUAUCUUGACCUCAGCACAAGUGUAGGUGGUUCUCUCUCAGAAAAUAUGUAUUGGAAGUGUAGGCAUGUUCUGAUGGCUCUCUCCUCGAAUGAAGAGUGGGUGGAGGGGUAUUUAUAGCCUCCACACAAAAUCUAACCCUUACACACAAAUCACCAAACUCAGUGGGACCGAAUCAUGAAACUCGGUCAGACCGAUUUAGUUCAAAAUGUGAACGCUGGGAUUCUCGGUGGGACCGACAUGUCAACUCGGUGGGACCGAUUUUGUUAGGGUUAGGGCAUAAAGUAAUCUCGGUGAGACCGAUUUUGGUAAUGGACUAACAGAGAGUUGGUCAGGUAAACUCGGUGGGACCGAUUCGCUCAUCUCGGUUGGACCGAAGUGUUACGAAAGGGAAACAGAGAGUUUACAUUGCAAUCUCGGUGGGACCGAUCGCUCAUCUCGGUUUGACCGAAACGUUACGAAGGGAAACAGAGAGAUUACAAUCCCAUCUCGGUGAGACCGAGAUCCCUAUCGGUGAGACCGAAAAUACUAGGGUUUCUGGCAGUGGCUAUGUUAACUGAACUCGGUGGUGCCGGAUAGAAAUAAUCGGUGGGGCCGAGUUGGAUAUUUGGUGUGGGACAUAUGUGGAUAUGAGAAAGUAGUGGAGGGUUUUGGAGCAUAUCACUAAGCAUUUUGAGCAAGCACCUCAUUAAGCAACACCUCAUCCCUUCUUAAUAGUAUUGGCUUUUCCUAUAGACUCAAUGUGAUCUUGGAUCACUAAAAUAGAAAAUGUAGAGUCUUGUGCUUUGAGUUUGAGCCAAUCUUUUAUCCUUAGCAUUUUGAAGGGUCCACUCUCUAAUUCAUGCCAUGCCAACCAUUGAGCUUUCCUGAAAUAUUCAUCUUGGAAUAGUAUUAGCUCAAUGAGCUAUAUGUUGUUAGGAAUUACCAAAACCACCCAGGGAUAGUUGCAUUCUUGCCACCGAGUCGUCCCACUCGGUCACACCGACAGGGUCAGUUUAUAUAUACGGACGGGCCAAAAUUUGAAAAAAAUUCCGAACCUCCUCGCCCGCGCAUAACCUACUCUGCCUCCUCGGGUCUUCGGAUCGUCCUCUCAUCUCCAGCGACCUACCGUCGCUGGUCUCCGCCGCCGUCAACGGAAAUCUUCACCGCCGUUGCCGCCGUAGCAAGUUCGUCGUCGAACUAGGGUACGAACUUGAUCAUUGUGCUAAUCCUUAACUCCGAUUCUUAGCACAUUGCUUUACCAUGAUUCUUGCCACGAAUGAAAUCAUCCUGUCCAGCGAAAACAUCCCGUAGACUAGUUUUGAUUUGAAAAUUUAGGGUUAGGUCUCCGCCGAAUUCAUCUCGGACCGACCGAGUUGUAGAAAUCGGUCUCACCGAUUUUGGCUUAGGCCAGAGCACACGCGUUUUCGGUCUGACCGAAAAUUGCAAAUCGGUGUGACUGAGUUCAAUUCUCUGUGAAACCCUAGCAGUCUCGGUGCCACCGAACUGUGACUCGGUCUGACCGAGUUCACUAGUUUAGGUUCCAAAAACUGCUUCGAUAUCACCGAGUUUACAAACCGGUAGAUCCGAAAUGCUUUUUGUGAAGAACUAAAACUAAGUUUUUGAGUCAAUUAUUUUUGCAAAACUCAUGUACUUUGUGAUGCUCAUCUACUCUACCUCAUCUAUAAUCCAUUCACAGGGUCUGCUGAUAGUUUGCCUGCACGAUGUCUGACCAAAGUGAUAGCCAGAACAAGUCUGAGGAGCAGGUUCAACUGAGUGAGGGCACUAGUCCCUCCAGUUCAUCUGAUGAUGGCAGUAGGAGCACACCAAGUAACUUGCCAAAGGCAGCCACCAGAACAAGAAAGAAGAAGACCUCAGAUUCAGAGGAUGAGGAUUAUGCGGCUGUUGAGGAAGAAGUCAGCUCCAAGAAAAAGGUGCUGAAAAAGGAGUACGACUCAGCUGCUACAGUCAAGCCAGGGAUGCAUAAGAAGGCACCAGCAAAGAGAGUCCCCAUGUCUAAGGCCAAAGCAUCCACUGCUGAAGCCUCCAAGCCUUCUGAAGAGGCGGUUGGAGAAGGCAGGAAAAGGAAGGAAAGGGUCAAGAAGACCACUGCCAGAGUGCUUGGCAGAUCAUCAAUUAUGAGAGACGAUGAUGAAGAGGAUGCUGCACCAACACCCAAAGCUCAAAAGCUCAUGGGAGAUGCAAUCAGAUUAGGGGCUGCUCCAUCUAAGCCCAAAGCCGCUUCCAAGGCAGCUGCUCCAGCUCAGAAGCCCAAGAGAAGCACUAGAAACAUUUCUGCUGAGGAAAAGAAUAAGGCCCCAAUGCCUGAAGCUGCCGAAGAAGAUGGAACUCAAGUGCUAAGGAAUCUGAAACCCAAGAUCCCUGACCACAAUGAUGCACAUCCAGUUGCAGAAAACAUGAAAACCAGGAAGGAUGCAGGAUUGAGAAUAUGGAGAGAGUCUGAUCCAUAUGCUAUCAGGAGAAGAACUGCCGUGGACUACAGGUUUCACACUAAGGAACAUCAGGACUUCUAUGAGACAGUGUUGCUUGACAAGAAGCCCAUUGUGUGUGACAUGAAAUGGGUAGACUAGGAGUACAUCCAGAAGAACGAAGAUCACUAUCCUGGAGUGUAUAACGGUUUUAAGGCAUGUGGAGUUGAUGAAUUUGUUGCACAAAAGCUCACCAAGUGGAAUGAUCAGCUGAUCAUGCAGUUCUACUCCACUGCCCAUUUCUAUCCAGAUGGGAAGAUUGUAUGUAUGUGUGAGGGUACUAGGUACCAAUCCACGGUUGAUGAGUGAGCCAAGCUUAUAAAUGCUCCUGAGGAACAUGAGGAUGACUUGGAUGUUUAUGCAGAGAAGAAGAAAGACCACAACACUAUGGCCAACGUGUACAAGAAGAUCCCAGAUGCUGCCUUGGAUACACACAAGUUCGGACCUGUCCACUACCUGUUGUCUGGUAUGCCUACCAUAAACUGGAUAUUAAAGCACACACCACUACCCAAGUCAGGUGAUCACAAGAUGAUCAGAGGACAUGCUAUAAACAUGCUACACAUAUUUGAUGUCCCACAGAAGUUCAAGGUCAUGAGCCUGAUUGUUGAGACAAUCAAGAUGACUGCUGUUGAUCAGAAGAGGAGUUGUGGGUAUGCUCCACACAUUUAGGAGCUCAUUAACUCAAAGAUGGGCACCGGCACAUAUCUUUUGGACAAGGAACACCUGUCCAUCUAUCCUGAAUUUGAAGACAACACUGUGGUGAUGGAUGAAAAUGAACCAUCUUCAGCUCAAGCACAUGAGAAGAGAGAGAAGGCAAAGGCAGAGAAAGCUGCAAAAUGCCAACUGUUGAAGAGGCAUCUCAAGUGUUCUUGAAAUACAAACAAGAUCAACUUGGAUAUCCGAUCCAAUCCACCCUGAGGAUUGAGAAGGGCUUGGCCACCCUGACUAAGAACCAAGAGAGUUUGGAGAGGAUCGUUGAGCAGAAGUUCUAUGAUCUGGAUGUCAAGGUAACUGAGAUCCAAACUGUAGUUGAGCAGCUACAGGAGGAAGCAGAGGAGAGGAAGGGAAAGUCUACUACUAAUGCUUUCAAGCGAGUGCCACGAGGUCCAAGGUCUGCUGCAGUGCCUGUGACAGAUACUCGAGCUUCAGUGUCAACACCAGCAGCCAUGGCUCUAGUGCCACCUCUAGCACCCACUCCAUCAGCUCCAACUACUUCAUCGGAAGCCUUCGUCCUUGGAGUUCUCUCUACACCACCUCCUGAAGAUCAAGCCUGAGAGUCGUUUAGCACUAUGCAUUUUUGAACUUUUUGGUAACUUGUUGUCAAAGGGGAAGAAAAAUGUAUAGAUCAUAGGCUUCGAGAGAGAGUGUUGUUUUUUAUCUCUCUUGCUAUUUUGGUUACUUCUUUAUUGAGUGCUUGUGUGAGAUACUUUAUGUCCUUGUGAGAUACUUGUUGAUCAUGUGUUUGAUCAUAUGCUACCCUUAAUGUUUGGUUGAAUGAUGCUAUCUUUUAUAUCUCUUAUAUGAUCAUUCACUUGCUUGGUGAUGAGUGCAUGCUUUUAAUCUCUAUCAUUUUGAGCGCUCCACCAAGAUGCAUGUGACAUGGAAGAGUAACCCAUGAUCCUAAUCGAUUGUGCAUUUGCAUUCAAAAGCAAAUUUAAAUAAUGCACAAAUUUAGGGGGAGCUCUUGCUUAUCACAUACUUCUCAAAGCGACGAUGUUUUUCAAUCUUAUUUAUCAUUUGUCGAAGCUUUGAUCUAUAUGUUGUCAUCAAUUACCAAAAAGGGGGAGACUGAAAGUGCAACUAUCCCUGGGUGGUUUUGGUAAUUCCUAACAACAUAUAGCUCAUUGAGCUAAUGCUAUUCCAAGAUGAAUAUUUCAGGAAAGCUCAAUGGUUGGCAUGGCAUGGAUUAGAAAGUGGACCCUUCAAAAUGCUAAGGAUAAAAGAUUGGCUCAAGCUCAAAGCACAAGACUCUACAUUUUCUAUUUUAGUGAUCCAAGAUCACAUUGAGUCUAUAGGAAAAGCCAAUACUAUUAAGAAGGGAUGAGGUGUUGCUUAAUGAGGUGCUUGCUCAAAAUGCUUAGUGAUAUGAUCCAAAACCCUCCACUACUUUCUCAUAUCCACAUAUGUCCCACACCAAAUAUACAACUUGGCCCCACCGAUUCUUUCUAUCCGGCGCCACCGAGUUCAGUUAACAUAGCCACUGCCAGAAACCCUAGUCUUUUCGGUCUCACCGAUAGGGAUCCCGGUCUCACCGAGAUGGGAUUGUAAUCUCUCUGUUUCCCUUCGUAACGUUUUGGUCAAACCGAGAUGAGCGAUCGGUCCCACCGAGAUUGCAAUGUAAACUCUCUGUUUCUCUUUCGUAACACUUCGGUCCAACCGAGAUGAGCGAAUCGGUCCCACCGAGUUUACCUGACCAACUCUCUGUUAGUCCAUUACCAAAAUCGGUCUCACCGAGUUUGUGUAAUCGGUCUCACCGAGAUUACGUUAUGCCCUAACCCUAAUGAAAUCGGUCCCACCAAGUUGACAUGUCGGUCCCACCGAGAAUCCCAGCAUUCACAUUUUGAACUAAAUCGGUCUGACCGGGUUUCAUGAUUCGGUCCCACCGAGUUUGGUGAUUUGUGUGUAAGGGUUAGAUUUUGUGUGGAGGCUAUAAAUACCCCUCCACCCACUCUUCAUUCGAGGAGAGAGCCAUCAGAACAUGCCUACACUUCCAAUACAUAUUUUCUGAGAGAGAACCACCUACACUUGUGUUGAGGUCAAGAUAUUUCAUUCCAACCACAUAAAUCUUGAUCUCUAGCCUUCCCCAAGUUGCUUUCCACUCAAAUCUUCUUUCUACCAAAUCCAAUCCUAUGAGAGAGAGAGUUGAGUGUUGGGGAGACUAUCAUUUGAAGCACAAGAGCAAGGAGUUCAUCAUCAACACACCAUUUGUUACUUCUUGGAGAGUGGUGUCUCCUAGAUUGGCUAGGUGUCACUUGGGAGCCUCCGACAAGAUUGUGGAGUUGAACCAAGGAGUUUGUAAGGGCAAGGAGAUCGCCUACUUUGUGAAGAUCUACCCUAGUGAGGCAAGUCCUUCGUGGGCGACGGCCAUGGUGGGAUAGAGAAGGUUGCUUCUUUGUGGACCCUUCGUGGGUGGAGCCCUCCGUGGACUCGCGCAACCGUUACCCUUCAUGGGUUGAAGUCUCCAUCAACGUGGAUGUACGAUAGCACCACCUAUUGGAACCACGCCAAAAAUCUCCGUGUCAACAUUGCGUUUGCUCCCUCAAACUCAUCCCUUUACCUUCAUAUGCAAUUGUUUUACAUUCUGCUGCUAUACUCUUAGAAUUUCAUGUGUAGGUUGAUUACUUGUUUGUGCCAAGUUGCUAAAAUCUGCCAAAAACUAAAAUUGGGAAAAGGCUAGAUUUUUAUUUGGUCAAGUAGUCUAAUCACCCCCUCUAGACAUACUUUCGAUCCUACACUUGCGCCUGCGACCAGCACAACGCCUUGCACAAGGCGUCGAAACAGAAUGGCAUCGUCGAAACCCGGUAUCUGCAAUCCUCUGCACGCAGACACCACAUUAUUACAUUAAAAGUAAAAGGAAACAACACAUUAUUGCAUUACAUGUGUAAUUGUACCACAUUAUUACAUUAAAAGAAAAAGUAAACAACACAUUAUUGCAUUACAUGUGUAAUUGUAAAUGUCCACGCAUCGGUUAACUAUUAGUUUGGUCUCUCAUAACCUCACACCGCGAGCAAAGAAGAGAAAAACAUGCUAGACCCUAGAUGUGGGGGAGGAAGAAACUCGUAAGGGGCAUGUUUGGUUCUCUACAUGAAUUUGGGCCUCCUGCAUGUGUGGUUCGGUUGAGUCCGGCUGAGUAAAUAUAGACAGUAAACCAUGUUGUGCGGUGCGUUUGGUUGCCCACAAAGCUCCAGGCUGCAUGGGAGCACAACAGACGUACGACGUUUGGUGGCAAGUCUUUGCUCGCCAGGUAAAACUUACUAUUGUUUGGCUACGUGUAAGACAUACAAUGUGGUUACAUCUUUUUUGAGCGGUGAGGUUACAAGCACACACAGUCAUAGGCACACCACUUUCAACAAGCAUACACACAGUCAUACACACCACUUUCAACAAGCGUACGCAUGGCUACAUUAACAAGCAUACACAUAGCGACACAAUCACAGGCAUAAUAGUGACAAGCAAACAUAUGCAUAACCACACAAUUGUAGGCAUAAUAGCUCAGGACUGACAGACUAACAAACAAAUAUUACAACUCUUGGAUCAUGACAAGUUGGGUCAUGAUGGACGCACUUGACCACCACACCCGCGUCAGAAAUGUCGAACACGAUGGACUUGAAACUAUCCACAGUGAGGACCUAUGGCAAAACAAACCCACCCUUGAUCCAUGGCAUGCCUCCCGUUGACAUCUCGGAGCUUGACCCUUUAGAUGCAGCUGGUGUUCGUCCUCAGAACGAUUUCCUGACGGUGCCCAUGUGCCAGCGGAAGGCAUCAUGGAUUAGAAGUAAAUAUAACCCAGGUGCUAAGCACAUUGCAGAAGUGGGAUGGACUUAGGUCCUCAUGAAAGCGGCCGAUAUUUGUCGGCCUCCCUUGACUCCUCUAUGAAUUGUUGCCUUGUACUACAACCUUGCCCUUGGAACGGCUGCCCGAAGAAUCAUUGUCAAUGACCAACUUGUCGGAAGGGCAAUGCAAUGAAGAACAUUAGGCUCAACACGCCAUUGAACUACAAUGUGUAGGAUCAUGACAAUGUGUAUGUCAUGGGUGAUGAUCUUCACUGCUUGUUGUCAUAUAGAAGGAUAAAGGUGGUACAAGGAUCAGAACUACAAUGUGCAGAACCAACCCUCAUACCAACGAUCACCCUAAUACAUGGACUGCACAUCAGUGAAGAUCAUUGCUCAAGACAGUCCAAGUUAAAUUGUUCUUCCCCCAAUUCAGAUUGAUAUACCCCCUAAUAGAACUUAGCUUUCCAAAAAUAUAACCCUACAUUGACACACAAACUGAGCCCUAUCAACCCCUAAAUAGAUGUAACACCCACGAUGCGGCUAUAUCUCCCAUGUGUCGGGGCACGACUUAGAGGCAUAACCGCAUGGUAGGCAUGUCGCAAGAGGGGUAAUAUUUACACAUCCCAUGUACUGAAUAAGAAUGAGAUAAAGAGUUGGCUUACAAUCGCCACUUCACACAAUACAUAAAAAUAGCAUUACAUCAUCCAGAAUACAAUCAAAGUCCGACUACGGAACCAAAUAAAGAAAGACAACCCCAAAUGCUAGAUCCCCGAUCAUCCUGACUGGGCUCCACUACUGAUCAAAAGGAAAUGAAACACCACAACAAAAAGGUCUUCAUCGAGCUCCCACUUGAGCUCGGUUGCAUCACCUGCACUGGUAUCAUCGGCACCUGCAACUAUUUGGAAGUAUCUGUGAGUCACGAGGAGUCAGCAAUCUCACACCCGCGAGAUCAAGACUAUUUAAGCUUAAGGUAGGAAAAGGGGGGGUAGUGAGGUGGAGCUGCAGCAAGCACUAGCAUAUAUGGUGGCUAACUUACGCAAAUGAGAGCGAGAAGAGGAGCAAAGCAUGGUCGAGAAGCUACAAAGAUCAAGAAGUGAUCCUGAAACUACUUACGUUCAAGCAUAACACGAGAGCGUGUUCUCUUCCCGGACACCGCCGAAAAGAGACCAUCACGGUUACACAUGCGGUUGAUGCAUUUUAAUUAAGUUAAGUGUCGAGUUCUCUACAACCGGAUAUUAACAAAUUCCCAUCUGCCCAUAACCGCGGGCACGAUUUUCGAAAGUUCAAAACCCCGCAGGGGUGUCCCAACUUAGCCCAUCACAAGUUUCUCCCAGGACGGCCCGAUCAGACUCGGAAUCCCGAUUACAAGACAUUUCGACAAUGGUAAAACAAGACCAGCAAAGCCGCCCGAAUGUGCCGACAAAUCCCGAUAGGAGCUGCACAUAUCUUGUUCUCAGGGCACACCGGAUGAGCCAGACGUCGGGUUGGCAUAGACCCUCGUUGCCCAGGGGGCACCGGACAUCGCUCAGGUUGGACCAACACUUAGAGAAGCACUGGCCUGGGGGGGGGGUUAAAAUAAAGGUGACCCUCAGGAGCGCGACUCCCAAGGGAAAAGUAGGUGGUGGUGAGGCAAAUGGUAAAACCAAUGUUGGGCCUUGCGGGAGGAGUUUUAUUCAAAGCGAACUGUCAAGGGGUCCCCAUAACACCGAACCGUGUAAGGAACGCACAAUCAAGGAACAUAACACCGGUAUGACGAAAACUAGGGCGGCAAGAGUGGAACAAAACACCAGGCAUAAGGCCGAGCCUUCCACCCUUUACCAAGUAUAUAGAUGCAUUAAUAAAAUAAGAGAUAUUGUGAUAUCCCAACAAUAAACAUGUUCCAACAAGGAACAAACUCCAUCUUCACCUGCAACUAGCAACGCUAUAAGAGGGGCUGAGCAAAAGCGAUAACAUAGCCAAACAACGGUUUGCUAGGAAGGUGGGUUAGAGGCUUGACAUGGCAAUAUGGGAGGCAUGAUAUAGCAAGUGGUAGGUAUCGCAGCAUAGCAAUAGAGCGAGCAACUAGCAAGCAAAGAUAGAAGUGAUUUCGAGGGUAUGGUCAUCUUGCCUGAAAUCCCGCAAGGAAGAAGAACGAGUCCAUGGAGAAGACAAACAGACGAAGUCGAACGAAUCCUCACAAAUGCGAUGUUAUCGGAACUAACCCGAAGAAGCAACACCGGAAAGAAGCAAACAACAAGGUAAACAACCAUCACAUAACCAUGGCAUGAUGCACAACCAAGUAUGAUGCAUGUCCGGUUUAAAGAGGCAUGGCAUGGCAAUUUGCACAAACAAAACUACAAAUUAAGUGGAGCUCAAUAUGCAACGAGUUCCAUAUUGACGGAACACCACAUGACUUAUUUAGUUCUCUCCCGGUUAUGUACCCAACAAUAUUAAAUGUUGGUUAGCAUGGCAAGAGGUGAAGCAUAAUAAAACUACUUAACUAGGCAAGUUUAAAAGAGGCCGUAGCAACAAACAACAAGUCCGGAAACUCCUCAUGUGCAUAUUUUUAGGUUUGGUACUGUUCUGCCCUAAACCAUAUUUUAGAGUUGUUAAGCAUGCAAAGUAAAGCCACCAUGUUAAACUAGGCAUUUUUCUACCCCAUUUACAUAUAAAGUUUAUUUAAAAUGGAGCUACGGUUAUUUAGUUAUGAAACAAACCAUUUUAGCAUGGCAUAAGAGUAAAUCUACACAAACAGCAAUUUAAACAUUUUAAACAUGGGUGAAAGUGACAUAUUAUGAAACUAGACACAAUUUUAAGCAUUUUUCAUAUAUAAAGUUUUUACAUGUGAUGCAUAGUUUGUGAGAUAUUAAAUGUAUGAACAUUAGGGUCUUUUCUGUAAAACAACGUUCUCUGGAAUAUUAGGAAAAUCGUAGAACAGGAAAAAAAUAAGCCACGGGCCGAAACUGGCUGGGCCACCACAGAGCAGAGGGGCUGUAGGAGCUGCUCACUCAUGGGCUAAGGCCCGGUUCGGUGGUGAGGCAGGCAGGCUUGGAGCUAGGCCAAGCAGGAGGCCGCGGCUGGGCUUUGGGAGAGGGGCGUGCUGGGCCGAUGGGUGAUACGUCCAUUUUGCAUCAUGCUUUAAUAUCAAUAUUUAUUGCAUUAUGGGCUGUUAUUACACAUUAUGUCACAAUACUUAUGCCUAUUCUCUCUUAUUUUACAAGGUUUACAUAAAGAGGGAGACUGCCGGCAGCUGGGAUUCUGGGCUGGAAAAGGAGCAAAUAUUAGAGACCUAUUCUGCACAGCUCCAAAAGUCCUGAAACUCCACGGAAGACGUUUUCCAAAUAUAUAAAAAAUACUGAGAGCAAGAACUUCACUAGGGGGGCCACACCCUGCCCACGAGGGUGGGGGGCGCGCCCUACCCCCUGGGCGUGCCCCCCUACCUCGUGGGCCCCUGGUGGCCCUCCGGUGACCAUCUUCUGCUAUAUGAAGUAUUUCGAUGGAAAAAAAAGAAGCCAUCUUCUCGGACGAAACUCCGCCGCCACGAGGCGGAACCUUGGCGGAACCAAUCUAGGGCUCUGGCGGAGCUGUUCUGCCAGGGAAACUUCCCUCCCGGAGGGGGAAAUCAUCGCCAUCGUCAUCACCAACGCUCCUCUCAUCGGGAGAGGGCAAUCUCCAUCAACAUCUUCAUCAGCACCAUCUCCUCUCAAAACCCUAGUUCAUCUCUUGUAUCCAAUUCUUGUCUCCAAGUCCGGGAUUGGUGCUAGUAGGUUGCUAGUAGUGUUAAUUACUCCUUGUAGUUGAUGCUAGUUGGUUUAAUUGGUGGAAGAUCAUAUGUUCAGAUCCUAUAUGCAUAUUAAUACCCCUCUGAUUAUGAACAUGUUUAUGCUUUGUGAGUAGUUACUUUUGUUCCUGAGGACAUGGGAGAAGUCUUGCUAUUAGUAGUCAUGUGAAUUUGGUAUUCGUUCGAUAUUUUGAUAAGAUGUAUGUUGUCUCUCCUCUAGUGGUGUUAUGUGAACAUCGACUACAUGACACUUCACCAUUAUUUGGGCCUAGAGGAAGGAAUUGGGAAGUAAUAAGUAGAUGAUGGGUUGCUAGAGUGACAGAACCUUAAACCCUAGUUUAUGUGUUGCUUCGUGUUGGAUCCAUAUGUUUCAUGCUAUGGUUAGGUUUACCUUAAUAUUUUUGUCGUAGUUGCGGAUUCUUGCAAUAGAGGUUAAUCAUAAGUGGGAUGCUUGUCCAAGUAAGGGCAGCACCCAAGCACCGGUCCACCCACAUGCCAAAUUAUCAAAGUACCGAACGCGAAUCAUAUGAACGUGAUGAAACCUAGCUUGACGAUAUUCCCAUGUGUCCUCGGGAGCGCUUUUCUCUAUAUAAGAGUUUGUCCAGGCUUGUCCUUUGCUACAAAAAGGAUCGGGCCACCUUGCUGCACUUUAUUUACUUUUGUUACUUGUUGCUCGUUACAAAUUAUCCUAUCACAAAACUAUCUGUUACCACUUAUUUCAGUACUUGCAGAGAAUACCUUGCUGGAAACCGCUUAUCAUUUCCUUCUGUUCCUCGUUGGGUUCGACACUCUUACUUAUCGAAAGGACUACGAUAGAUCCCCUAUACUUGUGGGUCAUCAAGACUCUUUUCUGGCGCCGUUGCCAGGGAGUGAAGCGCCUUUGGUAGGUGGAAUUUGGUAAGGAAAAAUUUAUAUAGUGUGCUGAAAUUUACUGUCACUUGUUAUUAUGAAAAGUAAUCCUCUGAGGGGCUUGUUCGGGGUAUCUUCACCCCGACCAGUAGAGCAAAGAGUUGCUCCUCAACCUACUGAAAAUGAAAAUGAAAAUGACGGCUUUGAAAUUCCUUCGGGUAUGAUAGAAAAACUGCUAGCUAAUCCCUUUUUAGGAGAUGUUGUUAAGAAGAAGGUCUUCCCUUUAUCUUUUAAGGGAGACACAUCGACAUGGUAUAGGCUAUGUGAUGAUAUGGGUCUUGGAAUUACAAACGAUUGAAAUUGGAAUUUCAUCAUAAGUUUUAUCCUAUGCAUCUUGUUCAUCGUGAUCGCAAUUACAUAUAUAAUUUUUGGCCUCGCAAAGGAGAAAGCAUCGCUCAAAAUUUGGGGAGGCUUAAAUGAAUGUUAUAUUCAUGCCCCAAUCAUGAGCUCUCGAGAAAAAUGAUUAUUCAAAAUUUCUAUGCUCGGCUUUCUGAUAACAAUCGCACCAUGCUUGAUACUUCUUGUGCUGGAUCUUUUAUGAUGAAGACUAUUGAAUUCAAAUUGGAUUUAUUGGAAAGAAUUAAAUGCAACUCUGAAGAUUGGGACCUCGACAAAGGUAAGGAGUCAGGUAUAAGACCUAGUUUUGAUUGUGUUAAAUCUUUUAUGGAUACCGAUAUUUUUCGUAAAUUUAGCACUAAAUAUGGACUUGACUCUGAGAUAGUAGCUUCUUUCUAUGAAUCUUUUGCUACUUAUGUUGAUCUCCCCAAGGAGAAGUGGUUUAAAUAGCAUCCUCCCAUAGAAGUAAAAGUAGCUGCACCUAUUAAAGUUGAAGAAAAGAUUGUCACUUAUAAUGAUCCUAUUGUUCCUACUUCUUAUGUUGAGAAACCACCUUUCCCUGUUAGGAUAAAGGAUCAUGCUAAAGCUUCAACUGUAAUUCAUAAAAGCAAUAUUAAAAUAUAUACACCUCCUGAGCAAGUUAAAGUUGAACCCAAUAUUGCUAUUGUUAAAGAUCUCUUGUCCGAUAAUAUUGAUGGGCAUGUUAUUUAUUUUUGUGAUGAAACUGCUAGAAUUACUAAACCCUGUGCUAAAGAUAAACCUAGACAUGUGGUAGGCAUGCCUGUUAUUUCUGUUAAAAUAGGAGAUCAUUGUUAUCAUGGCUUAUGUGAUAUGGGUGCCAGUGCUAGCGCAAUACCUCAUUCCUUAUACAAAGAAAUUACGCAUGAGAUUGCACCUCCUGAAAUAGAAGAUAUUCACCAAUGGGAAUUGUUAGAGAUGUUGAAGUCUUGUGUGGGAAAACUAAAUAUCCUGCUGAUUUUCUUGUUCUUGGUUCCCCACAAGAUAGCUUUUGUCCCAUUAUAUUUGGUAGACCCUUCUUGAACACUGUUAAUGCUACCAUAGAUUGCAAAAGGGAUGUUGUUACUAUCGGGUUAGAUGAUAUGACUCAUGAAUUUAAUUUCUCUAAAUUUAGUAGACAACACCGUGAAGAAGAAUUACCUAGUAAGGAUGAAAUUAUUGGUCUUGCUUCUAUUGCCGUAUCUCCUAGUGAUCCUUUAGAACAUUAUUUGCUAGACCAUAAAAAUGAUAUGUUUAUGAAUGAAAGAAGGGAAUUAGAUGAGGUAUUCUUUAAACAGGAACCUAUUCUGAAAAAUAAUUUACCUGUUGAAAUCCUAGGGGAUCCUCCUCCACCCAAGGGUGAUCCCGUGUUUGAGCUUAAACCAUUACCUGAUACUCUUAAAUAUGCUUAUCUUGAUGAGAAAAAGAUAUAUCAUGUUAUUAUUAGUGCUAACCUUUCAGAGCAUGAGGAAGAGAGAUAUUGAAAACUCUGAAGAAGCACCGUGCUGCUAUUGGGUAUACUCUUGAUGAUCUUAAGGGCAUUAGUCCCACUCUAUGUCAACAUAAAAUUAAUUUGGAAGAAGAUGCUAAACCAGUUCGUGAUCAUCAACGACGGCUGAAUCCUAAAAUGAAAGAAGUGGUAAGAAAGGAAAUACUAAAGCUCCUUGAGGCAGGUAUAAUCUAUCCCGUUGCUGAUAGUCAGUGGGUAAGUCCUCUCCAUUGUGUCCUUAAGAAGGGAGGUAUUACUGUGGUUCCUAAUGAUAAAGAUGAAUUGCUUCCUCAAAGAAUUAUUACAGGUUAUAGGAUGGUAAUUGCUUUCUGCAAAUUAAAUAAGGCAACUAAAAGGAUCAUUACCCCUUACCUUUUAUCGAUCAAAUGCUAGAAAGAUUAUCCAAACAUACACAUUUUUGCUUUCUAGAUGGUUAUUCUGGUUUCUCUCAAAUACCUGUGUCAGCCAAAGAUCAAUCAAAGACUAUUUUUACAUGCCCUUUUGGUACUUUUGCUUAUAGACGUAUGCCUUUUGGUUUAUGUAGUGCACCUGCUACCUUUCAAAGAUGCAUGAUGGCUAUAUUCUCUGACUUUUGUGAAAAGAUUUGUGAGGUUUUCAUGGAUGAUUUUUCCGUCUAUGGAUCUUCUUUUGAUGAAUGCUUAAGCAACCUUGAUCGAGUUUUGCAGAGAUGCAAAGAAACUAAUCUUGUCUUGAAUUGGGAAAAGUGCCACUUUAUGGUCAAUGAAGGUAUUGUCUUGGGGCAUAAAGUUUCUGAAAGAGGUAUUGAAGUUGAUAAAGCCAAGGUUGAUGCUAUUGAAAAGAUGCCAUGUCCCAAGGACAUCAAAGGUAUAAGAAGUUUCCCUGGUCAUGCCGGAUUUUAUAGGAGGUUCAUUAAGGACUUCUGAAAAAUUUCUUGGCCUCUGACUAAUUUAUUACAAAAAGAUAUACCAUUUGUUUUUGAUGAUGAUUGUGUAGAAGCAUUUGAAAUACUUAAGAAAGCAUUGAUUUCUGCACCUAUUGUUCAGCCACCUGAUUAGAAUUUACCCUUUGAAAUUAUGUGUGAUGCUAGUGAUUAUGCUGUAGGUGUUGUUCUAGGACAAAGAGUUGAUAAGAAAUUAAAUGUUAUUCAAUAUGCUAGUAAAACCCUAGACAAUGCUCAAAGAAAUUAAGCUACCACUGAAAAAGAAUUCUUAGCAGUUGUAUUUGCUUGUGAUAAGUUCAGACCUUAUAUUGUUGAUUCUAAAGUAACUAUUCACACUGAUCACGCUGCUAUUAAAUAUCUCAUGGAAAAGAAAGAUGCUAAACCUAGACUUAUUAGAUGGAUUCUCUUGCUACAAGAAUUUGAUUUACAUAUUAUAGAUAGAAAAGGAGCUGAGAACCCCGUUGCAGACAACUUGUCUAGGUUAGAAAAUGUGCUUGAUGACCCACUUCCUAUUGAUGAUAGCUUUCCGGAUGAGCAAUUAAAUGCCAUAAAUGCUUCUCAUACUGCUCCAUGGUAUGCUGAUUAUGCUAAUUACAUUGUUGCUAAGUUUAUACCACCUAGUUUCACAUACCAGCAAAAGAAAAAGUUCUUCUAUGAUUUGAGGCAUUACUUUUGGGAUGACCCACAUCUUUAUAAAGAAGGAGUAGAUGGUGUUACUAGACGUUGUGUACCUGAGAAUGAACAGGAAUAGAUCCUACGCAAGUGUCACUCCGAAUCUUAUGGAGGACACCAUGCUGGAGAUAGAACUGCACAUAAGGUAUUGCAAUCUAGUUUUUAUUGGCCUACUCUCUUCAAGGAUGCCCGUAAGUUUGUCUUAUCUUGUGAUGAAUGUCAAAGAAUUCGUAAUAUUAGUAGACGUCAAGAAAUGCCUAUGAACUAUUCACUCGUUAUUGAACCAUUUGAUGUUUGGGGCUUUGACUAUAUGGGACCCUUUCCUUCCUCUAAUGGAUAUACACAUAUUUUAGUUGCAGUUGAUUACGUUACUAAGUGGGUAGAAGCUAUUCCAACUAGUAGUGCUGAUCAUAACACUUCUAUUAAAAUGCUUAAAGAAGUUAUUUUUCCAAGAUUUGGAGUCCCUAUAUAUUUAAUGACUGAUGGUGGUUCACAUUUUAUUCAUGGUGCUUCCCGUAAAAUGCUUGCUAAAUAUGAUGUUAAUCAUAGAAUUGCAUCUCCUUAUCACCCACAGUCUAGUGGUCAAGUAGAAUUGAGUAAUAGAGAGCUCAAAUUAAUUUUGCAAAAGACUGUUAAUAGAUCUAGAAAGAAUUGGUCAAAGAAACUUGAUGAUGCAUUAUGGGCCUAUAGAACUGCAUAUAAAAAUCCUAUGGGUAUGCCUCCGUAUAAAAUGGUUUAUGGAAAAGCAUGUCACUUACCUCUCGAACUAGAACACAAGGCAUAUUGGGCUAUUAAAGAGCUCAAUUAUGAUUUCAAACUUGCCGGUGAGAAGAGGCUAUUUGAUAUUAGCUCACUUGAUGAAUGGAGAACCCAAGCCUACGAAAAUGCCAAGUUGUUUAAAGAAAAAGUUAAAAGAUGGCAUGACAAAAGAGUACAAAAGCGUGAGUUUAAUGUAGGUGAUUAUGUAUUGCUAUACAACUCUCGUUUAAGAUUUUUUGCAGGAAAACUUCUCUCUAAAUGGGAAGGUCCUUACGUUAUCGAGGAGGUCUAUCGUUCCGGUGCCAUAAAAAUCAACAACUUCGAAGGCACAAAUCCGAAGGUGGUGAACGGUUAAAGAAUCAAACAUUAUAUCUCAGGUAAUCCCAUAAAUAUUGAAACCAAUAUUGUUGAAACCGUAACCCCGGAGGAAUACAUAAGGGACACUUUCCGGAACGUUUCAGACUCCGAAAAGGAAUAGGUAUGUGGUACGGUAAGUAAACCGACUCCAAAACAGUUUUUAAGGCAAUAUUUCUCCGUUUUGGAAUAUUUAGAAAAAAUAGAAAAAUAAGUAGCGUCCCGGGAAGGACACGAGGGCUCCACGAGGGUGGAGGGCGCGCCCUACCCUACUGGGCGCGCCCCCCUACCUCGUGGGCACCUCGUGCGCUUUCCGCUCCGUUUUCGUACACGACACGUAUUUUGGUCGGUAAAAAUUCAUUAUAUAAUCUCCCAGGGGUUUUGACUCCCGUAUCACACAAAAAUCUUCUGUCUUUGUUUCGAGCUGUUUUUCUGACAGAUCUAGAUUAUCAUGACGUCUCCAAGUGCUCCCAAGGACAAGUUCUUCGAGAAGGUCAUCAACCCUUACCUCACGGAGGUGUACCGACACCCUCAAACCAUUGAGAUGCGUGAUGGGUUGCUGCACAUCCAUGAUGCUGAGGGACCGAAGGGGACCGGAAGCAUGGAGACGAGGCUCGAAGCAAUGGAGCAACAAGUUUUCAAGUGUCAGGGGAUGGUGGAGCGUGGACUAAACUCCAACCACAUGAUGAUCGCAGAGUUCACCAACAAACACAAGCUGGAUGCCGACAACAUCGGGGAGACCAUCUUCAAGCUUCACGAGAAAAUCGAGCACCUUCAAGCUCAAAUCUAUGACCUGCAAAGCCAAAACUGUGAGUAUGAAUAUAGAUUCAAAAGGAUGAGUUUGGCUGCAGAUUUGAGGAUCCCGGAGACUCGGUCAUCCUUCUAUGAUGGUGAGCCUAUGCCUUGGAAGAAGGACGACAAGCCUACGCCAUCAACAAAGUCACCACCGUCUCCACCAACAAAGAAGAAUUGAGUAUCUGGUAUGGGCACUCCACUUGGCAACUGCCAAGCUUGGGGGAGUGCCCCGGUAUCGUAUCACCAUCACUUUUAUCUUUACCUUUUUUCUUAGUUCGAUCCUUUUGGUAAUAUCUUGAUCUAGUAGAAUAAAAGUUCCUAGUAUGAUCUAGUUGUGAGUUUUGCUUUAUUAUCCUUCUAUGUAAUCAAGUCCGUGAGCUAUAUAUAAUAAAGAUUAGUGUUGAGUCAAGGGCUUGAUUAUUUGCCAUGAUCCUAAGUGAAUAAAAGAAAAGAGAAAGAAAUAAAAAGAAACAAAGAGAUCAUGUGAGCCUUAUGGAGAGUAAUGAGCUCACAUAGAAAAAGUAUGAUGGAUAAAAGUUGUUGAGAGUUGACAAACAUAGUUUUGGUCAUCGUUGCAAUUAAUAGGAAGUAAUAAAGAAAGAGAGGUCUUCACAUAUAGAUAUACUAUCUUGGACAUCUUUUAUGAUUGUGAGCACUCAUUAAAAUAUGACAUGCUAAAGAGUUGACGUUGGACAAGGAAGACAAGUAAUGGGUUAUGUUUUCUUACAUCUCAGAUAAAUUAUAUUGUCUUGGAUCCUCCAACAUGUUGAGCUUGCCUUUCCUCCUCAUGCUAGCCAAAUUCAUCGCACCAAGUAGAGAUACUACUUGUGCUUCCAAACACCCUUAAACCAGUCUUGCCAUGAGAGUCCACCACACCUACCUAUGGAUUGAGUAAGAUCCUUCAAGCAAGUUGUCAUCGGUGCAAGCAAUAAAAAUUGCUCUCUAAAUAUGUAUGACUUAUUAGUGUGGGAGAAAAUAAGCUUUAUACGAUCGUGUGAUAUGGAAUAAAUAAAAGCGACAGACUGCAUAAUAAAGGUCCAUAUCACAAGUGGCAAUAUAAAGUGACGUUCUUUCGCAUUAAGAUUUUGUGCAUGCAAUCAUAAAAGCGCAUGACAACCUCUGUUUCCUUCUGCGAAGGGCCUAUCUUUUACUUUUAUCUCCUACCUUGCAUAAGAGUCAUGGUGAUCUUCACCCUUCCUUUUUACAUUUUAUCCUAUGGCAAGCACAGUAUGUUGGAAAGAUCCUAGUAUAUAUGGCUAAUUGGAUGUGAGUUUUCAUGAACUAUUACUGUUGACAUUACCCUUGAGGUAAAACGUUGGGAGGCAAAACUAUAAGCCCCUAUCUUUCUCCGUGUCCGAUUAAAACUCCAUACCCAUAAGUAUUGUGUGAGUGUCAGCAAUUUUGAAAGACUAUAUGAUAGUUGAGUAUGUGGACUUGCUGAAAAGCUCUUAUAUGUUGACUCUUUCCUAUGUUAUGAUAAAUUGCAAUUGCUGCAAUGACUGAGAUUAUAGUUUGUUAGUUUUCAAUGAAGUUUACGAUUCAUACUUGAAAUUGUGAUUGAAUUAUUACUCUAGCAUAAGAAAUCAUAUGACAAGAAUUAUAUAAGUUGAUGUUCUAAGAAUGAUCAUGAUGCCCUCAUGUCCGUAUUUUAUUUUUAUCGACACCUGUAUCUCUAAACAUGUGGACAUAUUUUUCGAUUUCGGCUUUUCGCUUGAGGACAAGCGAGGUCUAAGCUUGGGGGAGUUGAUACGUCCAUUUUGCAUCAUGGUUUUAUAUCGAUAUUUAUUGCAUUAUGGGCUGUUAUUACACAUUAUGUCACAAUACUUAUGCCUAUUCUCUCUUAUUUUACAAGGUUUACAUAAAGAGGGAGAAUGCUGGCAGCUGGGAUUCUGGGCUAGAAAAGGAGCAAAUAUUAGAGACCUAUUCUGCAUAGCUCCAAAAGUCCUGAAACUCCACGGAAGACGUUUUCCAAAUAUAUAAAAAAUACUGAGAGCAAGAACUUCACUAGGGGGGCCACACCCUGCCCACGAGGGUGGGGGGGGGGCGCACCCUACCCCCUGGGCGCGCCCCCCUACCUCGUGGGCCCCCUGGUGGCCCUCUAGUGACCAUCUUCUACUAUAUGAAGUCUUUCGAUGGGAAAAAAAUAAGAAGCCAUCUUCUCGGACGAAACUCCGCCGCCACAAGGCGGAACCUUGGCAGAACCAAUCUAGGGCUCUGGCGGAGCUGUUCUGCCGGGGAAACUUCCCUCCCGGAGGGGGAAAUCAUCGCCAUCGUCAUCGCCAACGCUCCCCUCAUCGGGAGAGGGCAAUCUCCAUCAACAUCUUCAUCAGCACCAUCUCCUCUCAAAACCCUAGUUCAUCUCUUGUAUCCAAUUCUUGUCUCCAAGUCCGGGAUUGGUGCUAGUAGGUUGCUAGUAGUGUUAAUUACUCCUUGUAGUUGAUGCUAGUUGGUUUAAUUGGUGGAAGAUCAUAUGUUCAGAUCCUAUAUGCAUAUUAAUACCCCUUUGAACAUGUUUAUGCUUUGUGAGUAGUUACUUUUGUUCCCGAGGACAUGGGAGAAGUCUUGCUAUUAGUAGUCAUGUGAAUUUGGUAUUCGUUCGAUAUUUUCAUGAGAUGUAUGUUGUCUCUCCUCUAGUGGUGUUAUGUGAACGUCGACUACAUGACACUUCACCAUUAUUUGGGCCUAGAGGAAGGCAUUGGGAAGUAAUAAGUAGAUGAUGGGUUGCUAGAGUGACAGCAGCUUAAACCCUAGUUUAUGCGUUGCUUCGUAAGGGGCUGAUUUGGAUCCAUAUGUUUCAUGCUAUGGUUAGGUUUACCUUAAUACUUUUGUUGUAGUUGCGGAUGCUUGCAAUAGAGGUUAAUCAUAAGUGGGAUGCUUGUCCAAGUAAGGGCAGCACCCAAGCACCGGUCCACCCACAUACCAAAUUAUCAAAGUACCGAACGCGAAUCAUAUGAACGUGAUGAAACCUAGCUUGACGAUAUUCACAUGUGUCCUAGGGAGCGCUUUUCUCAAUAUAAGAGUUUGUCCAGGCUUGUCCUUUGCUACAAAAAGGAUUGGGCCACCUUGCUGCACUUUAUUUACUUUUGUUACUUGUUGCUCAUUACAAAUUAUCCUAUCACAAAACUAUCUGUUACCACUUAUUUCAGUACUUGAAGAGAAUACCUUGCUGGAAACCGCUUAUCAUUUCCUUCUGCUCCUCGUUGGGUUUGACACUCUUACUUAUCAAAAGUACUGCGAUAGAUCCCCUAUACUUGUGGGUCAUCAAGACUCUUUUCUGGCGCCGUUGCCAGGGAGUGAAGCGCCUUUGGUAGGUGGAAUUUGGUAAGGAAAAAUUUAUAUAGUGUGCUGAAAUUUACUGUCACUUGUUAUUAUGGAAAGUAAUCCUCUGAGGGGCUUGUUCAGGGUAUCUUCACCCCGACCAGUAGAGCAAAGAGUUGCUCCUCAACCUACUCAACCUACUGAAGAUGAAAAUGACUGCUUUGAAAUUCGGUGGUUUUCUAGGGUUAGGGCGGUUUUCUGGAGCGUUUCGAAGCGUCCGAUCGGGAUCCGGUGGUUCCGAUCGGAGGGGGGUUAGAGAGCUAGUUGUGGGCUGUGUAGAGGGCCAUGAACUAAGAGGAGAGAAGAGAAGUGCAGCCCGGCAAGGUUUUCGGAGACCGAAAACGUCCGACGUUAGACCGGCUAUACUGCCGCUAUAGUUAUCCGUUGGGGCAUCAAACGAACUCCGAAUGCGAUAAAACUUGGCAGGCGACCUACUAACAACAUAACAACACCGCAUGCCAACUUUCAACCCAUUCCGAGAACAUUUUCCGACCACUUAUAAAAUACUAUUUCGGACGUGCCGCGGACGCGUGCAAGUGUGGAUGGGUUCAGAACGGAUGACGGAAAGAACUGGGAGACCCGGAUGAAUGCAAUUUUUGAAAACAUGAUGAUGCAAUGCACAUGAUGACAUGGCAAGAUGCAACACGCAAGCGAAUGACACGGCAACAGCAGCGAAUAACUGGAAGAUGCCUGGCGCAACGGUCUCGGGGCGUCACAAUAGAGGCCUGUAAAACCCUAAACCGGAUGCUAAAUCGAACCCUAAUCCGGCUGGGAAGGGCUUAUCGCCAUGUGAUGUCUACUACACAACCUUCUUCUUGUAGACGUUGUUGGGCCUCCAAGUGCAGAGGUGUGACGCCCCGAGACCGAUGUGCCAGGUGUCUUCCUGUUAUUCGCCGACAUUGCCAUGUCAUUUGCUUGUGUGUUGCAUUUUAUCAUGUCAUCAUCCGCAUUGCAUCAUCAUGUUUUCAAAACUUGCAUCCGUCUGUUGUCCGUUCUGAGCCCAGACACACUUGCACGCGCCCGCGGCAUGUCCGAAAUAUUAUUUUAUAAGUGGCCGGAAAAUGUUCUCGGGUUGGGUUGAAAGUUGGCCUGUGGUCUUAUUAUAGUGUAGAUAGACCACUUGUCAAGUUUCAUCGCAUUCGGAGUUCGUUUGAUAGCCCAACUGUUAAACUAGAGCGGCAUUAUAGCCGGGCACAUGUCGGACGUUUUCGGUCUCCGGAAACAGUCGCCGGGCCUCUCCUCUUCUCUCUUCUCAGCCCUUUGCCUUAUGCACUACCUCUCACCGCCAGGCCCUACCUAACCUCUCUUGUCAGCCUGCGACCCUCCUCACACGCGUGUUCGAAAAGCUGUCCCGGACCCGACCCGGACUGUCGCCACCUAUCGGUGUACUAGAGUAGGGGUACCCUAGUAUCCCGAACUUGUGCACGGGCAGUCGCAGCAUCCCGCGGCAAGGCUUGCCGGGUGACCGCCAAGGUCCUCCGUGGUUCCUUUGGAGCCAUUCAAGAACAAAGUAUCCAAACCAAGACACCACAAGACCCCGACAAGAGGAGCUUGCCGGGAAGGCCAACCAAGGCAAGGCGCUUAAGGAGACAAGACCCCGGCAAGAGGAGCUUGCCGGGAAGGCCACCCAAGGCAUCUCAAGGAACUUGCCGCGGCGCGCCUCGCGUCCCGGCAAGGCCCGGUGAGCGACAAGACAACGACCGCGGCAAGGCGCUUGCCGCGGCAAGCCACCACUCUGUGCCCGCGCUCCAGCACAUCCACCAACGUGUCGCUCUGGGACCCUUCCAGGCGUGCGUGGCGGGAGGCUGUGCAGCCAGCGGUGCGCAGUGGCGAGCGGCGCUGACAAGAUUGCCAUCGUGGCGAGCGGUGGCGUCCCUGACGGUCCCUUUUACACUGUUUAGGCGACACAGACGGGCAUUUAAUGCCCUUGUCCCCUGCCGUCAGGGUUAGGUAUGAUACACUAUAGCAGGUAGCUGUACCUACCGUAGCUCCUUUCCAUUUUUACCCUUUGUCUCCGUUGCCACCUGUCGGUGACCCCUUGAGCAUAUAAAAGGAGGCCCAUGUGCAACGUAGAGGGGGGUUCGGAAAAAAGAGAACACUCAGGCUCGGUCUCGUUAGCCGCUGGUGUGUACUGUAGCACUCCGCGCUCCCGAGCAAGAACCCAAUACAAACCACAAAGCAGGAGUAGGGUUUUACGCAUCCGUGCGGCCCGAACUUGGGUAAACUGCUCGUGUGCUUUGCCUCGAUCCGCUCUUCGUGCGACCUCCGCCCCCGCCGAACCGAAAGGGACUCGGUCCGCCGGUCCCAUAGGUGUUCGUGGAUUAGUCCCCCGACAUCUUUGGCGCGCCAGGUAGGGGGCGUCGAGGUUGUAUGAACUAGAUCCGGUGUUCACGCGAGCUAGAUCUUCGUCACCUUCAUCAACAUGCCGCCGAAGAAGAAGGCUUCAGAGGCGGCUGCUCCGUCCGCGCCUUACCCACCACCGCCGGAGCAAACGGCUGAUGGGGCAGACGCCGGUGGAAGAACGGGCGUCGACGAGGGAGCUCACGGUGCUGCCAGGUCCAAGGACAAGGCUGCGCUACCCAUCGGUGGCGUAGCCGGCUCCCACAACGAUCGGGCGCACUCCAAGACCUCGGCGUCUGUACAUGCACCGCGCCCAUCUCAGGAGGCGCGAGACCGGCAGCGUUAUGGUACUCACAGUACCAUGUGUUUGCUGGACCAAGAUCGAGCUGGUGGAUCUCGGAGUGCUCAAGACCAGCAUGCACGCCAACGUGCUGGCACGAGCGAGGUACGGUCGCCUGGACGGGACACUGCUCCUUCUAACAUAGUUAGAAGUCCGAGCAUAUCCCGCUCCUCGCACCGUUCACCACCGCCACCCGCCACUGCAGCAGAAGCUUUGACGCGAGCUCAACUGCUCCUGUACUACCCUCCAACGGCAGACAAGAUCGACGACUGGAGGGCCACCAUUCAGAGUCUCAUCGGCUUCGCCAACGGCGACACUCAACAGCAGCCGAGCACGUCGCAGCCACGGCAAGCCAUCCAAGCACGAACCGGUGGAGACAAGACCGGUGGGGGUGCAACCACUAUGCACUCUCCGCCCCGAAGGCCAAGAUCGCUGACUCGCCGGAUCCACCUCGACAGCGACUCCACCGCGUCAUCAGAUCCACGAGCUCGUCGCGAUCAGCGCCAAGUUCUUCAUGAACGACAGCAAGAAGACGCUCGUACACGCAUCGAGCGCCGAAGAGAAGCGCGACGUCAAUCGGACCAGCGCGCUGGGCCCUCUGUUGACAUGCAUGCGCCAGGGGAACCAGGCGGCUUGCCGUACGCGGUAGGUUGCCCUGCAUUUACUCGUGAGCUGCGGCAAGUCCAGUGGCCCAGCAUGAAGAAUUUCAAGCUAGAUGUACCAGAGAAGUACGACGACAAGUCGCAUCCGUUGGAGUUCCUCAGCAUCUACACCAUCGUGGUGCAUGCUGCCGGGGGAUGGGACGACAAGAUCGUUGCCAACUACUUCCCGCUGGUGCUCAAGCCCAACGUCAGGUCCUGGCUCAUGCACUUGCCGGACAACUCCAUAUCCUCCUGGGCAGACCUAUGCCAUCAGUUUGUCGGCACCUUUACAGGCGGCCACAAACCUCAUGGCCAAGAGAGUGACCUUCAUCUGCUCGCCCAGAAGGAAGGAGAGCCCCUGCGCAAGUACAUUCAGAGGUUCAGCCGUGUACAGCACAACAUCCCAGAUGUCCACCCCGCCGCGGUCAUCAGCGCGUUCCAUCAGAACGUGCGUAACCGCAGGAUGCGGGAGGAGAUGGCGAUGUGCAAGAUCAGAGACGUCAGCGAGCUGUAUGCCCUGGCCGACAAGUGUGCACGUGCUGAGGAAGGGAAUAAACUCCCUGGAGAGAAUGCAGGAGCAGGAGGAUCUGACAGCGAGGAUGAUGCCCCGGCAAAGAAAAACCGGCGGCGGAACAGGAAGAAGAAAGGCAAAGAUGUGCUAGUCGUUGAGCAGUCCGGCAAUGAAGGUGGCGCCAAGAAAGCCAAAGUUGGUAGCUCCGGCAAGGAGAUUGCCGCAUGCACCAACUGCCAGGCAGUGGCGGUCGCCGACAAGCAGGACGGCACCGACAAGCAGUACUGCAAGAUCCACUGCACCAAGGGCCAUGACCUCCAGAGCUGCAAGAAGGUCGAACAGCUUGUCCAGCAGCAAAAAGCCGAAUACGAGCGAUGCGACAAGGAGAGGGCCCAAGGUGGCGAUGGAGAAUCCGGCAAGAAGCGCGCCGGCCGGGGAGGACGCCGCGGCAAGGCCAAGCAGCGGCAAGGAGAUAGACCUUCCCGCGGCCGCGAUAAGGAUGAAGAUGACGAUGACGACGAAGACAUGGAGGAUGUCGAGACCAGUGAGCAGGAGUUCCAGAAAGCCACACAGGUCUUGUGCGUUGACGGCGGUGCAUGUCUGCAUACUUCGCACCGCCAACUCAAGCAGUGGGUGCGGGAAGUUAAUGCGGCGGAGCCACCCGUCGAGUCACGCAAGCUUCUGAAAUGGUCCAGCACGCCUAUCAUCUUUGAUAUUGAGGACCACCCUGAUCGCACAACUGCGGUCGGGUGCUUGCCGAUGUUGGUUUCACCAACUAUCCGCAACCUCAAGGUCACUAAGAUGUUAGUUGACGGCGGGGCCGACUUGAACUUGAUCUCCUCCGUGGUACUCCAGAAACUCCAAAUCCCUGACAGCGAGCUUGAAGAGACCGACACAUUCCAAGGAAUCAACCCGGGAAGGAGCAAGCCGAAGGGGAAGGUCACGUUGCCUGUAACAUUUGGCAGCGAGCUGAACUUCAGGACUGAGAGGGUCACUUUUGACGUUGCCGAUAUUCCAUUGCCUUACAAUGGGAUACUUGGCCGUCCAGCACUCGCCAAGUUCAUGGCAGCCUCUCACUACGCAUACAACAUGCUGAAGAUGCCAGGCCCGAUAAGCGUCAUCUCUGUCCCCGGUGACAAGAAGGAUGCUCUUAUCUGCGCCGACGAGAUCUACCGGGAAGCGGCAGCCGCAACAGAUCACAAGUCACUUGCCGUUGAAGCCCCCGGGGGGAAGAAGAAGACCAAGUCCGGCAAGAGUUCUGAUGCCCACCCCGGCAAGCGCACCUCUUCGGAGUGCUGCGCUGCCGUCGAGGACGCACCAUCGAGCUCCACCGGCAAGUGUAAGAAGACAAUGGCAGCUCCGCCAGAGACGAAGAAGGUGUCCGCCAAGGAGGAUGGCACUGGUGGCACCUUCACCAUCAGUGCCACUCUCGGCCCUAAAUAGGAAAGCGCGCUCAUUGCUUUCCUGCGGGCGAAUGUCGACGUGUUUGCAUGGCAACCGUCUGACAUCCCCGGUGUUCCCAGGAAAGUAAUUGAGCACCACCUUGCCGUUUGUCCUCAUGCGCGGCCCGUCAAGCAGAAGGUCAGGAAGCAAGCAGUGGAGCGCCAAGAAUUCAUUGCAGAAGAGAUCAAGAAGUGGAAGCAGCAGGCCUUGUUAGAGGAGUGCUCCAUCCUACAUGGUUGGCCAAUCCUGUAGUCGCGCGCAAGGCGAACGGGAAAUGGAGACUUUGUAUCGAUUUUACCGAUGUUAACAAAGCUUGUCCCAAAGACCCAUUUCCUUUGCCGCGCAUUGACCAGAUUGUUGACUCCACGGCCGGAUGUGAUUUGCUUUCAUUUCUUGACGCAUACUCAGGAUACCAUCAGAUCUUCAUGGCAGAAAAGGAUGAGGAGAAGACCGCAUUCAUUACUCCAUGUGGCACGUACUGUUUCAUACGGAUGCCUUUCGGAUUAAAAAAUGCUGGCUCAACAUUUGCAAGAGUAGUCCAUGUCGCUCUUGAGCCACAAAUACACAGAAAUGUGGAAGUCUACAUGGAUGACAUAGUGGUCAAGAGCAAGGACAAGGCAACUCUGAUCCAAGAUUUAGACGAGACCUUUGCAAAUCUGCGCAAGAUCAGCCUCAAGCUCAAUCCCGAGAAGUGUGUGUUUGGAGUCCCCUCCGGCAAGCUUCUCGGGUUCUUCGUGUCUCAGCGGGGAAUCGAAGCCAAUCCCGACAAGAUCAAGGCCAUUGAGCAGACUGAAGCACCAAAACGCGUCAAGGAUGUACAAAGACUUGCUGGUUGCAUGGCUACUCUCAGCAGGUUUAUCUCUAGGUCUGCUGAGCGGGCCCUGCCGUUUUCAAAUUAUUGAAAAAGGCAGGUCCAAUGAAAUGGACUCCGGAAGCGGAGGCUGCGCUGCAAGACUUGAAGAGAUACCUGUCCUCCGCUCCAACACUUGUCGCACCUAAGCCACAAGAGAAGUUGCUGCUGUAUAUAGCGGCAACCAAUCAAGUGGUUAGUGUUGCGUUAGUGGCAGAGAGGGAGGCAGAUGACGAGCCAGCAACCACGGCAGACGCAUCCAGCGGCAAGCAGAGGGCUUCCCCGGCAAGCUCUGGUCCCGACAAAGAUGGAUCCGCAGAUGCGCGAGGAGAUACAGAAGAAAAUGGUGCAGCGCCCAGUUUACUUUGUUAGUUCCCUUCUGCAGGGGGCUAGGUCAAGGUACUCUGGCAUACAGAAAUUGCUUUUCGGCCUUCUCAUGGCCUCGAGAAAGCUGUGCCAUUACUUCCAAGCACAUGAGAUCACAGUUGUCACUCGCUUUCCGCUGAAGAGGAUACUACAGAAUCCAGAAGCGACAGGCAGGAUUGUUGAGUGGGCACUGGAACUGUCAAGCUUUGGCCUCAAGUUUGAGAGUACUUCAACUAUCCAAAGCAGAGCAUUGGCAGAAUUCAUAGCAGAAUGGACGCCAACACCAGAUGAAGAAAUUCCAGAAACGAGCAUCCCCAUCAACGAAGCAAGCAAAGAGUGGCUGAUGUACUUUGAUGGUGCUUUUUCGCUGCAAGGCGCCGGCGCUGGCGUGCUGCUUAUCGCACCCACCGGAGAGCACCUCAAGUACAUAGUCCAGAUGCACUUUCCCAAGGAGCAAGCAACAAACAAUACUGCAGAGUAUGAAGGCUUGCUUGCCGGUCUCAGGAUCGUGGCAGACCUUAGGAUCAAGAAGCUCAUUGUCCGGGGUGACUCACAGCUUGUCGUCCGCCAAGUGAACAAGAGUUAUCAGAGUCCGUUGAUGGAAGCUUACGUCGACGAAGUGAGAAAGCUAGAAGAGCACUUUGACGGCCUACAGAUGGAGCAUGUUCCAAGAGCUCAGAACAGCAUUGUCGAUGGCCUGUCAAAGUGCGCUGCACUUAAGUUACCUGUGGAACCAGGGAUCUUUGUGCUCAAGCUGACUCAACCAUCUGUAACGCCAUCAACUGGACAGAGCAAGAAGAGGAAGUUGAUUUCUGGUGACUAUUUGCCGGCAGAGCUUCCCGAAGCCGCCGCCAAGAAGGUCCCCAAGAUCAACGCCAAGAGUGCUGAGGAGCAAUCUGCUCCGGCAAGCCCUAGGGUUUGUUCCGUUGAAGCAGAAGCUCCCGACAAGUUUUGCUCCAGCAAGCUUGCCGGGGAACGUCAAGCUCCGGCAGAGCCGCAGAUUCUCGCCGUAGAAGCGGAUGUUCCCGCAGCCGCAGAUUUGCCUUUAGUCCUUGUUGUCGAGCCACAAGCUCCAGCAUGGGCACAGCAGGUUGUCCGUUUCCUUCAGACAUGAGAACUUCCCGAAGAGCAAGAAGAAGCGGAAAGAGUAGCCCGGCAGUCAAGUAUGUACCAGUUUGUCGACAAGACACUGUACAGAAGAAGACUCAACAGUGUGAAAUUGAAGUGUAUUCACCGGGAAGACGGACAAAAGCUGUUGGCAGAGAUACAUGGAGGCAUAUGUGGUCACCACAUUGGCGCAAGAGCACUUGUCGGCAAAGCAUUCCAGCAAGGUUUCUUUUGGCCGACAACCUUCCAGGAUGCAACUGCACAAGUAACCAAGUGUGAAGCGUGCCAGUUCCAUUCCAAGCAGAUACACCAACCAGCUCAAGCUCUCCAGACGAUCCCUUUAUUCUGGCCAUUUUCGGUCUGGGGGCUCGACAUCCUCGACCCCUUUCCCCGAGCAGUCGAGGGCUUUGAGUACUUGUACGUCGCAAUCGACAAGUUCACAAAGUGGCCGGAAGUGGAACCAGUGAGGAAGGUGACAGCACAGUCAGCAGUCAAGUUCUUCAGGUCGAUUGUUUGCCGCUUCGGGAUCCCUAACAGGAUAAUCACCGACAACGGUACGCAAUUCACGAGCCGCACCUUCAUGCAGUACGUCCAAGAUCUUGGCGCCAAGGUCUGCUUCGCUUCUGUUGCUCACCCGAGAAGCAACGGUCAAGCGGAGAGGGAAAAUGCUGAAGUGCUGCGCGGGCUCAAGACCAGGACUUUCGACAGGCUACACAAGUGCGGAAGAAACUGGAUCGAGGAGCUGCCGGUGGUUCUUUGGUCGAUCAGAACGACGCCAAAUCGAGCCACUGGCCAAACACCUUUCGCUCUAGUCUAUGGAGCAGAGGCAGUUCUCCCCACGGAACUCGUAUACGGGUCACCUCAAGUGCUCGCUUAUGAUGAGCUCGAGCAAGAGCAGCUGCGACAAGAUGACGCGCUGCUCCUUGAGGAAGACCGUCUUCAGGCUGCUGUGCGAGCUGCUCGCUACCAGCAAGCUUUGCGCCGCUACCAUAGCCGCAAAGUUAACGCCAGAAGUUUCGAGGAAGGCGACCUUGUUCUUCGGCGUGUUCAAUCCGCCAAGAAUUCCAACAAGUUGACGCCGAAGUGGGAAGGCCCUUACCGGGUGAAACGAGUCACUAGGCCUGGCGCUGUCUGCUUUGAGACCGAAGAUGGCAUUCCGGUGAGCAACUCCUGGAACAUUAAGCAUCUUCGUAAGUUUUACCCGUAAGGCGCAGUUGCCGGAACCUGUUCCGGCAACCACCUUUUGUACAAGUCUUGCCGCUGUUGCAUGUAAUCCUUUGUACAAAGCCGGGCGCAGACCCCGUGCAUAAGUAAAGCUCAUGUGCUCCGCACAUUUUGUCAAUUUCAUGCUCUCUAUUUUUUGGCAUAUAUGAUCUGACACUUUGUGCAGCACCUACUCCACGGUAAGCAAUAACGAGCCGUAAGGCUCCGUAUCUUUAUUUUCUCUUCUUUCUUUUUUCUCAAGGAAAGGAAGGUUCCCUCGCCCACAAGUUUGCCGGGGAGGAAAGGAGAAGAUAAUGGUAUGGACCAGACGUCGUUCAAGAAAAUUUCGCCUUACCGGGAAGCAAACAACAAAAAAGCUAAGUUGCCAAAGUUUGAGCAAUCAGAUUUUUUAAAUUUUAAGUUAUCUUCCUUGAACGACCGCACUUUGUAUGGAAAACCUGUGCGCGGAGGAACCAACUCGUAGCUAGUUGCGCCCUUACUUUGUUUCGAGUCCGCUCAACAACUUAAGUGAGCUGCAACUAGUUGCGACAAGGUUUCUUGUCGGUAGCGGCAUCGCCAGCAGGCUGCUGACGUCCCGCACUCAGCGCUCGCGGCUCAGGUACCUGCACCGGCAAGUUCCCUAAAAGCGUAGGGCAAAAACAUACAAAGGGAGGAAUCAAGUAAAGGGAAUAAUAUUGCAAUCAUUACCCAGAAUAGAAUUAUAUUACAAAGAUAGCUUGUCGCGGCUCUAACAGAUUGUUUUCAUAGCAUGACAAACAGCGACAAGAAAAGAAGAAAUGGGCGGCCUAAUCUACGCGAUCGCCCUCGAUCCUCUUGAUCCCGCUCACCUUGUCCACAAUGGGUGCGACAAGGGCCUUGAGCGCCUCCAGAUCGGCAUCCAACGGCAGGGUCUUGAGGAUGUUGGUGAGGUUGAGGCCCGGAUUGCGGAAGGCCACCUUCACCAACACUUUCUGAAGAGCUCCCGCACAGAUCUUGCGCGACUCGUCGGCCAGCUGCUUUGGGAUCCUCUCCCGGAGUCGCUGGAGGGCCGUCGCCACGCCCUUGAAGAACAAGACGAGCUUGGCGCUGGGUUGGAGGUUCUCGUCGGAGGGAUACCCGACAUCCUCCAUCCCCAGCUGCGCCAACUCCCUGUCAAUAUCUGCGGCAGUGCUCACGAGGCUCUCCGUCCAGUGCUCCACAUUUUCCCUGAAAGCAUUCUGGGUGGCGGCAACACUCUCCAACAGCGCCUUGUCGGCCUUGAUCUCUUUUUUCAAGGCCGUCUCCUGCUCCUUGGCGCCGUCCAGCGUCUUGGUCAAAGUGGUCAGCUUCAACUCAAGAUCCGCGUUGGAGUCUUUGGCGGCGCUGAGCUCUUUGCCCUUCUCGGCAAGAUCGGCCUCCAGCUGCACCACCUUCAUCUCCAGCUCCUUCUUGGCGGCCUCGGCAACUGCGGCAGCAUCCUCUGCUUGCUUAAGGGCUCCGCCGAGUUUUUCCUCGCGCACGGCAAGCUCCUCCUCGUGGGCGUCAAGAUUGACCUUCCGCUGCGCCAGCUCGCCCUCCUCCACGAAUAGCUUCACAGCGGCAAGUCGCUGUUGCUCUUCGACUUCAGCCUUCUCGAGGAGGAAGGCCUUCUGCACUUCGGCAAGCUGCUCCCGCUCCUCCGCCAGGGACCGGAGGGCUUCCUGGUGGAAACCCCCGAGCUCUUCCGCGCGCUUCUCGAUGUCUGCUCCCGCCUUCGCGACAAGCGCCUCGUGGGAUUCCAGCUUGGCUUGCCGCGCGCGGUAGAGCGACAACAACUUCCGCAGCAGCCGCUCCUCCUCAGGCUCGUUGCUGCUGCUGCUCGGCGCGUCAACCAGAGUCAGCCCAACGGAGGCAAGCACCUCCCCGUCGAAGAUCUCUCCCUCGACCGGCGCCCUGGAGCUCGAUGCCCAGGGAAGGUUGAUGAAGACGUCGUCGCCGGCCUUCAAGUAGACGCCUGGCUGGGGCUCUUCGGAGCCUGGCGCUGCGGCAGCAGCGGACGGGUCGGCGGUCGGUGUAGCACCUGGCGCUCCUAUGGCCUCAGGGCCGUCAGUGCGAUCACCAGACCCCUCGCCAGUUGCCGCGGCGGCAGCCUUGGCGGCCUCUGCGCCGGCGGGAUCGUCAGCACCGGCCGCUUCUUCGGCGGCAACCUCGGUCUCCAUCGGCUCCGUAGCAGAUGGGUCUGACAGCCGGGAAAGGGAAAAGAGUCAAGCAAAAACCCAAGAAGAUCAAAAGAAGAAGAACCCAAGGAAAGUUUUGAAGCGAAAGGAUUACCUGUGCCGGGUUCUGCAGUCGUGGUCUCCACCAUCGGGGGGCCGCUGGUGCUGUCCCUUGCCGGAGACUUCUCCCUUACCGGAAAGCCCUCCCUUGCCGGAGAGCUCUCCCUUGUCGGGGGACUCUCCCUUGGCUCCUGGUGGGGCUGCUCUGCUCCUACACAAACCAGCAGUAAGAUAUCAGCAAAGACAGAGUAUCCAUGCGCAUCUCACAGCGGAAAGCAAACCAUAUACUUACGCUGGGGGCUCCUCUGGAGAAAAGUUGCCGGGUCUGGCAAGGUUGUCUCGAGCGCACCCCCUGCUGUCGCAGUAGGUUCGUCCUCGAUGACAAUCACCGGGACUUUGGCUCUCUUUGCUGCUCUCUGGGCCAGAGUCCUAAAAAGGAACAAGUUCAGAGUCAAGCAAAUGAGAUACAAGACAAACAGCAAGGAUUGAAGAACUACAAGUACACCAAGGGAGUCUUACUCUUCUUCUUCUUCCUCGUCGGAGCUGAACGCGGAGAAGUCGAAGUCUGGCUCACGUCCGGCGCGAGGAGGCGGAGGAGUAGCUUCCCUUGGCCGCUUGGCGGGGGCAGUGGCGACAGUCUGAGACGACCCCGCUCCGGCUGUCGCCACGGCGUGAGAAGCGGCAGGAGUAGAAGCGGUGGUCUGGGAGGGCCCCGCUCCAGUUGCCGUCGCAGCGUGAGGUGCUCCUGCGGUAACAGUGCUUGCCGCGGUGGAACGUGUCACACGACGCGGCGACUGUUGCCUCGCCUGCCGCUCCGCUACGUCACCGACCUUGCAGAGACGCCUUCUUGGUGGGGAUGGAGGCUCUGCUUGCGGCGAGCUGUCUGAAGAUGAGGAGGAAGACGAGUUGAUCUCCAGCGAGCCGCUCGUAUCCUUGGCGGGCUCGCUCGACUCGACGUUAUGCCCGGCAAGCUCUUUCUUGCCGGCAGGCUCCCCUCGCUCGGCACGGCUUGCCGCCUCUGCUGCCUCUGCCUCCUCCAUGGUGAAUCCAAAUUCGCCUGCGGCUGCGGCUGCCGCCGCCUCUUCUAGCCUAGUGGUGAUGAGUGCCAUCUCCGCAUCGGUGGUGUCGCGGGUGAGGCUAUCUUUCUCGUCGGAGCGGAUCGGCACUUCUACCAAGUCAUCGAAGAAUUGCUGCACGACAUCGUCUGCAGGCUCUUGCCAAGUUGGGACAAUUCCAUGCGAGUCGCACAACGGCAUCAUUGCACGGAUGCGGUCGAGCGUGGAGUUGUUGCACAGCGGAACGAUCCCCCCCGGCAACCUGAAAACUUCGGGGUGUUGAGGGUCGUACUUGAACAGCUCCUGGAGCAUCGCGUUGAGCUCCAGAACUGUGAAGUUGAAGUUGAGGCCCGGCCGCAACCUCAUGAUAUCGGCCGCAUUCUUGAACUCCCAAGUGGGUCUCCCCCGUUCCUGCAGGGGGGCGAUGCAGCGACGAAGAAAAUCCGCGCCAACAGCACCUACAGUGAGCCCGGCAAGCCUGAGGCGUAGGAUCCGGGUGACAGCAAUCUUCAGCCUGUCGUCUUCCGGGGCCACGUCACUCCAAUCGCUGCCGCGUGCUACUAGGGUUUGGCGCCGGGUGGUGAAUGGCUGCGGGUUCUCCUCGUCAAUCCAGCACCAGUCUGCUCUCCACUCCUCCCACUUGCCGCGGAAUUCUCCCUCCAGAUAAGUUUCCUUCUUGCCGGCCCUUGAGAUCCAGGCGAUUCCGCCGGAUAAAGGCUCUCCUCUCUCUACUCGGGGUAUAAAGAAGUGGCGAAAGAGGGCUACAUUGGGAUGGACUCCGACAAAGUUUUCGCAGAGAUGUGCGAAAACUGCCAUGGUCAGAAUGGCAUUGGGGGUGAAGUCGAGGAGAUGGAACCCGUAGGUGUUCAUGAUAUCGCAGAAGAAUUCAGAGAAAGGCGGGCAGAGCCCGCAGUAGAAGAACAAGGCGAAGAAAGGGUAUCCAUUUGGGGCCUUCUUCCAAGCGGCGGCGGGAAGUACCUUCGUGCGCGGAUGCGCUCGUGUCUCCGUCGACCAGAAGAGGUAGCAGUUCUCCCUCAGCUCCCUCGUGGCAAGCUUGGGGGGGAAGACUGUCCGCUCCUUUUGCAGCGCCGCAAGCCGCUGCGCCUCGGUUGACUUCACGACCUUCCCCUUGUCGGCUUUUGGGGCCAUGGCGGAAGUGGUGGAGGAGGUCGACGGCGUUGGUGGUGCUGGUGGCGAUGGGGGGCGGAGCGCUGCUCUCUUUCGGCUUUGGGAAGACGAGGGAGCGGCGGAGAUUUUUGAGAUUGGAGCAGCAACGGGCGAAUGGACGAACUACUCCUGUUUCCCCUGCUUAUAAAGAGGGAGGGGGCGGACGUUCCGCAUUUCCGAAUAAAGAAACCACCCACGAUCUCUCCCACGACGCCGCAUUCAACGCGUGUCGUUCGGGAAGGGCGCAGUGGAUACGGAGAGAGAUACGGCGUAACCUAGGCCGCGCGUGCCCGUGCCCUGUUUUGGGCCUGGCCCAACAGCGCUCGGCACCGUGUAUGGCCCAGGCCCGGGGGCUCCUGUCGAUGUACUAGAGUAGGGGUACCCUACUAUCCCGAACUUGCGCACGGGCAGUCACAGCAUCCCGCGGCAAGGCUUGCCGGGUGACCGCCAAGGUCCUCCGUGGUUCCUUUGGAGCCAUUCAAGAACAAAGUAUCCAAACCAAGACACCACAAGACCCCGACAAGAGGAGCUUGCCGGGAGGGCCAACCAAGGCAAGGCGCUUAAGGAGACAAGACCCCGGCAAGAGGAGCUUGCCGGGAAGGCCACCCAAGGCAUCUCAAGGAACUUGCCACGGCGCGCCUCGCGUCCCGGCAAGGCCCGGUGAGCGACAAGCUCCCGGACGUGACAAGACAACGACCGCGGCAAGGCGCUUGCCGCGGCAAGCCACCACUCUGUGCCCGCGCUCCAGCACAUCCACCAACGUGUCGCUCUGGGACCCUUCCAGGCGUGCGUGGCGGGAGGCUGUGCAGCCAGCGGUGCGCAGUGGCAAGCGGCGCUGACAAGAUUGCCAUCGUGGCGAGCGGUGGCGUCCCUGACGGUCCCUUUUGCACUGUUUAGGCGACACAGACGGGCAUUUAAUGCCCUUGUCCCCUGCCAUCAGGGUUAGGUAUGAUACACUAUAGCAGGUAGUUGUACCUACUGCAGCUCCUUUCCAUUUUUACCCUUUGUCUCCGUUGCCACCUGUCGGUGACCCCUUGAGCAUAUAAAAGGAGGCCCAUGUGCAACGUAGAGGGGGGUUCGGAAAAAAGAGAACACUCAGGCUCGGUCUCGUUAGCCGCUGGUGUGUACUGUAGCACUCCGCGCUCCCGAGCAAGAACCCAAUACAAACCACAAAGCAGGAGUAGGGUUUUACGCAUCCGUGCAGCCCGAACCUGGGUAAACUGCUCGUGUGCUUUGCCUCGAUCCGCUCUUCGUGCGACCUCCGCCCCCGCCGAACCGAAAGGGACUCGGUCCGCCGGUCCCAUAGGUGUUCGUGGAUUAGUCCCCCGACACCACCGUCGUGUCCGGAUCAUCCACAAACAUCUACAAAACAUCACCGUUUUCUUAUUUGGACUCCCUAGCUAUUUUAUUCGCGACCGUCCGAUUAAGAUCGGAGGGACCAGAUGCCCCUAACUCAAACCCACCUACUAUAUAUAUCUAGACAACCCACCUAAUUUCUAGGGAUCCUACCUCGUGCCGCCGCCACACUCUUUCUCGGGAUCCCUCCCAAUCCAAACCCACCAAUCACCAGACCUCUCUCGAUCCCCUCUGCCCGAGCUCCUCCCGCAGCUCCCCAUCGCCCUCGACCCUGCCUCGUCGUCCGGCCGACACCGGCGACCGAAACCUCGCCGGAGAUGAGUACCUCAACAGCCCCGCUCCUUUUUCCCUCCUGCUUCUCAACCUCUCCUUCUCACGAUCUUCCCUUUCCUUUCUCUAUUUUCUCUCACAGGGAUCCAUGGCGCUGCCGCUUGGAGCUCUGCCUCCUUCGGCCACCUCCUCGCCUCGUCGCCAUCGACCUGCAGAGGGACACGCCAUGGCCACCCUCGUCUUCAAGUCGCGUCGCCCGCGCCCGGAUUUGGCGCCCUCAGCAUGCCCAUGCACGGGUUCCGCGCAUCCCCGUCCUCUCCUGCAACCCUUUAUCGAACUCCAUGGGCAGCCUCCCAUGUUUGACUCUUUGCGCCGCCCCGUUUGACCUCCAGUUCCAGUCCCUCAUCGCCACCACUUCGCCAGGCGCCUCGUCAUCGGGGAGCACCCCAGCACUGCUGUUGUACUCCUCUUCUUUCUUCUCUCUCCCCCCUUUUCCUUUCCCGUCGCUCUCCAAGUUCUCUGAACUCUCUGUCUUUCUUCAGGAGUUGCAGCAACCUUCGAGUUCGAGCAGCCGCCUCCUGCACGGAUCGAAGACCUCCUGUUGCUCGGAUCUUGACGCCGCUGAGCUCCCAUGUCGGAUCGGACUCCUCCACGCAUCCCCGACCUCUGGCCUCGCUGUGCCGUCCCCGUGCAGGUUCCUGCCUCUGCCUCGUCCUCGUCUGAGCAGAGGACGACUGCUUCUUCAUCGCGCGCAAGGGCUGCAGCCGCGGCAAGGCCCAGCCAGCGUCUCUGCCAGCAGCCUUGCGCCCCCCCAACUGGGCCUCAGCCCACUAGGUGAAGCCACACCCCAGCGCCCCACCUUCCUUUCCUAUUGUUGGGCCAGAUUCUUGUUUCGGCCCGUAAUGUGUUUUUUAGAUCUGGUGUUUUUGUCUUUUUUUCCAGAGGCUGCCAGCUUUACAGAAAACCCCGCAUAGUUCUUGCAUAUAAUAACUCCCAAUUGGUGCAUCGGAUUAAAAUGAAUUAUAUAUGAAAAUGCUUAGAAUUAUGUGUAGGUUAAUCAUUUGCAACUUUCAUCCAUGUUUAAAAUGUUUAAAAUGUUGUUUGGUUAAAUUUGCUCCUAUGCCAUGCUAAAAUGAUUUAUUUCAUAACUAAAUAACUGUAACUCGGAAUUUAAUAAACUUUAUAUGUAAAUGGGGUGGAAAAUGCCUAGUUUAACAUGGUGUCCUCACUUUGCAUGUUUAACAACUAUAAAAUAUGGUUUAGGGCAGAACAGUACCAAAUCUAUAAUAUGCGCAUGAGGAGUUUCUGGACUUGUUGUUUGUUGUUCCGGCCUCAUUUAAACUUGCCUAGAUAGGUAGUUAUCAUUUGCUUCACCCCUUGCCAUGUUAAUCAACAUUUAAUAUUGUUGGGUACAUAAACGAGAUCGAACUAAAUAACUUGAAUGUGGUGUUUGUUAAUAUGCAUCCCGAUGCAUAUUGAGCUCCACUUAAUUUGUAGGAUUGCUUGUGCAUUUUGCCAUGCCAUGCUUCAUUAAACCGGACAUGCAUCAUACUCGAUUGUGCAUCAUGCCAUGUUUAUGUGAUGGUUGUUUACUUUGUUGUUUCUUUCUUUCUGGGUUACUUCUCGCGUUAGCUUCGGUUUUGUUCCGGAGUUGUGAGGAUCCGUUCAUCUACGUCCGUUUGUCUUCUUCAUGGACUCGUUCUUCUUCCUUGCGGGAUUUCAGGCAAGAUGACCAUACCCUCGAAAUCACUUCUAUCUUUGCUUGCUAGUUGCUCGCUCUUUUGCUAUGCCUAUGCCGUGAUACCUACCACUUGAUUAUCAUGCCUCCUAUAUUGUUGAGCCAAGCCUCUAACCCACCUUGUCCUAGAAAACCGUUGUUUGGCUAUGUUACCGCUUUGCUCAGCCCCUCUUAUAGCGUUGUUAGUUGCAGGUGAAGAUUGGAGCUUGUUCCAUAUUGGAACAUGGAUAUUUUGUUGGGAUAUCACAAUAUCUCUUAUUUAAUUAAUGCAUCUAUAUACUUGGUAAAGGGUGGAAGGCUCGGCCUUAUGCCUGGUGUUUUGUUCCACUCUUGCCGCCCUAGUUUCCGUCAUAUCGGUGUUAUGUUCCCGGAUUUUGCGUUCCUUACGUGGUUGAGUUAUAAUGGGAACCCCUUGACAGUUCGCCUUGAAUAAAACUCCUCCAGCAAUGCCCAACAUUGGUUUUACCAUUCGCCACCUAGCCUCUUUUUCCCUUGGGAGUCGCGCUCCUGAGGUCAUCAUUAUUUUACCCCCCGGGCCAGUGCUCCUCUGAGUGUUGGUCCAAACUAGAGCCCUGUGCAUCGCCCCCUUGGGGAAACUCGAGGUUUGGUUUUAGUUGUAUGGAGAGCUCAUCUGAGUGUGCCCUGAGAAUGAGAUAUGUGCAGCUCCUAUCGGGAUUUGUCGGCACAUUCGGGCGGUGUUGCUGGACUUGUUUUACCAUUGUCGAAAUGUCUUGUAACCUGGAUGCCGAGUCUGAUCGGAAUGUCUUGGGAGAAGGAAUAUCCUUCGUUGACCGUGAGAGCUUGUGAUGGGCUAAGUUGGGACACCCCUGCGGGGAUUUGAACUUUCGAAAGCCGUGCCCGCGGUUAUGGGCAGAUGGGAAUUUGUUAAUGUUCGGUUGUAGAUAACAUGAAACUUAACUUAAUUAAGAUACACCAACCGCGUGUGUUACCGUGAUGGUCUCUUCUCGGUGGAGUCCGGGAAGUGAACACGGUGUUGGAGUAAUGCUUGACGUAGGUUGUUCUAGGAUCACUUCUUGAUCACAGUUUCUCGAUCGUGCUCUGAUUGUAUCUGGUUGAUGUAAUGCUUUAUUCAUGUAAUUGUGCAGUCUGUGCCAUCAGGCUCGGGGUGCUCAGGGGGAAACCUCAGAUCUGGGUCUUCCGGAUCGGAUGAUGAUGGCGUUUUACCGCUUUCCCUUCUGGGGGCAUCGUUUUGGAGCAAGUGCUGGCUGGAGGGAUGGUGGAGCGGUGCUUCAUCUCACACAUUGAUGGCGGCGGAGAUCGAUGGCAUGGCGCUGUGGAGACUCGACGUCCGAUGCGCGGAGAUGGGCUCGCGCAGGAGGAGGUUGCUAUCUGGCGUCAUGGUGACGUCGAUGGCAGAGUGGCCAGACAGGGUAGAAGCCUCAAUAUGAUCUGAAGACCUGUGGAAGAUGGCGACGACGACACACGAGUGCGUCUGACCAGAUUGUCCUGGUAGGUGGCUCGGCUGGGGAGUCCGAAUGAGUUUCGGCUUCCGGCUUUUGAUGUUAGGCUUAGGUGACUGGUCUGGGUAGUGGCCCAGCUAGCACCCCUUCAUCAUAUUGGAUAGGAGUAGCGGCAUAUGUUGCCUAGAUGGUGGAUUCAGACACAUUGUUGUAAUACUUUGUACGGUCCUCGUGAAUAAUCAAUAAAGUGGCCGUAUGCAUCUCCCAGAUGCAGAGGCCGGGGGUCAUCCUCCUUUUCUAAAAAAAAAUGUAAUUGUGUGAAGUGGCGAUUGUAAGCCAACUAUGUAUCUCUUUCCCUUAUGUAUUACAUGGGUUGUGUGAAGAUUACCUCACUUGCGACAUUGCUUUCAAUGCGGUUAUGCCUCUAAGUCGUGCUUCGACACAUGGGAGAUAUAGCCGCAUCGAGGGCGUUCCAAGAGGUUUGUAGGACAAUAUCAAAUUUCCCUCAAGUGGAUGACCUAAGGUUUAUCAAUCCGUAGGAGGCGUAGGAUGAAGAUGGUCUCUCUCAGGCAACCCUGCAACCAAAUAACAAAGAGUCUCUUGUGUCCCUAACACACCGAAUACAAUGGUAAAUUGUAUAGGUGCACUAGUUCGGCGAAGAGACGGUGAUACAAGUGGUAUAUGGAUAAUAGAUAAAGGUAUUUGUAAUCUGAAAAUAUAAAAACAGCAAGGUAACUAAUGAUAAAAGUGAGCGUAAACGAUAUUGCAAUGCUAGGAAACAAGGCCUAGGGUUCAUACUUUCACUAGUGUAAGUUCCCUCAACAAUACUAACAUAAUUGGAUCACAUAACUAUCCCUCAACAUGCAACAAAGAGUCACUCCAAAGUCACUAAUAGCGGAGAACGAACAAAGAGAUUAUGGUAGGGUACGAAACCACCUCAAAGUUAUUCUUUCCAAUCAAUCUGUUGGGCUAUUCCUAUAAUUGUCACAAACAGCCCUAGAGUUCGUAAUAGAAUAACACCUUAAGACACAAAUCAACCAAAACCCUAAUGUCACCUAGAUACUCCAAUGUCACCUCAAGUAUCCAUGGGUAUGAUUAUACGAUAUGCGUCACACAAUCUCAGAUUCUAUUCAACCAACACAAAGGACCUCAAAGAGUGCCCCAAAGUUUCUACCAGAGAAUCACGACGAAAACGUGUGCCAACCCCUAUGCAUAGGUUCAUGGGCGGAACCCGCAAGUUGGUCACCAAAAAAUACAUCAAGUGGCAUGUGGUAUCCCAUUGUCACCACAGAUAUCCACGGCAAGACAUACAUCAAGUGUUCUCAAAACUUUAAAGACUCAAUCGGAUAAGAUUACUUCAAAGGGGAAACUCAAUUCAUUACAAGAGAGAAGAGGGGGAGGAGAAACAUAAGAUCCAACUAUAAUAGCAAAGCUCGCGAUACAUCAAGAUCAUGCCAAAUCAAGAACACGAGAGAGAGAGAGAGAGAUCAAACACAUAGCUACUGGUACAUACCCUCAGCCCCGAGGGAGAACUACUCCCUCCUCGUCAUGGAGAGCAUCGUGAUGAUGAAUAUGGCCACUAAGGAAGGAUUUCCCCCUCCGGCAGGGUGCCGGAACGGGUCUAGAUUGGCUUUCGGUGGCUACGGAGGCUUAUGGCGGCGGAACUCCCGAUCUAUUGUCCGUUCUGGAAGUUUUAGGGUAUAUGGAGUUAUAUAGGCAGAAGAAGCACGUCAGGGGAGCCACGAGGGCCCCACGAGGCAGGGGGGCACGCCCCUACCCUCGUGAGCUCCUCCUUCCUUCCUUGACGUGGGGUCCAAGUCCAUCGGGUGGCUUUCGUUCCAAAAAUAACUUCUCUAGUUGAUUUCGUUCCAUUUCAACUCCGUCUGAUAUUCCUUUUCUUCAAAACACUGAAAUAGGCAUAAAACAGCAAAUCUGGGUUGGGCCUCCGGUUAAUAGGUUAGUCCCGAAAGUAAUAUAAAAGUGGAUAAUAAUGCCCAAUAACGCCCAAAACAGUAGAUAAUAUAGCAUGGAGCAAUCAAAAAUUAUAGAUACAUUGGAGACGUAUCAAGCAUCCCCAAGCUUAUAUCCUGCUCGUCCUCGAGUAGGUAAAUGAUAAAAAAGAUAAUUUUUGAUGUGGAAUGCUAGUUGUCAUAAUUUCAAUGUAAUUCUUCUUACUUGUGAUAUGAAUAUUCAGAUCCGAAAGAUUCAAGACAAAAGUUCAUAUUGACAUAAAAAUGAUAAUACUUCAAGCAUACUAACUAAGCAAUCAUGUCUUCUCAAAAUAACAUGGCUAAAGAAAGCUAUCCCUACAAAAUCAUAUAGUCUGGCUAUGCUCCAUCUUCACCACACAAAGUAUUUAAAUCAUGCACAACCCCGAUGACAAGCCAAGCAAUUGUUUCAUACUUUUGAUGUUCUCAAACCUUUUCAAUCUUCACGCAAUACAUGAGCGUGAGCCAUGGACAUAGCACUAUAGGUGGAAUUGAAUGGUGGUUGUGGAGAAGAAAAAAAGGGAGAAGAUAGUCUCACAUCAACCAGGCGUAUCAACGGGCUAUGGAGAUGCCCAUCAAUAGAUAUCAAUGUGAGUGAGUAGGGAUUGCCAUGCAACGGAUGCACUAGAGCUAUAAGUAUAAGAAAGCUCAAAAAGAAACUAAGUGGGUGUGCAUCCAACUUGCUUGCUCAUGAAGACCUAGGGCAAUUGACACUAGUAGAAAAAGGGUCAAAUGUGAAGCACAUUAGUGCCGGUUUGAAUUUGAGCCGGCAAUAAUGUGACCAUUAGUGCCGGUUCCAACGGCUAGGCGGGCGGGCAUCAUUAGUACCGGUUCAUGGGCAACCUUUAGUACCGGUUCAUGCCACGAACCGGUACUAAUGAGGCCAGUGCGGCUGUGGUCAGGCUGGGGCCCCCACGAAGACCUUUAGUACCGGUUCAUGGCAUGAACCGGUACUAGAGUUUCUUAGUAAGCUGAUUUUUAGUCCCACCUCGCCAAGAGAGAGGCAGUAUGAGCGGUUUAUAAGCCGUGAGUGCAGAGACAAUGACGAAGAGGCGCAAUGCUCACCUGCACGUUGAUUAGCUUCAAGCCUUUCGGAAUAGCAUAGAUUGCACUGAGCUAUGUGUAGUGCAGUCUACACUAUUCCGAAAGGCUUGAAGCAAAUUAACCAGCAUUGCACCUCUUUUUUAUUUUUAAUAACUUAUUUGAACUCCGGACUUCUUUUGUGUUUAGUAUGCAGCAUUCAAAGCAACGUCAUCAAUUUCCAACAUGUUCUGACAUCAUUUGUUGUUUUUCGGUCAUUACCUAAUUGUUUAGAGAGCUAAAUGACCGUGAAAUUGAAAAUCACUACAAAAUGAAUUCUAAAAAUGUUGAAAAUUGGCAUGGUAUCAUCAUUUCACCCGCAUAGCAUGUGCGAAAGAGUAGAGAGGGUCACGGCAUAAAUUGGACAAACUCUUUCGGAGUAUCAGGGUUUCGGACGAGAACUCAUUUGUUACACGGGCACUUCAAUGUUUUUUAAACUUAUUUGAACUCUGGACAUCUUUUGUGUUCAGUAUGCAACAUUCAAAGUGACGUCAUCAAUUUUCAACAUGUUCUGACAUCAUUUNNNNNNNNNNNNNNNNNNNNNNNNNNNNNNNNNNNNNNNNNNNNNNNNNNNNNNNNNNNNNNNNNNNNNNNNNNNNNNNNNNNNNNNNNNNNNNNNNNNNNNNNNNNNNNNNNNNNNNNNNNNNNNNNNNNNNNNNNNNNNNNNNNNNNNNNNNNNNNNNNNNNNNNNNNNNNNNNNNNNNNNNNNNNNNNNNNNNNNNNNNNNNNNNNNNNNNNNNNNNNNNNNNNNNNNNNNNNNNNNNNNNNNNNNNNNNNNNNNNNNNNNNNNNNNNNNNNNNNNNNNNNNNNNNNNNNNNNNNNNNNNNNNNNNNNNNNNNNNNNNNNNNNNNNNNNNNNNNNNNNNNNNNNNNNNNNNNNNNNNNNNNNNNNNNNNNNNNNNNNNNNNNNNNNNNNNNNNNNNNNNNNNNNNNNNNNNNNNNNNNNNNNNNNNNNNNNNNNNNNNNNNNNNNNNNNNNNNNNNNNNNNNNNNNNNNNNNNNNNNNNNNNNNNNNNNNNNNNNNNNNNNNNNNNNNNNNNNNNNNNNNNNNNNNNNNNNNNNNNNNNNNNNNNNNNNNNNNNNNNNNNNNNNNNNNNNNNNNNNNNNNNNNNNNNNNNNNNNGCGAAAGAGUAGAGAGGGUCGCGGCCAAAACUGGAUGCACUUUGUGUACAAACUGGAUAAACUCUUUCGGAGUAUCAGGGUUUCGGACGAGAACUCAUCUGUUACACGGGCACUUCAAUGUUUUUAAACUUAUUUGAACUCCGGACUUCUUUUGUGUUCAGUAUGCAGCAUUCAAAGCGACGUCAUCAAUUUCCAACAUGUUCUAACAUCAUUUGUUGUUUUUCGGUCAUUCACCUAAUUGUUUAGAGAGCUUAAUGACCGUGAAAUUGAAAAUCACUACAAAAUGAACUCUGAAAAUGUUGAAACUUGGCAUGGUAUCAUCAUUUCACCCGCAUAGCAUGUGCGAAAGAGUAGAGAGGGUCCCGGCAAAAACUGGACGCACUUCGUGUACAAACUGGACAAACUCUUUCGGAGUAUCAGUGUUUCGGACGAGAACUCAUCUGUUACACGGGCACUUCAAUGUUUUUUAAACUUAUUUGAACUCCGGACUUCUUUUGUGUUCAGUAUGCAGCAUUCAAAGCGACGUCAUCAAUUUCCAACAUGUUCUGACAUCAUUUGUUGUUUUUCGGUCAUUUACCUAAUUGUUUAGAGAGCUAAAUGACCGUGAAAUUGAAAAUCAUUACAAAAUGAACUCUGAAAAUGUUGAAACUUGGCAUGGUAUCAUCAUUUCACCAGCAUAGCAUGUGUGAAAGAGUAGAGAGGGUCACGGCAAAAACUGGACGCACUUUGUGUACAAACUGGACAAACUCUUUCGGGGUAUCAGGGUUUCGGACGAGAACUCAUCUGUUACACGGGCACUUCAAUGUUUUUUAAAAUUAUUUGAACUCCAGACUUCUUUUGUGUUCAGUAUGCAGCAUUCAAAGCGACGUCAUCAAUUUCCAACAUGUUCUGACAUCAUUUGUUGUUUUUCGGUCAUUUACCUAAUUGUUUAGAGAGCUAAAUGACCGUAAAAUUGAAAAUCACUACAAAAUGAAUUCUGAAAAUGUUGAAACUUGCAAUGGUAUUAUCAUUUCGGAGUAUCAGAGUAGAGAGGGUCACAAAAAAACUACUCAGAAAUAAAUAGAAGAAAAUAAAUAAAGCAGAAAAGAAUAAAACUAUAUAAAAAAUUACUCAAAAAUAAAUAGAAGAAAAUAAAUAAUGCAGAAAACAAAAAACUAUAUAAAAAAUUNNNNNNNNNNNNNNNNNNNNNNNNNNNNNNNNNNNNNNNNNNNNNNNNNNNNNNNNNNNNNNNNNNNNNNNNNNNNNNNNNNNNNNNNNNNNNNNNNNNNNNNNNNNNNNNNNNNNNNNNNNNNNNNNNNNNNNNNNNNNNNNNNNNNNNNNNNNNNNNNNAAAAAACUAUAUAAAAAUUACUCAAAAAUAAACAGAAGAAAAUAAAUAAUGCAGAAAAGAAAAAACUAUAUAAAAAAAUUGUUGGGGCGCUGCCCAGUGGGCCUGCCAGACCUAGGGUGUGCAAAUGCGCUCUAGUUAGGCCCAGCAGACUCACAGGGCAGCGCGCCCUAGUUAGGCCCAGAAGACAGAUAUAUUGAGAAGCUCGAAGGAGCAGCAGCGGCUGGGUUUAUAAACCAGUGCGGCUGCCCUUCGCUUGGCGAGGUGGGACUAAACGUUGUGCACCGCCGGUGGCAGCGCACAACCAUUAGUACCGGUUGGUGGCUCCAACCGGUACUAAUGAUUGGGCCUUUAGUACCGGUUCGUGGCACGAACCGGUACUAAAGGGGCCGUUUCCCGCCCCUUGGCCUGGCGAAAAUUGGCCUUUAGUAUCGGUUGGUGGCUCCAACCGGUACUAAAGGCCCCUCCCAUAUAUAUGGCACUUAGAAAAAUUCAGUUUCAUCGACCACCACUUCUUCUCGAUCCAACUUCUUCGCCGCGCCCGUCGCCCAUCGCGCGCCGCCCUCGCCGCCCCCGCCGCCCGUCGUCGCCGUCACCGCCGUUGCCCCCACCACCCGUCGUCGCNNNNNNNNNNNNNNNNNNNNNNNNNNNNNNNNNNNNNNNNNNNNNNNNNNNNNNNNNNNNNNNNNNNNNNNNNNNNNNNNNNNNNNNNNNNNNNNNNNNNNNNNNNNNNNNNNNNNNNNNNNNNNNNNNNNNNNNNNNNNNNNNNNNNNNNNNNNNNNNNNNNNNNNNNNNNNNNNNNNNNNNNNNNNNNNNNNNNNNNNNNNNNNNNNNNNNNNNNNNNNNNNNNNNNNNNNNNNNNNNNNNNNNNNNNNNNNNNNNNNNNNNNNNNNNNNNNNNNNNNNNNNNNNNNNNNNNNNNNNNNNNNNNNNNNNNNNNNNNNNNNNNNNNNNNNNNNNNNNNNNNNNNNNNNNNNNNNNNNNNNNNNNNNNNNNNNNNNNNNNNNNNNNNNNNNNNNNNNNNNNNNNNNNNNNNNNNNNNNNNNNNNNNNNNNNNNNNNNNNNNNNNNNNNNNNNNNNNNNNNNNNNNNNNNNNNNNNNNNNNNNNNNNNNNNNNNNNNNNNNNNNNNNNNNNNNNNNNNNNNNNNNNNNNNNNNNNNNNNNNNNNNNNNNNNNNNNNNNNNNNNNNNNNNNNNNNNNNNNNNNNNNNNNNNNNNNNNNNNNNNNNNNNNNNNNNNNNNNNNNNNNNNNNNNNNNNNNNNNNNNNNNNNNNNNNNNNNNNNNNNNNNNNNNNNNNNNNNNNNNNNNNNNNNNNNNNNNNNNNNNNNNNNNNNNNNNNNNNNNNNNNNNNNNNNNNNNNNNNNNNNNNNNNNNNNNNNNNNNNNNNNNNNNAAGUGUUUAAUGUUUCACCUAUAUAUGAACAUAUGUUAGAUAUUAAUGUCAAAUGUUAGAUGAAUUAGAUAUGAAUUAUAUGUUAGAUAUAUAUUUAAUUUAGUUAUAUGAGAUUUCAUUAUCUAAUUAACAUUUUAUUAUAUAGAACUAGCUACCUUAUUUUAGUAAGAAAAUUAAUAGAACUAGUUUAGUUGAAUUAGUUGAAUUAAUUAGUUGAACUAGUUAGUUGAAUUAGUUCAAUUAAUUAGGUAUAUUUUUUGUAAGUGCUUAGUUGAAUUAGUUCAAUUAAUUAGUUGAACUAGUUGAAUUAACAGAAUUAGUUGAAUUAAUAGAACUAAUAAGUGUUUAAUGUUUCACCUAUGAAUAUAGGAAUGUCGUCUGACGACGAACACGAUUUCAUUAUGUGCGAAUACUGCGAAGACCAGCGCGGCCUGUGCGGCAGAAAUUUUCUAGUUGAUGAUAGACGCUUCAGCAUCAAUCUGGAUGAGAACUUCAAAGUGGAUACAGUAAGUCACAAUGACAAGUCUUUUUUCGUAAUUAAGCAUGACUUAUGCUUCAUUUGCUUCAACUUUUAAUUUUAAUUUUUCACUAUUCUACUAGCGUAUCCACUGCCAUGCAAGAAUUUUUUGUCUUGGAUAAGAUAGGUUUCAGUCCUAACGAAACUAUGGAGGUAAAAAGAGUUUACUUGAAGACCGAGUAUGGUUAUACCUUCAACGUCAAAUUAUACAAUGCAGACACAUACACCUAUUUUGAAUGCAAAACUUGGCAAGCAGUAUGCAAGGCUUAUGCAUUUGAGCCUGGUAUGGUUAUCACCUUUGAUAUUCGUCCGGAAGAUGAUAUUGAAGGUAAUAGAGACAUCUGGGUCGAUGUGCAGACGCCUCCAGUUCUACCAUUAUGUGAGUUUCUCAACCAUAUUUAUGUCUUCGAUAUGAGAUUAUUUGAACCAGUUGAAUAAUUAAUAGAUCUCAAUUUAUAUUGACAGCUUACUUCCAAUCAAGCAAACAUGUCCGGCGCUUGGUAGACAGGACCGUCCACUGUCCGGGGGCUGAACUAAACUGCGAGGAGACAAGUCAUUAUGUUUCAUGGCUUGAGGAUCUUGAUGCUGUCAAGACAAAUUUCUUUCCUGCACUUAGAAAUGUUAGUACUCAAAACGUGCGACCAAUAGUGUUCGUACUGAACUACGGUCACAUAUAUUUAGGAAAGAUGGUAAGAUUUCUACUAUUUCUCCUCAGUGCAUCUUUUGCAUACAUUAUUUUUAAGCUAAACUUCAUUGCUAAGUAUGUUACUAUACGAUGUUCUUCAACAGGGACUCCCGAUGAAUGUUGUGCCUAAUUGGAUCGAGACUAAAGGUACCAUGAAUAUUGUUAGCUUACGGCCAAGAUAUCCUACAAUGCACUUUAGUGCAUUCAGGAUUUCUAAUAGCGAGGAAUGCUUAAUAGUAAAAGACUGGAGCAAAAUUGUGAACGAUCACAGAGAAGUACUAGGGGGCAGCAAUCAGAAGCGCAACCCACGAUUAGGAGACAGGUUCAUAUGCAUGCUCCAAUAUGAUGAAUCAGCAAAGCUAUACAUGUUCUAUGCUAUUUUACUUGAGAGAGAGCAGCAGGAGUGAUUAAUUAGCUAGUUCAUGCUCUUAGUACUUGUCCUCUCAUGUCCGUGUUCUUCGUCCUGAACUUAAUCUCAAAAAGUGAUUUGCUUUUGUGGUGUUAUGAACGCUUAUAAUAUCAUUACCAUGUUGAACUCGAUGAUAUCUUUGCUAUGAAAACCGUUGGUGAUGAUAUAUAUGAUGCAAGAGUUUUAUAUUAAUAUGAUGAUGAUGAUGAUGAGUUAUUAUAUCAUUUAUGAAAGAAACUGCAUAUUAGUUUCAACUGGAUGGAUUCUAGCUAAGUGAUCAAGUAUAUGCCAUAUCCAUAUUACCUCGAUCACUUAAGUAGGUGAUCAAGUAUAUAUAAUAUGGAUAUGACAUAUACUUGAUGACUUAGUUAGGAUCCAUGCAUCCAGUCAAACUAAUCUGCGGUCAUUGUUGAGGAAAUCGUUAACUGGUAGCUGCUCGGUCGGCUGGUGAGUAGGCGAUUAAUAGGCUAAUCGGCAAGUUAAUCGGCCAUUUAAUCAAUUAGUCGGACGAUUUAUCGGGUAAUCGGCUACUCGGGGACCCUAUGAGUAGGGAUUAAUCGGCAAGUUAACUGGUUAAUCGGAUGAAUUCUUGAACAGGGUCUGCGAUACAUUCACCUAAUGAUUUAACAACUCAUUAUAAUGUAAAACAAUCACUAAAUUAAAUUGAAAACACAAAAUUAAAGUAAAAAUAAAAAAUAAAACCAAAACACACCCAAACAUUUAGUACCGGUUGGUGUUACCAACCGGUACUAAUGUCCUACGCGCCCACGGAGCUGGCUCGUGCCACGUGGUUGCCCUUUAGCACCGGUUCGUGCUGAACCGGUACUAAAAGGGGGGGCUUUAGUGCCCACAAUUUAGUGCCGGUUACCGAACCGGCACUAAAGGGCCUUAUGAACCGGUGCUAUUGCCCGGUUCUGCACUAGUGUGAGGAGGCCCAUUGUUGGAAUAUACAAGCCAAGUUCUAUAACGAAAGAUUCCCACUAGUAUAUGAAAGUGACAACAUAGGAGACUCUCUAUCAUGAAGAUCAUGGUGCUACUUUGAAGCACAAGUGUGGUAAAAGGAUAGUAGCAUUGUCCCUUUUAUUUUAUUUUUUAUUUUUUAUUUGGCCUUUCCUUUUUUUAUUUGGCCUUCCCUUUUUUUAUUUGGCCUUUCUCUUUUUUUUUGGGACAAUGCUCUAUUGAAUGAUGAUUAUCACACUUCUAUCUAUUUACAACUCAAUGAUUACAACUCGAUACUAGAACAAAGUAUGACUCUAUAUGAAUGCCUCCGGCGGUGUACCGGGAUGUGCAAUGAAUCAAGAGUGACAUGUAUGAAAGAAUUAUGAAUGGUGGCUUUGCCACAAAUACUGUGUCAACUACAUGAUCAUGCUAAGCAAUAUGACAAUGAUGAAUGUGUCACGAUGAACAGAAUGAUGGAAAGUUGCAUGGCAAUAUAUCUCGGAAUGGCUAUGGAAAUGCCAUAAUAGGUAGGUAUGGUGGCUGUUUUGAGGAAGGUAUAUGGUGGGUUUAUGGUACCGGCGAAAGUUGCGCGGUACUAGAGAGGCUAGCAAUGGUGGAAGGAUGAGAGUACGUAUAAUCCAUGGACUCAACAUUAGUCAUAAAGAACUCACAUACUUAUUGCAAAAAUCUAUUAGUUAUCGAAACAAAGUACUACGCGCAUGCUCCUAGGGGGAUAGAUUGGUAGGAAAAGACCAUCACUUGUCCCCGACCGCCACUCAUAAGGAAGGCAAUCAAUAAAUAAAUCAUGCUCCGACUUCAUCACAUAACGGUUCACCAUACGUGCAUGCUACGGGAAUCACAAACUUCAACACAAGUAUUUCUCAAAUUCACAACUACUCAACUAGCAUGACUCUAAUAUUACCAUCCUCAUAUCUCAAAACAAUCAUCAAGUAUCAAACUUCUCUUAGUAUUCAACACACUCAUAAGAGAAUUUUAUUAUUCUUGAAUACCUAGCAUAUUAGGAUUUUAAGAAAAUUACCAUGCUAUUUAAGACUCUCAAAAUAAUCUAAGUGAAGCAUGAGAGUUCGUCUAUUUCUUCAAAAUAAAACUACCACCAUGCUCUAAAAGAUAUAAGUGAAGCACUAGAGCAAAUGACAAACUAUUCCGAAAGAUAUGAGUGAAGAUCAAUGAGUAGUUGAAUAAUUAUGCAACCAUGUGGAGACUCUCUAAAAUUUAAUAAUUUCAGAUCUUGGUAUUCUAUUCAAACAGCAAGAAAAGCAAAAUAAAAUGACAUCUAAGAAUAGAAAACAUCAUGUGAGUAAGCAAAAACUUAGGAUCAACCGAAACUAACCGAUAGUUGUUGAAGAAGAAAGGUGGGAUGCCAACCGGGGCAUCCCCAAGCUUAGACGCUUGAGACUUCUUGAAAUAUUAUCUUGGGGUGCCUUGGGCAUCCCCAAUCUUGAGCUUUUGUGUCUCCUUAAUUCCUCUCAUAUCAAGGUCUCCCUAAAUCUCAAAAGCUUCAUCCACACAAACCUCAACAAGGACUCGUGAGAUAAGUUAGUAUAAACCAUUGCAAAAACCUUAUCAUAAUCUACUGUAGCAAAUCAGUAAAAUUAUUAUUCAACAUUGCAUACUAAAUGCCUCUGCAUAUUUAAUAGUCCUAUCCUAAAAUAGAAUCAUUAAAGAAGCAAACAUAUGCAAACAAUGCAAACAUAACAGCAAUCUGCCUAAACAGGAUAGUCUGUAAAGAAUGCUGCAACAUCCAUACUUCCCUAGCUCCAAAAAUUAUGAAAGAAAAUUCCCACUGUAGUAAAUUUAGCAGAGCUUAAUAUUCAAAAGGUUUCAACAUUUUAUCAUAUUCUGACUUUUCUAGGGAAUUAUUGCAACAGCGGUAAACUUUCUGUUUUCAAACAGCAACAUGAAGACUUGUAACAUAGGCAUAGUAAAGACUAUCAAUGCCACUUUUAUUGGAAUAAAAUAUGAAAAACAAUGUUCUAAAUAACAGCAAGAAAAUCCUAACAAAAUAAAUUUACGCUCCAAGCAAAACACAUAUCAUGUGGCGAAUAAAAAUAUAGCUCCAAGUAAAGUUACCGAUGAACGAAGACGAAAGAGGGGAUGCCUUCCGGGGCAUCCCCAAGCUUAGGCUCUUGGUUGUCCUUGAAUAUUACCUUGGGGUGCCUUGGUCAUCCCCAAGCUUAGGCUCUUGACACUCCUUAUUCCAUAGUCCAUCGAAUCCUUACCCAAAACUUGAAAACUUCACAACACAAAACUUAACAGAAAACUCGUAAGCUCCGUUAGUAUAAGAAAAUAAAUCACCACUUAAAGGUACUGUAAUGAACUCAUUAUUUAUUUAUAUUGGUGUUAAUCCUACUGUAUUUCAACUUCUCUAUGGUUUAUAAACUAUUUUACUAGCCAUAGAUUCAUCGAAAUAAGCAAACAACACACGAAAAACAGAAUCUGUCAAAAACAGAACAGUCUGUAGUAAUCUGGAUCAAACGUAUACUUCUGGAACUCAUAAAAUUCUCAAAUAAAUUUCUGGACCUAAGUAAUUUGUCUAUUAAUCAUCUUCAAAAAGAAUUAUCUAAAUAUCACUCUCAAAAUAAAAAUGGAUGCAAUUCUCGUGAGCACUAAAGUUUCUGUUUUUGACAGCAUGAUCAGCAAGACUUUCCCCAAGUCUUCCCAAAGGUUCUACUUGGCACAAACAGUAACUAAAAGCAUAAAACCACAUCUAAUCAGAGUCUAGAUGGAUUAUUUAUUAUUAAACAGGAACAAGAAGCAAGGAACAAAAAUAAAAUUGGGUUGCCUCCCAACAAGCGCUAUCGUUUAAUGGCCCUAGCUAGACAUGAUGAUUUCAAUGAUGCUCACAUAAAAGAUAAGAAUUGAAACAUAAAGAGAGCAUCAUGAAGAAUAUGACUAGCACAUUUAAGCCUAACAUACUUCCUAUGAAUAGGGAUUUUGUGAGCAAACAACUUAUGGGAACAAUAAUCAACUUGCAUAGGAAGGUAAAACAAGCAUAACUUCAAAACUUUAAGCACAUAGAGAGGAAACUUGAUAUUAUUACAAUUCCUACAAGCAUAUGUUCCUCCCACAUAAUAAUUUUCAGUAGCAUCAUGAAUGAAUUCAACAAUAUAACCAGCACCUAAAGCAUUCUUUUCAUGAUCUACAAGCAUAGAAAUUUUAUUACUCUCCACACAAGCAAAAUUCUUCUCAUGAAUAAUGGGAGUAUCAUAGGAAACUCGAAUACUAUAAAUUGUUUCCAUGUUAAAAGAGUAAGGUUCAGAGAAGGGGUAAUCAUAAUCAUGACAAGUUUUAUAAAUAUAAUCACUACUUUUUAUAGCAUAAGUAUCAUCACAAUAAUCAUCAUAAGUAGGGGGCAUGCCAUCAUCAUUAUAAACUUGCAUAUCAAAACUUGGGAGACUAAAAAUAUCAUCUUCAUUAAUCAUAGCUUCCCCAAGCUUGGGACAAACAUUAAUUGCAGAAAAUAUAUUCUCAAAUAUGUCAUCCUCAUCAAACAUAGCUUCCCCAAGCUUGGGCCUUUUCAUAUCAUAAGCAUAAUCACUCUCAUCAUUAAUAGUAUAGAUAGCACCGAUAGUAUAGCAAUUAUUAUAUUCUUCCAAGCAAGUGCCAAAAAGAUUUUCAAGAUCAUAAGAAGUAUCAUUAUCUUCCCAAUCAUAAUCAUCACAACAAGCAAUAGGCAUAAUGAGAUCAUCAUCAAGUGUAUCAUCUUCAUUUUCAUGAGGCACAACAAUAAUAGGAGCAACUUUAUUUGGGAGAGAUACCUUUUUACCUCUCUUCCUUUUUCUUUUCUUCUUCUUCACCACAUCAUGUGUGGGUUCAAUCCUCUUUUUGGAGCUCCUCAUUAAUGAGAUUGGUUGAAUAGGAGGCUCCUCCUCGUUACCUGAUUCAUCAUAAGAAAUAAUAGGAGGGUAUAGGGAGGCCUCUUCCCUUUCAUUAGUAUUCUCUUCGUCUUCUAUUUCUUUUCUUUUCUUUAUGUAGUUGGCAAUAUAAGGAUUUUCAAUACAAUUCACCGCACAAUACAUAUAAAUUUCCUUUAGAUCAAAACCAAGAAGUUUAUAACGGGAAAAUUCCGGAAGAUAGUUAGUUAUACAUUUCAUUUCUUCAUAGCCCAUAAGCAAACUAAGUUCAUUAUAGUGUGCAAGGGAAAUCAAGUCAUCACAAUUUUUGGACACGGUUAGAUCAUGAAACAAUUUGCAUCGGAUAACUAAAUGACCACUUUCAUUGCAAAGUCCACAAGUACGGCCAAGAAAAUUUAAAUUUUCAGCACAAUCAUCUAGCCUUUCUUGCAACAAUUUAGUUUCUAAGUACUUAUGCUUCAUGCACUAUCUAUCUUCCCUAUUUGGUGUGUACUUACAAACCCAAUGCACUCCACAAAAAUUGACAUGUUUAUAGGAGACAUUUUCAUCAUAACUAGUGCAAUCAUCAUUAGUGUCAUGGAUAUUCAAAGAAUUCGUACUAACAACAUUGCAAUCAUGCGCAUCAUUCACAUAUUUUAUGCCAAGCAUUCUAUGUAAUUCUUCUUCUAGCAUUUGGGCACAAUUUUCCUUUCCAUCAUACUUAUGAAAAAUAUUAAAAAGGUGAAGCGUAUGAGACAAACUCAAUUCCAUUUUUUAUAGUUUUCUUUUAUAAACUAAACUAGUGAUAAAACAAGAAACUAAAAGACUUGAUUGCAAGAUCUAAAGAUAUACCUUCAAGCGCUAACCUCCCCGGCAACGGCGCCAGAAAAGAGCUUGAUGUCUACUACACAACCUUCUUCUUGUAGACGUUGUUGGGCCUCCAAGUGCAGAGGUUUGUAGGACAGUAGCAAAUUUCCCUCAAGUGGAUGACCUAAGGUUUAUCAAUCCGUAGGAGGCAUAGGAUGAAGAUGGUCUCUCUCAAGCAACCCUACAACCAAAUAACAAAGAGUCUCUUGUGUCCCCAACACACCCAAUACAAUGGUAAAUUGUAUAGGUGCACUAGUUCGGCAAAGAGAUGGUGAUACAAGUGGUAUAUGGAUAAUAGAUAAAGGUAUUUGUAAUCUGAAAAUAUAAAAACAGCAAGGUAACUAAUGAUAAAAGUGAGCGUAAACGGUAUUGCAAUGCUAGGAAACAAGGCCUAGGGUUCAUACUUUCACUAGUGUAAGUUCCCUCAACAAUACUAACAUAAUUGGAUCACAUAACUAUCCCUCAACAUGCAACAAAGAGUCACUCCAAAGUCACUAAUAUCGGAGAACGAACGAAGAGAUUAUGGUAGGGUACGAAACCACCUCAAAGUUAUUCUUUCCAAUCAAUUCGUUGGGCUAUUCCUAUAAUUGUCACAAACAGCCCUAGAGUUCGUACUAGAAUAACACCUUAAGACACAAAUCAACCAAAACCCUAAUGUCACCUAGAUACUCCAAUGUCACCUCAAAUAUCCGUGGGUAUGAUUAUACGAUAUGCGUCACACAAUCUCAGAUUCUAUUCAACCAACACAAAGGACCUCAAAGAGUGCCCCAAAGUUUCUACCAGAGAAUCACGACGAAAACGUGUGCCAACCCCUAUGCAUAGGUUCAUGGGCGGAACCCGCAAGUUGGUCACUAAAACAUACAACAAGUGGCACGUGGUAUCCCAUUGUCACCACAGAUAUCCACGGCAAGACAUACAUCAAGUGUUCUCAAAUCUUUAAAGACUCAAUCCGAUAAGAUUACUUCAAAGGGGAAACUCAAUUCAUUACAAGAGAGAAGAGGGGGAGGAGAAACAUAAGAUCCAACUACAAUAGCAAAGCUCGCGAUACAUCAAGAUCGUGCCAAAUCAAGAACACGAGAGAGAGAGAGAGAGAGAUCAAACACAUAGCUACUGGUACAUACCCUCAGCCCCGAGGGAGAACUACUCCCUCCUUGUCAUGGAGAUCACCGUGAUGAUGAAGAUGGCCACCAAGGAGGAUUUCCCCCUCCGGCAGGGUGCCUCCGGUUAAUAGGUUAGUCCCGAAAGUAAUAUAAAAGUGGAUAAUAAAGCCCAAUAAUGCCCAAAACAGUAGAUAAUAUAGCAUGGAGCAAUCAAAAAUUAUAGAUACGUUGGAGACGUAUCACCAUGCGGAAGGUCGCCGCUGGUGGUCGCCGUGUAGAUCUUCCCACCGUCGAUAAUCACAAAGCUACCUGUGAGGGAGUGGUGGCAUAGACAGGGGAGAGUGGGCGGUGAGAGAGGGAUGAGGAGAUUUAUGGGGCGGUUUUGAGAAACUAUGCACCCUCCCCCUCUCGUCCCCGCGUGUGCAGCCACGUGGCCUCCUUGCGCUCGCUCGUGCCUGACUCGCUAGAAACGGUUGAUUCGGCCAUUACUCCAAAGCCGGGCUCUAGGCUGCUUUGAGUAGUGUGCUAUGCAAGCCUAACCGCACACGCAUCUAACCAAACGACCAAAAUUACCUUCCCAGAUUGCUAGAGAUGAUGUGGGCAACCAAACACGCCCAAGGUAGCAUGUCUGGCGUCCAUGUAGUAGUAUAUGAUGUGAUGGUUUCUCAGAAACCCCGGGGAUGGAAUGGAUGGAGGGCAUGUCAAAUACUCCCUCCAUUUCUUUAUGUAAGGUGUAUUAUUUUUGGCACGGUGACCAAGACACAUAAUUAUAGACAUGUUAGGACCAAAUUACCCUUGGCAAAUUUGUUGGUUAGUGGCAAGUAAAUCAGUUACUCCGGGAAAGUAAGACAUACAUGCAAUCAACAAAGAGGAUACAGACAAUUAGGAGAGAGAUACUUUCCUUUUUUUCUGGAGGGCUAACAAGAAAAUUAUGAGGAAUUAGAAGAAAUGCAUCUUACAUUCUGGAACUUUAUCAAAAAACAAAUACACCUUAUUGAGAAACAAUAUAACGGAACGAGCUACGAGCAUCCACGGCGCUUGCCAUCACUAACUGUCCGAUCAGGUCGAUCUUGGAUGUCCUGAUGUUUCUCUUGGGCCGCUGCUCGGUGGAGCUAUCUAGGCCGGCUGUGAUUGUUUGGGCCACCUGUGCUUAUUGGGCUGGCGGUUGCGUGCGUUUAACCCAACUAAUGAAGUUUGAAACAUGAUUCUAGCCCAAAAGUUUGAAACAUAUCAAUCCCCUAGCACAAGUCUAUGAAGGGUUUCGUAGUAAUUUCAAAAAUUUUCCUACGUGCACACAGGAUCAUGUGAUGCAUAGCAACGAGGGGGAGAGUAUUGUCUACGUACCCUACGCAGACCGACUGCGGAAGCGAUGACACGACGUAGAGGAAGUAGUCGUACGUCUUCACGAUCCAACCGAUCAAGCACCGAAACUACGGCACCUCCGAGUUCGAGCACACGUUCAGCUCGAUGACGAUCCCCGGACUCCGAUCCAGCAAAGUGUCGGGGAAGAGUUCCGUCAGCACGACGGCGUGGUGACGAUCUUGAUGAACUACAGCAGCAGGGCUUCGCCUAAACUCCGCUACAGUAUUAUCGAGGAAUAUGGUGGCAGGGGGCACCGCACACGGCUAAGGAAUCGAUCACGUGGAUCAACUUGUGUCAACUUGUGUGUUUAGAGGUGCCCCUGCCUCCGUAUAUAAAGGAGGAGAGGAGGGGAGGCUGGCCGGCCAAAGGGGGGAGGCGCAGGAGAGUCCUACUCCCUCUGGGAGUAGGAUUCCCCCUCCAAUCCUAGUCCAACUAGGAUUCCUCGGAGGGGAAAAGAGGAGGAGGGGGCCGGCCACCUCUCCUAGUCCUAAUAGGACUAGGGGAAGGGGGUGGCGCGCAGCCCAUCUAGGGCAGCCCCUUCUCUUUUCCACUAAGGCCCACUAUGGCCCAAAAAGCUCCCGGGGGGUUCCGGUAACCCUCUCGGUAUUCCGGUAAAAUCCCGAUUUCACCCGGAACACUUCCGAUAUCCAAAUAUAGGCUUCCAAUAUAUCAAUCUUUACGUCUCGACUAUUUCGAGACUCCUCGUCAUGUCCGUGAUCACAUCCGGGACUCCGAACAACCUUCGGUACAUCAAAAUGCAUAAACUCAUAAUAUAACUGUCAUCGUAACCUUAAGCGUGUGGACCCUACGGGUUCGAGAACAAUGUAGACAUGACCGAGACACGUCUCCGGUCAAUAACCAAUAGCGGGACCUGGAUGCCCAUAUUGGCUCCUACAUAUUCUACGAAGAUCUUUAUCGGUCAGACCGCAUAACAACAUACGUUGUUCCCUUUGUCAUCGGUAUGUUACUUGCCCGAGAUUCGAUCGUCGGUAUCCAAUACCUAGUUCAAUCUCGUUACCGGCAAGUCUCUUUACUCGUUCCGUAAUACAUCAUCUCACAACUAACAUAUUAGUUGUAAUGCUUGCAAGGCUUAUGUGAUGUGUAUUACCGAGAGGGCCCAGAGAUACCUCUCCGACAAUCGGAGUGACAAAUCCUAAUCUCGAAACACGCCAACCCAACAUCGACCAUUGGAGACACCUGUAGUACUCCUUUAUAAUCACCCAGUUACGUUGUGACGUUUGGUAGUACCCAAAGUGUUCCUCCGGUAAACGGGAGUUGCAUAAUCUCAUAGUCAUAGGAACAUGUAUAAGUCAUGAAGAAAGCAAUAGCAACAUACUAAACGAUCGGGUGCUAAGCUAAUGGAAUGGGUCAUGUCAAUCAGAUCAUUCUACUAAUGAUGUGACCUCGUUAAUCAAAUAACAACUCAUUGUUCAUGGUUAGGAAACAUAACCAUCUUUGAUUAACGAGCUAGCCAAGUAGAGGCAUACUAGUGACACUCUGUUUGUCUAUGUAUUCACACAUGUAUUAUGUUUCCGGUAAAUACAAUUCUAGCAUGAAUAAUAAACAUUUAUCAUGAUUAUAAGGAAAUAAAUAAUAACUUUAUUAUUGCCUCUAGGGCAUAUUUCCUUCAGUCUCCCACUUGCACUAGAGUCAAUAAUCUAGAUUACACUGUAAUGAAUCUAACACCCAUGGAGCUUUGGUGCUGAUCUUGUUUUGCUCGUGGAAGAGGCUUAGUCAACGGGUCUGCAACAUUCAGAUCCGUAUGUAUCUUGCAAAUCUCUAUGUCUCCCACCUGGACUAGAUCCCGGAUGGAGUUGAAGCGUCUCUUGAUGUGUUUGGUCCUUUUGUGAAAUCUGGAUUCCUUUGCCAAGGCAAUUGCACCAGUAUUGUCACAAAAGAUUUUCAUUGGACCCGAUGCACUAGGUAUGACACCUAGAUCGGAUAUGAACUCCUUCAUCCAGACUCCUUCAUUUGCUGCUUCCGAAGCAGCUAUGUAUUCCGCUUCACAUGUAGAUCCCGCUACGACGCUUUGUUUAGAACUGCACUAACUAACAGCUCCACCGUUUAAUGUAAACACGUAUCCGGUUUGCGAUUUAGAAUCGUCCGGAUCAGUGUCAAAGCUUGCAUCAACGUAACCUUUUACGAUGAGCUCUUUGUCACUUCCAUAUACGAGAAACAUAUCCUUAGUCCUUUUCAGGUAUUUCAGGAUGUUCUUGACCGCUGUCCAGUGAUCCAUUCCUGGAUUACUUUGGUACCUCCCUGCUAAACUUAUAGCAAGGCACACAUCAGGUCUGGUACACAGCAUUGCAUACAUGAUAGAGCCUAUGGCUGAUGCAUAGGGAACAUCUUUCAUAUUCUCUUUAUCUUCUGCAGUGGUCGGGCAUUGAGUCUUACUCAAUUUCACACCUUGUAACACAGGCAAGAACCCUUUCUUCGCUUGAUCCAUUUUGAACUUCUUCAAAAUUUUGUCAAGGUAUGUGCUUUGUGAAAGUCCAAUUAAGCGUCUUGAUCUAUCUCUAUAGAUCUUAAUGCCUAAUAUGUAAGCAGCUUCACCGAGGUCUUUCAUUGAAAAACUUUUAUUCAAGUAUCCCUUUAUGCUAUCCAGAAAUUCUAUAUCAUUUCCAAUCAGUAAUAUGUCAUCCACAUAUAAUAUCAGAAAUGCUACAGAGCUCCCACUCACUUUCUUGUAAAUACAGACUUCUCCGAAAGUCUGUAUAAAACCAAAUGCUUUGAUCACACUAUCAAAACUUUUAUUCCAACUCCGAGAGGCUUGCACCAGUCCAUAAAUGGAUCGCUGGAGCUUGCACACUUUGUUAGCUCCCUUUGGAUCGACAAAACCUUCUGGUUGCAUCAUAUACAACUCUUCUUCCAGAAAUCCAUUCAGGAAUGCAGUUUUGACAUCCAUUUGCCAAAUUUCAUAAUCAUAAAAUGCGGCAAUUGCUAACAUGAUUCGGACGGACUUAAGCAUCGCUACGGGUGAGAAGGUCUCAUCAUAGUCAAUUCCUUGAACUUGCCGAAAACCUUUUGCGACAAGUCGAGCUUUGUAGACAGUAACAUUACCAUCAGCGUCAGUCUUCUUCUUAAAAAUCCAUUUAUUCUCAAUUGCUUGCCGAUCAUCGGGCAAGUCAACCAAAGUCCAUACUUUGUUCUCAUACAUGGAUCCCAUCUCAGAUUUCAUGGCUUCAAGCCACUUUACGGAAUCUGGGCUCACCAUCGCUUCUUCAUAGUUCGUAGGUUCAUCAUGAUCUAGUAGCAUGACCUCCAGAACAGGAUUACCGUACCACUCUGGUGCGGAUCUUACUCUGGUUGAUCUACGCGGUUCAGUAGUAUCUUGAUCUGAAGUUUCAUGAUCAUUAUCAUUGGCUUCCUCACUAACUGGUGUAGGUGUCACUGAAACAGUUUUCUGUGAUGAACUACUUUCCAGUAAGGGAGCAGGUACAGUUACCUCGUCAAGUUCUACUUUCCUCCCACUCACUUCUUUCGAGAGAAACUCCUUCUCUAGAAAUGAUCCAUCCUUAGCAACGAAUGUUUUGCCUUCGGAUCUGUGAUAGAAGGUGUACCCAACAGUUUCCUUUGGGUAUCCUAUGAAGACACAUUUCUCCGAUUUGGGUUCGAGCUUAUCAGGUUGAAGCUUUUUCACAUAAGCAUCGCAGCCCCAAACUUUAAGAAACGACAACUUUGGUUUCUUGCCAAACCACAGUUCAUAAGGCGUCGUCUCAACGGAUUUUGAUGGUGCCCUAUUUAACGUGAAUGCGGCCGUCUCUAAAGCAUAUCCCCAAAAUGAUAGCGGUAAAUCAGUAAGAGACAUCAUAGAUCGCACCAUAUCUAGUAAAGUACGAUUACGACGUUCGGACACACCAUUACGCUGUGGUGUUCCGGGUGGCGUGAGUUGCGAAACUAUUCCACAGUUUUUCAAAUGUACACCAAACUCGUAACUCAAAUAUUCUCCUCCACGAUCAGAUCGUAGAAAUUUUAUUUUCUUGUUACGAUGUUUUUCAACUUCACUCUGAAAUUCUUUGAACUUUUCAAAUGUUUCAGACUUAUGCUUCAUUAAGUAGAUAUAUCCAUAUCUGCUCAAAUCAUCUGUGAAGGUGAGAAAAUAACGAUAUCCGCCUCGAGCCUCAAUAUUCAUCGGACCACAUACAUCGGUAUGUAUGAUUUCCAACAAAUCUGUUGCUCUCUCCAUAGUACCGGAGAACGGUGUUUUAGUCAUCUUGCCCAUGAGGCACGGUUCGCAAGUACCAAGUGAUUCAUAAUCAAGUGGUUCCAAAAGUCCAUCAGUAUGGAGUUUCUUCAUGCGCUUUAUACCGAUAUGACCUAAACGACAGUGCCACAAAUAAGUUGCACUUUCAUUAUCAACUCUGCAUCUUUUGGUUUCAACAUUAUGAAUAUGUGUAUUACUACUAUCGAGAUUUAAUAAGAAUAGACCACUCUUCAAGGGUGCAUGACCAUAAAAGAUAUUACACAUAUAAAUAGAACAACCAUUAUUCUCAGAUUUAAAUGAAUAACCGUCUCGCAUUAAACAAGAUCCAGAUAUAAUGUUCAUGCUCAACGCUGGCACCAAAUAACAAUUACUUAGGUCUAAUAUUAAUCCCAAAGGUAGAUGUAGAGGUAGCGUGCCGAUUGCGAUCACAUCGACUUUGGAACCGUUUCCCACGCGCAUCGUCACCUCGUCCUUAGCCAAUCUUCGCUUAAUCCGUAGCCCCUGUUUCGAGUUGCAAAUAUUAGCAACAGAACCAGUAUCGAAUACCCAGGUGCUACUGCGAGCAUUAGUAAGGUACACAUCAAUAACAUGUAUAUCACAUAUACCUUUGUUCACCUUGCCAUCCUUCUUAUCCGCCAAAUACUUGGGGCAGUUCCGCUUCCAGUGACCAGUCUGCUUGCAGUAGAAGCACUCAGUUUCAGGCUUAGGUCCAGACUUGGGUUUCUUCUCUUGAGCAGCAACUUGCUUGCCGUUCUUCUUGAAGUUCCCCUUUUUCUUCCCUUUGCCCUUUUUCUUGAAACUAGUGGUCUUGUUAACCAUCAACACUUGAUGCUCCUUCUUGAUUUCUACCUCCGCAGCUUUCAGCAUUGCGAAGAGCUCGGGAAUAGUCUUGUUCAUCCCUUGCAUAUUAUAGUUCAUCACGAAGCUCUUGUAGCUUGGUGGUAGUGAUUGGAGAAUUCUAUCAAUGACGCAAUCAUCCGGAAGAUUAACUCCCAAUUGAAUCAAGUGAUUAUUAUACCCAGACAUUUUGAGUAUAUGCUCACUGACAGAACUGUUCUCCUCCAUUUUGCAGCUAUAGAACUUAUUGGAGACUUCAUAUCUCUCAAUUCGGGCAUUUGCUUGAAAUAUUAACUUCAACUCCUGGAACAUCUCAUAUGCUCCAUGACGUUCAAAACGUCGUUGAAGUCCCGAUUCUAAGCCGUAAAGCAUUGCACACUGAACUAUCGAGUAGUCAUCAGCUUUGCUCUGCCAGACGUUCAUAACAUCUGGCGUUGCUCCAGCAGCAGGCCUGGCACCCAGCGGUGCUUCCAGGACGUAAUUCUUCUGUGCAGCAAUGAGGAUAAUCCUCAAGUUACGGACCCAGUCCGUGUAAUUGCUACCAUCAUCUUUCAACUUUGCUUUCUCAAGGAACGCAUUAAAAUUCAACGGAACAACAGCACGAGCCAUCUAUCUACAAUCAACAUAAACAAGCAAGAUACUAUCAGGUACUAAGUUCAUGAUAAAUUUAAGUUCAAUUAAUCAUAUUACUUAAGAACUCCCACUUAGAUAGACAUCCCUCUAAUCCUCUAAGUGAUUACGUGAUCCAAAUCAACUAAACCAUAACCGAUCAUCACGUGAGAUGGAGUAGUUUUCAAUGGUGAACAUCGUUAUGUUGAUCAUAUCUACUAUAUGAUUCACGCUCGACCUUUCGGUCUCCGUGUUCCAAGGCCAUAUCUGCAUAUGCUAGGCUCGUCAAGUUUAACCUGAGUAUUCUGCGUGCGCAACUGUUUUGCACCCGUUGUAUUUGAACGUAGAGCCUAUCACACCCGAUCAUCACGUGGUGUCUCAGCACGAAGAACUUUCGCAACGGUGCAUACUCAGGGAGAACACUUCUUGAUAAUUUAGUGAGAGAUCAUCUUAUAAUGCUACCGUCAAUCAAAGCAAGAUAAGAUGCAUAAAAAGAUAAACAUCACAUGCAAUCAAUAUAAGUGAUAUGAUAUGGCCAUCAUCAUCUUGUGCUUGUGAUCUCCAUCUCCGAAGCACCGUCAUGAUCACCAUCGUCACCGGCGCGACACCUUGAUCUCCAUCGUAGCAUCGUUUUCGUCUCGCCAAUCUUAUGCUUCCACGACUAUCACUACCGUUUAGUAAUAAAGUAAAGCAUUACAUCGCGAUUGCAUUGCAUACAAUAAAGCGACAACCAUAUGGCUCCUGCCAGUUGCCGAUAACUUGGUUACAAAACAUGAUCAUCUCAUACAAUAAAAUUCAGCAUCAUGCCUUGACCAUAUCACAUCACAACAUGCCCUGCAAAAACAAGUUAGACGUCCUCUACUUUGUUGUUGCAUGUUUUACGUGGCUGCUACGGGCUUAAGUAAGAACCAAUCUCACCUACGCAUCAAAACCACAACGAUAGUUUGUCAAAUAGACUCCGUUUUAACCUUCGCAAGGACCGGGCGUAGCCAUACUUGGUUCAACUAAAGUUGGAGAGGCAGUCGCCCGCAAGCCAUCUCUGUGCAAAGCACGUCGAGGGAACCGGUCUCGCGUAAGCGUACGCGUAAGGUUGGUCUGGGUCGUCUCGUCCAACAAUACCGCCGAACUAAGGUAUGACAUGCUGGUAGGUAGUAUGACUUGUAUCGUCCACAACUCACUUGUGUUCUACUCGUGCAUAUAACAUCAACAAAAAUAACCUGGCUCGGAUGCCACUGAAGGGUUUCGUAGUAAUUUCAAAAAAUUUCCUACGUGCACACAGGAUCAUGGGAUGCAUAGCAACGAGGGGGAGAGUAUUGUCUACGUACCCUACGCAGACCGACUGCGGAAGCGAUGACACGACGUAGAGGAAGUAGUCGUACGUCUUCACGAUCCAACCGAUCAAGCACCGAAACUACGGCACCUCCGAGUUCGAGCACACGUUCAGCUCGAUGACGAUCCCCGGACUCCGAUCCAGCAAAGUGUCGGGGAAGAGUUCCGUCAGCACGACGGCGUGGUGACGAUCUUGAUGAACUACAGCAGCAGGGCUUCGCCUAAACUCCGCUACAGUAUUAUCGAGGAAUAUGGUGGCAGGGGGCACCGCACACGGCUAAGGAAUCGAUCACGUGGAUCAACUUGUGUCAACUUGUGUGUUUAGAGGUGCCCCUGCCUCCGUAUAUAAAGGAGGAGAGGAGGGGAGGCUGGCCGGCCAAAGGGGGGAGGCGCAGGAGAGUCCUACUCCCUCUGGGAGUAGGAUUCCCCCUCCAAUCCUAGUCCAACUAGGAUUCCUCGGAGGGGAAAAGAGGAGGAGGGGGCCGGCCACCUCUCCUAGUCCUAAUAGGACUAGGGGAAGGGGGUGGCGCGCAGCCCAUCUAGGGCAGCCCCUUCUCUUUUCCACUAAGGCCCACUAUGGCCCAAAAAGCUCCCGGGGGGUUCCGGUAACCCUCUCGGUAUUCCGGUAAAAUCCCGAUUUCACCCGGAACACUUCCGAUAUCCAAAUAUAGGCUUCCAAUAUAUCAAUCUUUACGUCUCGACUAUUUCGAGACUCCUCGUCAUGUCCGUGAUCACAUCCGGGACUCCGAACAACCUUCGGUACAUCAAAAUGCAUAAACUCAUAAUAUAACUGUCAUNNNNNNNNNNNNNNNNNNNNNNNNNNNNNNNNNNNNNNNNNNNNNNNNNNNNNNNNNNNNNNNNNNNNNNNNNNNNNNNNNNNNNNNNNNNNNNNNNNNNNNNNNNNNNNNNNNNNNNNNNNNNNNNNNNNNNNNNNNNNNNNNNNNNNNNNNNNNNNNNNNNNNNNNNNNNNNNNNNNNNNNNNNNNNNNNNNNNNNNNNNNNNNNNNNNNNNNNNNNNNNNNNNNNNNNNNNNNNNNNNNNNNNNNNNNNNNNNNNNNNNNNNNNNNNNNNNNNNNNNNNNNNNNNNNNNNNNNNNNNNNNNNNNNNNNNNNNNNNNNNNNNNNNNNNNNNNNNNNNNNNNNNNNNNNNNNNNNNNNNNNNNNNNNNNNNNNNNNNNNNNNNNNNNNNNNNNNNNNNNNNNNNNNNNNNNNNNNNNNNNNNNNNNNNNNNNNNNNNNNNNNNNNNNNNNNNNNNNNNNNNNNNNNNNNNNNNNNNNNNNNNNNNNNNNNNNNNNNNNNNNNNNNNNNNNNNNNNNNNNNNNNNNNNNNNNNNNNNNNNNNNNNNNNNNNNNNNNNNNNNNNNNNNNNNNNNNNNNNNNNNNNNNNNNNNNNNNNNNNNNNNNNNNNNNNNNNNNNNNNNNNNNNNNNNNNNNNNNNNNNNNNNNNNNNNNNNNNNNNNNNNNNNNNNNNNNNNNNNNNNNNNNNNNNNNNNNNNNNNNNNNNNNNNNNNNNNNNNNNNNNNNNNGAGACACCUGUAGUACUCCUUUAUAAUCACCCAGUUACGUUGUGACGUUUGGUAGUACCCAAAGUGUUCCUCCGGUAAACGGGAGUUGCAUAAUCUCAUAGUCAUAGGAACAUGUAUAAGUCAUGAAGAAAGCAAUAGCAACAUACUAAACGAUCGGGUGCUAAGCUAAUGGAAUGGGUCAUGUCAAUCAGAUCAUUCUACUAAUGAUGUGACCUCGUUAAUCAAAUAACAACUCAUUGUUCAUGGUUAGGAAACAUAACCAUCUUUGAUUAACGAGCUAGCCAAGUAGAGGCAUACUAGUGACACUCUGUUUGUCUAUGUAUUCACACAUGUAUUAUGUUUCCGGUAAAUACAAUUCUAGCAUGAAUAAUAAACAUUUAUCAUGAUUAUAAGGAAAUAAAUAAUAACUUUAUUAUUGCCUCUAGGGCAUAUUUCCUUCAGUCUAGAGUUUCUCUCUCCUCCGGCGGCUCUACUGCCGUGAGUUGAUUUUGCUCAGGCGAUCAUCAUCUCCUACCGGUCCCCGUCCGCCUUUGUGGUCGCUGGCCGAUAUAGGGUUUCUGCGUCCGUUUUUUCACACAAAACGGUCUGAUGGAGAGAGGAGAAGGUAGCGGAUCUAUGGACCCAGUUGACGAGCUACUGGAGAAGUUGCAUCUGCAUGAAGAGGAGGAUGAAGGAUUUGUUUGGGAAGAUGUGGCUGAACCACCGCCCCGCGCAAAGUGGUUGGCAAUUGUGAAGGUACAUACCGUCAGAGGUUUUAGCCCUAGUGCUCUUUACGCAGAUAUGCGAUCUGCUUGGGAUCCGGCCAAGGAGGUGAUCUGGAGGCGGGUGGAUGACAACCUGUUCACCGCGCAAUUUGGAUGCCUGGGUGAUUGGAACAAGGCUAUGGUCAUGGGACCCUGGUUUUUCCGCAAUCAGGCGGUGCUCAUGGAGGAGUAUGAUGGAUUCUGCAACCCUAUAUCGGUAAUUUUGAACAAGCUCACAGUCUGGGCGCAAGUGCAUAAACUUCCUGACAACUAUUUGCACGAACAAAUUGUAAGGGGUAUGUGUAGGCCUAUGGGGGAAGUGAAGGAAGUUCAAAUCAAGCUGCCUGCUGGCUAUGUGGGUAAAUUUGUCAGAGUCAAAGUGAGUAUGAAAGUUGACAAGAAACUGACUAGGUUUGUGUCUAUGACCAAGGAAGGGAAGAGGGAGUGGUACCAGGUAAAAUAUGAAAAGUUGCCGAUGUUCUGCGGAGCUUGUGGACUGCUGGGGCACUGGUAUGAAGAAUGUGGCAAUGGAGAGCAUGACGUGGAAAAGCUGGAGUGGGGCGAUUUCAUUCUGGCAGACGGGGGGCGGGGAAGAGGUAGAGGACGACAGGGGGUAGUGGCGGUGGUCGCUUUGGCUCAACUGCAAACCUGUUCGGCAGGGGUGGUAGCAGGGAUGAUGGGGGCUUUGGUCGAGGAAGGGGGAGAGGUGCUAACAUACCCACUGAAAGUUGGCGCUUUAAUGCUGUGUUCCAAGGCACCCAGAACGAGGAACGUAAUAGUGGGGAUGCAACAACGGAUGAUCUGACGAGCCAAGACACUCGGGUAGCAGACGCUAUAUUACGCAAGAGAUUGGCCGAAGAUUCAGUUUCAAAUGAAACGCUUGCCACUGAGUCAGAAACAUUGGUGAGAGCAAUAGUACCGGUGGGUAAGGGCACUUUGGUGGCAAGUAUGGUUGAUCAGUUCGAGGCAAGUACUAGCUCUGAAGAUUUGCAAAGCACGCCGCAGAAAAACGCAAACAGGAAGAAGCUGCGGGGAGUUGAUGGUACUGUUGUGGUCGAUAUAGCAACGGAGACAUAUGAUGAUGAUAGAUCGGCGGCUCCCCUUGCGGGAGACCGCCGUGUACAAUGAGUGUAAUAUGUUGGAACUGUCGCGGUUUGGGUAAUCCCGCGACAGUUCAUGAGGUCCGCGAGCUCGCGAACAAAUUUACCCCGGCCGUUCUGUGUUUAGUCGAAACGCAAAUCCAGAGCGCGCGCGCUGAAAUUCUAGCUCUUUCUUUUGGUUAUAAUAAAUCUUUUGCUGUUAGUAGCUCCGGUCGGAGCGGUGGUCUUGUAAUUUUUUGGAAUGAGGAAAUAAAACUUAAGGUGUUGGGCUAUUCGAAGUACCAUAUUGAUGCAAGGAUCUCUGAUCUAGGACCGGCCCCUUGGAGGCUCACAUGUAUUUAUGGUGAAGCGCAGGUUCCGGAGAGAUACAGAACGUGGGACACACUACGCUCUUUGGCAGCAACAGCAGGAGAUCCAUGGAUGGUGCUGGGCGAUUUUAAUGAAGUCUUAUUUCAUUCUGAGUAUGAGGCAGUAGGCCAACGGAGCCAUGCACAACUUGAUGGAUUCAGAGAUGCUCUCGAUGUCUGCAGUUUAACAGAUUUGGGGCACAUAGGCCCUCAAUGGACUUUUGAGAGGAAGGUUGCUGGUGGAACUCAUACAAAGGUUCGAUUGGACAGGGUAGUAGCCGAUCCAAACUGGUGUGCGUUAUUUCCCGCGGCAUCGGUUGUGCAUGAGACUGCAGCCUGUUCUGAUCAUAGCCCUAUUUUGUUGAAGUUUUCGGAUGAGCUCAUCAAGAGGGAGGGUGCCAAAGAGUUUAAAUACGAGUUAAUGUGGGAAACCCAUCCAGAACUGAAGGCUUUUGUGAAUGGAAAGUGGAAGAAGGACCAUGAGAGUAGGACAGUUGAUAAGUUAAAGGAAAAGCUACAACAACUGGCAGGGGAUUUGUCUAGAUGGGAUCGCCAAACUUUUGGUAACGUGAGGAGGGGGAUCAAGAGAAUGAAAAAUGAACUGGAGAUCUUGCGAGCUAUUCCGGGUCGUGUCGGCCCAUCCGUUCAAGAGCUUAAGAUAACUGAUAACUUAGUUGAAUUAUAUCACCGCGAGGAGAUAUUAUGGAAACAGAGAUCUCGUGUUGACUGGUUAGUGGGAGGAGACAAAACACCCGUUAUUUCCAUAUUAGAGCAACCAUGAGGAGAAGGAAAAAUAUCAUCAAAUCUUUGACAAAGGGGAAUGGGGAUGUAGUGACAGAAAUAAAUGAGCUGGAGGCAAUGGCGACACAAUUCUAUUCUGAUUUAUACACCUCUGAAGGGGUAACCAACAUGCAUGUAGUGCUGGACUCGGUCUUACCCAGAGUUAUCGCUGAAAUGAACGCAGUUUUGAAUGCUAGCUAUUCGGGGGAAGAGGUGAAAUCAGCUAUGUUUCAGAUGUUCCCAACCAAAGCGCCGGGUCCGGAUGGCUAUCCGGCCCACUUUUUUCAAAAACAUUGGGACGUAUGCGGUGAUGAAGUGACAAAAGCAGUUUUACGUAUUUUGCUAGGGGAAGAAAAUGCAGAAUGCAUCAACCACACGUACCUUGUUCUCAUACCGAAGGUCAAGUCUCCUACUUCCCUUGCUCAGUUUCGCCCCAUUAGCUUAUGCAAUGUUCUAUACAAAAUAGCUUCAAAAGUUGUUGCUAACCGGCUCAAGGAGAUACUUCCAGAUAUUAUUUCACCUGAGCAGUCAGCCUUUGUACCAGGUCGCUUAAUCACAGAUAACAUCAUCAUGGCCUACGAGUGCCUUCAUUUUAUGAAGAGAAACAAAGCUUUGAAGCAUAGGAGUUGUGCUUUGAAGUUGGAUAUGAUGAAAGCCUAUGACAGAGUGGAGUGGGAUUACUUGGAAGCUAUAAUGCUCAAGUUGGGCUUCUCGCGGAUAUGGGUAGACAGAGUAAUGAGCAUGGUGAAGUCAGUUUCCUUUUCUGUCCUUUUUAAUGGGAAUAAACUCGAGGUUUUUAAACCUACCAGAGGUAUUCGGCAGGGAGACCCAAUAUCACCCUACCUUUUCUUGUUAGCAGCGGAGGGCCUCUCAGGCCUCCUCAAAUCCAGAGAUCAGUCGUCGCAAGUUGGUGGAAUUCAGGUGGCCCCCUCGGCGCCUCCGGUUAACCACCUAUUAUUUGCUGAUGAUAGCCUGCUGUUUUUCAAGGCAAAUGGUGCAGGGGCGACAGAGGUGUCAAACCUACUGAACUCUUAUUGUCAAGCUUCAGGUCAGAGGAUCAAUAGCAGCAAGUCCUCCGUUUUCUUCAGCAAAGGAUGUCCAGAGUCGACCAGGCAGGAGGUCAAAGGUAUACUCAAUGUGCAAACUGAAACACUUAAUGAAAAGUAUCUGGGCAUGCCGUCUGAUAUUGGAACAAGUAAAACUGGGGCUUUCAAGUAUUUAAAAGACAGGCUAUGGAAUAAGGUGAAGGGAUGGAUUGAAAAAGCAAUCUCUGCCGCAGGAAAAGAAAUUUUGAUAAAGUCUGUGGCGCAAGCAGUUCCGGUUUUUUCUAUGUCCUGUUUUAAAUUACCGAGGGGGUUGUGUGAACACUUAAAUAAACUCAUCCGACAAUUCUUUUGGGGGAGCAAAGAGGGGAAGAGAAAGCCUCACUGGGUCUCUUGGCAAACGAUGACACAACCAAAAAAGAAUGGAGGACUUGGUUUUAGAGAUCUUGAGCUCUUCAACCUUGCGUUAUUAGCACGUCAGGCCUGGAGGUUGUUGACUAUGCCUGACUCUCUAUGUGCCAAGUUACUCAAGGCAAUUUACUUUCCGGAGGUAAGCAUUAUGGAUGCAGAAGUGGGCUCUCACCCUUCGCAGGUUUGGCGGUCGUUGAUUGAGGGAAGGGACGUGCUAGCUCAUGGCCUGAUCCGAAGAAUUGGAGACGGGAGUUCGACAGAGGUUUGGACGCAUAACUGGAUUCCCAGGGAUACUUCUAUGAAACCUAUAGCCUGCUUGAGGCCGAACCCACCAAUCCUAGUGUCGGAGUUGAUUGAUGCUGCAAAUGUAGCGUGGCGAUCUGAUCUUCUACAACAGUAUUUCCUACCAAUCGAUAUUCAGUCCAUCACUAAUAUACCACUAUGCACCAUGCCUAUGGCAGAUUUUUGGGCUUGGCAGUUUGAGAAGAAGGACUCCUUUUCGGUAAGAUCUGCUUAUAGACUGCUAGCAGAAACAAAGAAGAGAGGAGAGGAUUUGCUUCAAGGCCGGGCGUCAGUAUCAAACAUGUCACAGGAGGAGAAGGGAUGGACUACACUUAGGAGUCCUAAGAUCCCUUCAAAAAUUAAAACAUUCUUAUGGAGGCUUGCUAAGCAAUCUUUGCCUACAGAGGAUGUCCGAAAACAGAGGCACAUGAGUAUCAUAGACAAGUGCCAAUUGUGUGGUACUGUUGACUCUUGGAAACACUCUUUAAUGGAGUGCUCGAUGGCGCGGUGUGUAUGGGCACUGGCUGAUGAAGAGAUAGUGGAAGUGAUGGCUGAUGCUACAGAACCUAGUGCCAAACAUUGGUUAUUUCAUGUCCAGGGGUCUUUAUCACAUGCUGAAUUCGUGGAGGUGGCAGUCACCUUGGGGGCGAUAUGGACAGCCAGGCGCAAGGCAAUUCACGAGGAAGUCUAUCAGAGUCCAUUGGCAACGCACAAGUUCGUGAAACAUUUUCUGGCGGAGCUGGAGACCAUCAGUACGUUGUCCCAGAGGACGCUACAGAGACCAGCAGUUCGGGCUGCUGUGCAACAACGGACGAAAUGGAUUCCACCGCCAAAUGGAUUCAUGAAAAUCAAUGUUGAUGCAGCAUUGUCUGACACGAGUCUAGGAGCGGCAGCAGCAGUUUGCCGAGACAGCACAAGCUUGUAUUUGGGCUCGUCGGCUGUAGUGAUUCAAGGAGCUAUUGUUCCAGCAGUAGUAGAAGCUAUAGCUUGCCGUGAGGCACUCUCGCUUGCACAUGACCUUUCACUUCAGUAUUUCGUUGUGGCAUGCGAUUGCAAAACAGUAGUUGAUAACAUUCAGAAAGGAAAGGGAGGAACGUAUAUGUCAGUCAUCACGGAAAUAUUCAUCCGUACUUCUCUUUUUAAUAGCUGUAAUUUUAUUUUUGAAGGGAGAGCAUCGAACUUAGAUGCACAUAAACUUGCAAAAGAUUCAUUAGCACUUGAUCGGGGUCGCCACCUGUGGCUGAUUCACCCCCAUGACCCCUUAUGUAUCCCUCUUAAUGUCCAACUAGAUNNNNNNNNNNNNNNNNNNNNNNNNNNNNNNNNNNNNNNNNNNNNNNNNNNNNNNNNNNNNNNNNNNNNNNNNNNNNNNNNNNNNNNNNNNNNNNNNNNNNNNNNNNNNNNNNNNNNNNNNNNNNNNNNNNNNNNNNNNNNNNNNNNNNNNNNNNNNNNNNNNNNNNNNNNNNNNNNNNNNNNNNNNNNNNNNNNNNNNNNNNNNNNNNNNNNNNNNNNNNNNNNNNNNNNNNNNNNNNNNNNNNNNNNNNNNNNNNNNNNNNNNNNNNNNNNNNNNNNNNNNNNNNNNNNNNNNNNNNNNNNNNNNNNNNNNNNNNNNNNNNNNNNNNNNNNNNNNNNNNNNNUGCUCGUGCUUUAGUCUCUAAACUUUUUUUUGGAUACAAGCCUAUUACUUAUUUGUCCUGGGAAAAACUUCUAUACCCACCCGUUGAGCUAAAUUGUGAUAUUCUUGAUCACUAUGGAAAAUUUUGAGGUUAAUGUGUGCUGCACAUGCGGACAUUCCUAGCCUUUUAGGGUUAAGUCAGGCAUGGUAAGAAGUAUCCGUAUAUAGAUUAUCUGCAAAUAAACGGUGGAUGAUUCGUUAAUCCUAUAUGUAUGCUUCUUUGGAGGUGGCGUUGACAUAGUCAAUUUCUUUGUUUUUGUGUCUCUCAGUUGGUGAGGUUGGGAUGCCUAUCUCAUAUAUAUAAAUUAAGAAACAGUAUAAUGGGGCAGAAAGUCUCCCAUUAUGUGAAUGAUUAAAUUAUCCUUUAUGUAACUUUGUUUUCUUGAUAUAUAUUUUUUCAAAUGUUUACACAAUAUUUUAAAAUUUUAAAAAAUAUACGGGCGCAGCAACGCGCGCAAUCGUGAUCUAGUUUGUUUAAACUUAUAAUGAGGCUAGCCAACUCGCCUCCAGAAGGCUCCCUCGCGCGCAGCCCUUUAUGGCCGUCCGAUCUGGCCUUUGGUGCGUCUGGAUCGUUGGAUAUUUUCUUUACGGUCAAAACUUUUUCACCUCACAGUUGUUUUUCGUGUCCAAUGACGGAUGGGCUCGCCUCCAGCUCGCAUUGGCUGGGUCAGCCCCGCGCAUGUGCGGGAGAUUUUUGCCCAAUCACUCCUCACGAGCCGCAUUGACGUCCUUGCCCAAUCCCCUCAUCCCACACCAGCUGAACCCUAGCCCCUUUUCCCCGAUCCCCACAGCAGCCGCCUCCUCUCCUUUCCCCUACGCCGACGGCCUUGCCUCUUCGCUCACCUCCUCUUCUCCUCUUCCAUGCCGCCAUGGUUCCAGAUUGGGCGCAGGUCGCCGUCGUGCGAGAGCAGGGCAGCGGGGUUUUCGCGGAGGAGUGGAGGGGGAGGAUGCGGACGACAGGGCGAAGGAGGUGGCUGGCGAGGAGGACAAGAAGCAGGGGGGAGGAGAAGGGGGAUGCCUCGCACACCAUCCUCCUCCCCGCGGCGGUUGGCUGGUCGACUCGUCGCGCCACCGCGUCCUCACCUCCUCUGCACCAUAGGAGGCGCUGCCUCUGCCUCCAUCCCUGCUUCGUGCUUCCUCCGUCCUUGGCACCACAGCUGCCGGUCCACUCCCUCCUCCUCCAUCCUCACUCCCUUGUCAGCCACCGUCGCACGAACCUCCCUCGUCUGGGCCGGGAAAGAAGGCCAUGGCGAAUCUUGCGCCUCUAGAAGCAGCAGCAGGGGUUGGUGGAGCGUCUAAUACGGGCGGGGUCAACGGUUGAGGGAGGGUUGCCCACCGGAGCAGCAGGAGAAAGACCUUGAGGUGGUUCAGAUUUGCAUCUACAUACUUUCUCUUAUUCCCUAGGUUUCGAUCUCCUGUACAUAUUUUGGCCACCUGAUUUCUAUCCGCUCUCUGUCAAUUUCAGUGAAGCUGCAUCGUCCAACGUAGCGAGAUGAAGUACUCAGAAAAAAUUGCAGCAAGUGCGAUUGAUAGUAAGGGAAUUGAUUUGAUUCGGAAUCUUCCCUUCUUCAGGUACUUAACACUCUCUUUGAUUGGUCAAUGUGCUAUGCAAAGUUGUUCGAUAUAUGGAUUAAAUUUGCUUUCAUACAUGUCUGCAUCAUACUUAAUGUUAUUCCCUUCUGAGUUAGCAAGAUUUAGAUGAUAAUUCACAACAACGUCAAUGUUAGGUUUGAUUCACCACCAGUCCUCUUUAGGUUACAAAGGUUUUUAAUUGAGCAUUCAACUCUGCUUUUGUCAGUAUAAAAAGUUCAUAGAGAUUUGGUCUCUUCUUUAUUAUCUGGGUGCAUUAUGCACUAUGCAUGGUACUAACUGUGAGUAUUGUUGCCAAUCAGUAUGCAUUGGUCUACUUUGGAUCUUAUUUUCUUACUUUAUACUUGCUUUGCUAUUUGUCAUGUAUGCACAUGAUUUGGAUUGAUCUACUUAGAAGCAUGAGUUUAUGAAAAUUGAUAUCUACUAGGAUUGUUCUGCUCCUGUCGUCACCUUUGACUAAGCUGUUGAGCCCAAGAACUGUGGCAGACUGGUGGCCCAGCUGUUCAACUUCUCAACACCGUUCAAUUUUGUCUUUGCUCGUCCUUGCGUCCACUCAGCAGAGAAGUAUCUAUACUGAAUUUCUGCUCUAGAUAACUUAUACUCAUAUAAUUUAUCUCUAAUACCCAGUCCAGAUCAUUAGUGCUAGAUUGACAUUUUUAAGCCGUAUUUGUGGGAAGUGCAUUGCAUUUGUAACUAAACUGGGCUUGACCAAUCUUGAGGUUUACCAUGAAUUUAUAUAAAAUGGUCUUAAAGCAAGGGACUGGGCAAUUACAAAUAGCUCAUAUAUUCAGGGUAUGUGCCCCUUAUGCUAUAUUUAUAGCAGGUUGUACUCAGCAUAAAUUGUGAGAUUUGAUCUUGUAAAUAAGGACCGAGAUAGUCUGGUCUUACCUACAUAUAUGAGUCAUUAUUGAGGACUGAGCAUCAAGCGUGAUUCCGUUUCCAGUCCAUGUAGAUUAGCCAUUUGACGACUUAGCUAGAAACUUUAUAGGUUUUUAGUAUAUAUAUCCUCAGUAAUGUUGUCAUGAGUUGUGACACGAACUAAUGGAAAAUAACCAUGUAGUAUCUUAUUUUUUAUAUGAGUAAAGUAUGUACAAUAAAUUUGCAAAAAUAGUCCAUCAACUAGCUGAAUAAAGAAACACUCUACGGGAAAGGCGAACAAGCACACUAAAGCACACAAGUCGUAGUAACUCUAAAGUAUUUUUAUAACUGCAUUUUAGUGGACUAUAUGAUGAUUUGCUUUUUCUGAACCUUGAUAACAUUAUCCUGGAUUUGUGACAACAGUCUAUAGAUUUUCCCUUUAUUUUUUAUCAUCAUGAAGACCAAAUCUACAGAAUUCAACCAGUUGUGAAUUCAUCAAGUACGAGACCUCUGUCUAAUAUCAUUUCUGCGGGUUGAACAUGAAAGGAUGCCGGCAGAUUGCUUUUCCAAAACCGAUGUUACAUGUCUCGAAACUUUCCCCAUUUUUGUUUUCAGAAGACAAAGGACAUCUCGGAUUAGUUAGCUUCUUUUUACAGUUACUACUCAUUGAACUAUAUGCAGUUUUCAGCUAGACCUCUUUUUUUACAGUUCCUGUCCAUUGAACUAUAUGCAGUGUCAACGAACAGCGUGAGAUGAGAUAGCUGCAAAGGUGGGGCCAAAUAAUCCUAUGGUAGCAGCAAUAGUCAGCCCAUGAUAAAUCUCUGGUAAGUGCUCCUUUCUCUUUACCUCUUUACUCCCAUGUCACAGGUCUGACGACACACCAGAAAUUGCCAUGUAGUUGCAUGGCUGUCAAAGAGUCUAAGCAUGUGAAAGUUGGGUUACCUCUAUAUUUGUAAGAAUUGGAACUUGGUACGGUUUUGCAAAAUAAGAUGGUAGCUCACAUUUUCUGGAUGACCCAAUGCUUCUUUGGUGAAAUUUGAUCAGCCUUACAUAUACAUUUGAAAUAUUAUGCUGUAUACAGUUCAUCAGGCACUGGAAUUUGCCGGACAUUAAUGUUUCUGUUUUUUAUCUGUUUCUUAUUUUCCGAGUCACAUCUCUGCAAUGUUUCCAAUGAGGCAAGGACUACUAUUUUCCUCCUUGCAUGCCAAUUAUUUGAGAGACAAAUAAAUAUUGUUGUUGGCCUAUGAAUUAUCACAUUAUUCCCCUGAUUCUUUUUAGAUCAUUUUGUUUUAGAGUUUUUGUUUCUUGAAACCUCAAAAUAGUUACUAGCAUCUUCUCCAUGUUGCAUCAUUUUAUAGUGACAAUCAGGAGAUAUAGCUGAUCCUUCAUUUAUCUUGGAACCUUAUCCAAACAUUUGAAAAUGAAACUAAAGCUAUGUACAGAGAGAAUGUGUAGGCUCUCUUCCUGGGCAUGAACUCCGGUAUGCCUAUUACGAGUGAGACCACUUCACUUUGCUUCCAAUAUAGUAGAUGGCGGAAGUGGUGCUCUUAUAUACAACCGCUAGAGAAGUAUAUGUAGCAUUUCCUCUGUAGAAAGGAAUGCUAUUUUAGCUGGUUGUGAGGUUUGAACCUUUCAUUUCCGAAGAGAACCGAUGAUCUUCCUUCGCAAGUUUAUUUUUACCUAUGUAUUAUUGUCAUGCUCCCAUUGUUUGGGUGAUUUACCUAGGCUAUGCACACACAUAUAAUAUUGCCAUGUUCCCCUUAUUCAUCACCGAACAUUGCUGCCAAAUUGAUGUUUUUGUUGCUCUAUACAUUGGUGUUAUAGACUGCCAUUUGUUUAGUCGAACAAUUUGCCAAACUGAUUUUCCAUUACUCCAUGUACUGGUGUUACAGACUGCUAUUUGUUUUGUCCAUCUUAGUAAUUCAUUUGGUUUACAUUCUCAUGAUAUAGAUAUACACGUGCCCCUUUCCUAUUUUAGCUAUCAUUUGCCAACCUCCAUUAUAUGACUAUGCACAUGUGUUCCUAUAUACAAAUGUGAUUAAACGACAUGUUACCUCAAUGCCAUUUGUGAAGAACAAAUAUGUGGCUCAGGAGGGCCUGGUUGACGUAUGCGGUCAUCAGGAGUGGCCACAUUGUUUGGUCCUCAACAAUUUUGAAUGAAGACUCGUGGACUUUACCAUUGCGAAAUCAUGUGAGCAGAGGUGUUCCAGGAUUCUUUGGAAAGACAUGUAUACAUGCCAUGUGUCCCGCUAUCAUUUUUUGUCUUUGUGAGUUGUUGAAAAGAUCUUAAGAUGUUUGAUUGGUCAUUUCAACUCAGGUGAAGUUGUUAGGAUGAUUAGGUAGAAGCUUAUGCCAUCUCAAAAAAAAAAAGGUAGAAGCUUAUGCAAAAUCUACUGUGAUGGAUUCAGAUAGAUUUUGGAGUGGUGAAACCUUUUGAAGUCACAGCUAACAUGGCUCUAAGUUACUCCAAUAAGAUAACGAAAUAUGCAUGCUUAAAUAUAUGUAUUCAAAGAUAAAUUGCCCUUCAUUUUUUGCCUAAAAUGGUUUGAAUUGUUACUUGAAGUAGUUGCUACAACCUACUUAUACUAACAGAGUCAAAUAUUUUCAAAUACUUAAGGCUUGCCAUGGUUUUGUGCUUGCUCACAAAUAAAGUUACUGAAAAUUGCAAAUAUUUUCAACGCGUACAGGUUUUUAAAUGGGACUCUGUGCCAUUUGGCGCAACGAGUCAUCUAUGAUCCAAAAUUAAGUUGCACAUUUAUGAAAACUAUAAAAACAAAAAAUGCUCAAGGCUGAAUCUUUUUAGCAUUACUGAACAAAUACAGCAAUAGAGAUACUGAACGUACAAAAUCAAUUUAUUUAUGCUGGUACAAGGUCAACUUCUUUUGUUGAUGAUCAUAUUCACAUGUCUUUGGCUACAUAUGAUCCCAGGCUUUAGAUUAGAAUUGGGCUCACCCACUACAUUGAAUGAACAAGAAUAGACCUAACUUAAUGUGUCAGCACACAUUCUUCUUCUAUUGACGACAGUGAUGUUCUCCUAUUUCAAGCAACAUAUGGUACCGUCGAUGCCUCCAUCAGAGACACAUAGUAAACUUCAAUACUCAUCGUGACACAUACUAAACUUUCAAGAUAAUCAAUCCAGAUGAGCCUAACUUUAUAUUGACAUACAUACCAAAGGCUCCCAGGGUAGAAACUAUCUAGCUCAGAGCCAUAUGUAUAAAUUUACCUUCAGCAGAGUUCGUGUACGCGCCUUCAUCAGAGCUGGUGUACUUCAUCAGAUCUCAAUUACACCCCUUCAUCAGAGUUCGCGUAUGCGGAGCUAUCAGCACUUUCAUCUGAGAUGUUGUCCGGACGUUCGUCGGAGCUACUGUCAGCCCUUUCAUCAGAACUAAUAUCCACAGGAGAUCCCAUCAUGCUCAGCCGUGGGACAAACCUACGGGAUCAUGGAUUUUGAAUCAAAACAGUCUAAUGAAGACACAUUAACGUAUAAAUCUGGCACAACAUAUAUCCAUGGAAAUGUGGCUGAAAAAGAAAGAUCGAAUCGCAACCUAAUCAUCCUAUACACCAAUAACCAUUGGAAUAACUACAAGGGUUUAUUUGCAUCCUAUACAACAUCCCUAAAUAGAAAAAAUUACAACACAUGAUCUACCAUGCCUAAAAAAGGACACAGGAGGAGUAAAAAUCACCACAGAAAGAGGAAAAAAAAUGCAAGAGCUGGAUAAAUGAGAACUAAAUCCAUGCACGCAGAGAAACCCGAAAUCAAAGGAAGAAGAAAUCUCACCAGUUGAGUAUGCCUCUCUGGAAACGCUUCUCUCGCCCAGCUGGGGAACCGAGGAAGAAAAGGGGAUGAACAGGCUCGGUGGAUGCAGUCCCUGCCGCUUCUUAUUCUACUCCUGACGGGCCACACACAUUGUUUUUCGUGGGUUGGGCCUGGUAACAUAUGGGCAAUUCAAAUACCUAUGCCUCCAUAUGCACAACACAAAGAGUUUUUUUGUUUCUUCGUGCAUAUGAAAAAUUAAAGUUUGGUGCAAGCACUGGUAAAAGAACACAUCCAUAGCUGGUCUAUACAUCUUAUACAAAUAUGUUUUUUAAACUUAGGUUUCUCAUCAUGAAGACCAUAUUUUCAAACUAAAACAAUGCUUCUUCUUCUUCUUUUUUCAGGUGAAAAACAAUGCUUCCUUAGUUGGUCUGUACAUGUUAUACACAUAUUUUCUUUUUCCAAACUCAGAUUCAACAACGUGAUAAACAUAUUUUCAAUAUAUCAUGAUUUAACACAUGGUACUUGCAAAUGAAACUAUUUUCAUCGACAACAUGGCUUUAGCGGGUCUCUGCGCCAUUUGGCGCAACGGGUCAACUAGUAUAAAUGAAUUGAGGGAUUACACUGGUUGGAUGGUAGUAAUAAUUAUCAGGAUUAAGUAUAAUUUUCCCAAAUCUUAGUGGGUUUGCGGUUUAUAUUUUGUGAUUCGUACUUACCGAGCUAGGUUUUUUUUAAAGAAAAACACAGCUGAAGAGCAUCUUAGAUCCUAUAAUUAUAAUGGAAAUACAAGACGACACAAAAUGACUAAUAAUAAUAAAAUCACAUCAAAAACCAUACUAAAACAACACAUGCAUUAGUUUUUUUAGCAGGGUACACAUGUUGCCUUAGUUAUUUGCUUCAGUCUCUCGUGUAUAACGCCGUGCAAAGAAGCGAAAAACAAGUUAGAGAGAGAGAGAGAGAGAGAGAGAGAGAGAGAGAGAGAGAGAGAGAGAGAGAGAGAGAGAGACGAACCGGCAACGGCAGUAGGAUUUCCGUUAAGUACAAGGAGGAAACAGAGAACCAUAUGUCGGGCAUCCAUGGUGAUGGAAGUGAUAGUUUCUUUCUUAUCAAACCUAAGGGAGACGCCACCAAUAGUAUCUCCAAGAAACUUAUAUGCAUAUAUAUCUGUCACCGGUUAUAAACAAGUCAACGUCAUCACAUAAAAUCUGAUGGGCAAUUAAUAUAUUUUCAAAUAGCAUCAUGCAAUUAAUUUCUAUCAAAUAUCAACGUCUAAUUAUAUUUCACCAUAUAUCUACAUCACUACAUGCAAUUAACAUCCUGCCUUUUUUAUAGUGAAUUAAUAUCCUACCUAUAUAGAGAGUCUUUGCAUGCUCUUGAUAAACAUUUUUAUUCGGAAUGAUUGUAUCUAUCUUUAAGAUGCGAUGAAUGCUUACUAUAUGUCUUUGGGAUUUGAGAUACGCUGGACGGUACCCUGAGAAUGGAUGGAUGGCCACCCUGGUGGCGGGUUAGCAUCUUCCCGUUCCUGGCCAUCAAUAUAAUUAAUCCAUCAUGUAUGUAUUGAUAUUGUUGUUAAUACACAAGCACGCCAUUAAUAUCUGGAGAAUUUUGCACCUACAUCAAAAGGAAAUUGAUGACUUGAUGCUCUUUUAGAUUGUAUGAUUAAAAGUGUAGAAAUUUUAAAAAGUACAUAAUUAAGAUGUGAGUACUAUUGUUAGUGUUAAACAUAAAAAAUCUAUAAGAACUAAUUAUGGACAAUGCUACAGUGCAUGGGAAAUAAACCAUAUUGACAGGGACCGAAGGGAGCGCAGCGGUGUCCGAAAGCGGGGCAACGAGGCCCUUGACCUGCUCCAGAUGUCUUUUCCAAGAGCCGAAGGGUUGUAUCCAGGGUUCGACAUCGGCAGGAUCUAGCUUGGCUUCAACCACAAAUAUGGGCAUACUUUGGGUUGAAAUCCAUGUUCUCGUCUCUUCAGCUUGAUUCGGCUUUGUCACAUGCGUGUGUUGUGCCUUUAUUGAAGGUGUUGUCUCGAAUAUUGAGUCCGAGGAUGAAAAUUCUAAGUGUAAUAUUUGAUUGGACCCGUUAAAAUUGACAUGGUGUGGUGAUCCUUCCCUGAAAGCUUUGUUUAUGAGUAGCGUUUUUGCUUUGUCAAACAUUAUAGGGUCCGUGCUAAGUUUGUGGAGACAUUGUUGUGAGGAAGAUCCUUUUGUAGAUGUUGUUGGUUUUUUUAAGCUCAUUUAUUCGGCAUCGGUAUUGAGUUGUACUUGAUCAUCGGUUGAGAUUGUUGAAGAAUUAAUAAUACGUAUAUGACUAUGCGCAUCAGUUUGGGUGGCUGAUUCUCAUUUUCAGAGAGAAAAAGCAGCAAGUACUUCAUUUAGCAGAAACCCUUUAUUUUUGUUGUUGAGAUUAAUUAAUCAUUUGCUGCAGAACAAACAAACACAAAUGGCAUCCAAUGGUGUUUUGUAACACCAGGCAUCUUUGACAUGGCCGCCCUCGAUGAGAGCCGCCUUCGUCCAGCAAAGCCCUUUGCACCAAGCGUCGAAACAAAAUGGCUGCCUAUAAGCUCCUUUCCCGCAAUACUCUGCAUAGAAAUAAACAAUCACGGACAUCCACGCGUUAGUAUUCAGUCUGUCAAGGUCUCACUACACGAGCAUAUCCACGAAGCUAACAAAAACAUAAGAACAAUCUUUUCUGCAUCAAGUUAACAAACCUAAAAAUGAGAGAGGGUGGGNNNNNNNNNNNNNNNNNNNNNNNNNNNNNNNNNNNNNNNNNNNNNNNNNNNNNNNNNNNNNNNNNNNNNNNNNNNNNNNNNNNNNNNNNNNNNNNNNNNNNNNNNNNNNNNNNNNNNNNNNNNNNNNNNNNNNNNNNNNNNNNNNNNNNNNNNNNNNNNNNNNNNNNNNNNNNNNNNNNNNNNNNNNNNNNNNNNNNNNNNNNNNNNNNNNNNNNNNNNNNNNNNNNNNNNNNNNNNNNNNNNNNNNNNNNNNNNNNNNNNNNNNNNNNNNNNNNNNNNNNNNNNNNNNNNNNNNNNNNNNNNNNNNNNNNNNNNNNNNNNNNNNNNNNNNNNNCAAGUACUAGGAGGAGGAAACGGAGAACAACAAGCCGGACAUCCAUGGAUGGAGUGAUAAGUUUCUUUAUUGCCGAACCUCAAGGGAAUAUAAACACCGAUAGCACGGUGUGAUGUUGUGUCCAUAUGUCUAUAUAUAGCAUGCUCUUGAUAAAUAAUGAUAUGUUCAUAUUCAAUAGCCAUAUCUAUGUAUCUUUGAGAUACUACUACGCUAAAUGGAGGUAGUCAGAAUGGAUGCAUGGGUGGCCACACUAGCAUUUAUCCCCGGACGGUCACGUCAUCGCGUUAGAUUAUUCGGCGGCCGCCUCACAAAGAAAGCUUUCAUACGUUGGUGACUGCUGCCGUUCGCGUUGGCACCCGGCUACCGGCUAGAGAAAAUAAAUGACCUAGGCUCUCUUGGAUUGGAGAGGCUAAGGUUUUUCGCUGAACGAUACGUAUUAGUAAAAACAACACAUGUGUUGACGCUGGUCUAAUAGGCCACAAUAACUAAGAGCAUUUUCAAUAGAAAUGGUCUAAUUCUUGCAGCAACUGAAGCAAAGCUGUCUCCCUUCCCCAAAACAUAUGGAUAUGCGAAUUUACUCGUGUGCCUUUUAAAAAUAAAUGUGAGCGUGUAAAAAUAUAGACUAAAUGAUCUUUGUUUUUAGUUUAAGAAAUUCAACAUAUGCACUUUCGGGGUGGUGAAAAAUGUUGAUAGAUAGAGAGGGAGAGAGGGAGAGAGGGAGGGAGGGAAUAUAUAUAUAGGAUUGACGAAGGAAGGAGUACGUACUCCUCGGAGUACUAACCAAUUUUCCUAUAUAUAUAUAUAUAGAGAGAGAGAGAUUGGAGCUAAUUUUUUUUUAAAAUAAUACAUUUUUUUAGUAAUUUGCACAAAUAUUACGCCCACAAAAUUAUUUUCAAAAAUAAUACACCGUCAGCCAACAGCUGGCCGACUGGUCCUAGUCGGCCCACAGCAGGCUGACUGGGUCUUAUCGGCCAACUGCGAGCCGACAGGUGGCUUCUCGGCCACGCGGAGGCCGACUAUUGGCCAGGCCACGUUGGGCGCUGGCUGUCGGCGCGGGCGACCCAGUCAGCCAGCUGCCGACCGAUCGGCCAGCUGCUAGCCGACAGGGAGCCGGCCCUGUAGCACACGUCUCUUUCUCCUCUCCUUCUUCUUUCCCUUUCUCCCACCGCAAGCUUCUCUCUAUUCUUCUUUCCUCCUCUCUCUUACACGAACUAGCUCCAAUUAAUACACCAAAAUAACUCGUUUUUUCGUGGAUUUGGCACCGUGAAUGGGUUCUACAUAAUUAGGGGAGUCAAAAGAGACCUCGAUCUACUGAUGGGGUAGCUUGUGGUGGUCAUGGUGAGCAUUUUGUUGAAGCAUUUUUUCAGCGCAUUGGUGGAGGUUGUGGCGGUGGUGGAGGUGGAGGUGGUGGUGGUGAAGCUGGGGCAGUGUGGUGGAGGUGAAGCUCCGGUAGUUUGGUGGAGUUUCCGGCUCCAGUUCCGGUGAUUGAAGGCCGCCGUUCGUCGUUCGCACGCACGCUACAAGGGUAUAUUUCAACACACAUUUUUAUUUUCGAAGUUGCGUGCAAUUAUUGUUAUUUGCUCCGGUAGUAAUGUAAAUAUAUUUAGGUAGUCGCGGUGAGCAUUUUAUUUGCCGGUACCGGUGUGCAAUUAUUGUUAUUUGCUCCGGUAGUAACAUAAAUAUAUUUAGGUGGUCGUGGUGAGCAUUUUAUUUCCCGGUUCCGGUGUGCGAUUAUUGUUAUUUGCUUCGGUAGUAAACGUAAAUAUAUUUAGGUGUGUCAGUAAUUGGAGUUGCUCCGGUAGUAAACGUAAAUAUUUAGGUGUUCUUGGUGAGCAUUUUAAGUUGUUGCUUAAUACUUGUAUUAGUUGCUCCGUUAAUAUUCUGUAAUAUAUAGCUAGCUAAUAUAUAGACAUGUCUAAUAUUUCUUAGUGGGGGUAUAUUAAGUUGUUGCUUAAUACCUGUAUUUCAUUGUUGAAAAAAAUAGGUGAGCCGAGAUGUCUGAUGUAGUGAACUUCAGAUUUUGCUAUGGUCCUGAUACUGAGAUGGAAGCAGAUCUGAGUGAAUUUACUCAUAUAGAUGUGCCAAUGAGCGCACCUCAAACAUGGUCUGUCAGUCAGUUGAAAGAAUGGAUUGCGGCAAGUUUAGGUCUUGAUACUGAAACACACACCAUCGGUGUUCAUGCAUUGUGGACACGGUCAAGUUCAAUAAUUUACUUUUAUUUGAGGCCGAUAGAGCGAGACUCAGAAUGGGUGCGGUGGUUACAAGGUUGUGAACGAAGGGGAUGCAAUCCUGUUGCUUUAGUUCUUCCCGUCGUGAAGGAGGUCAUUGCACAUGAAGGCGAGGGUGGCUACGAUCCUGGUCAUAGCAGUGUAGGGAGGCAGUUAUCUAUGUCAAAUGCUGGAGAUGAUGGUUACGAACAAGGACAGAGCAGUCAGGUAGAAGGAGGAAAUGCCGAUGGUGAUUACAAUGGCGAGGUGGACGCUGACGAGGUAGAUGGGCACAUGCAGGACCAGAUGGAAGAAGAAGACACCGAUGUUGAAAGGGGUCAUGCCGAUGAUUCUGACGAGUCAGAUGAAGAAGAAAAUGCAGAGGAGGUCCCGAAUCCUGCAUCGUGGAAUCAUGACUUCUCAUCUGCAAUGACGUGAAUGAUGGACAUGAUUCAGCCUGGCAAUAUCACCAGAACAAUAUUGUGACGGGUGCUAUGUAUCCGAACAAGCAAGCCUUGAAAGAUGCAAUAAUUAAUUGGGCAAUGUCCAUGCAAAGGGUUUUCACAGCUCAGGUGUCCAGUCAGAAAUUCCUGACAAUGGUAUGCAAGAACGCAGAUUGUCCCGUCAGGGUGCACGGCUUUCUCCCUAAGUAUGGCACCAGUUGGGUGAUAAGUGACUUAGUUAAUCACACUUGUCUUAUUCCCUGCAUCCCUCAGGAUCAUGCCAACCUUUCAUCCACGCUUAUUGCUCGGUUGUUUUACGAUGAGAUAGUGCAGGGCAAAGCUAUGGAAGUGAAGGCAGUCCAGACAAAAGUCUUCGCCAGGUUCAAGUACAGAAUUUCUUAUGGCAAGGCUUGGAGGGCUAAGCAUGCGGCGCUUGAGAGGAGAUUUGGUUCUUAUUUUGAUGCAUAUGACUCUGUUGUCCAGCUUGGAGGGCUCUAGGCAGUAGGCAGUAAGAUAUAUUUUCUUUAAGUAAUGUUGUCACAUACUUUGACGUGCAAGAGACAUACAUUAUUAAUCGUCAUGGAAAUUUGCAGGCUACCUUGACACACGAACUCUACCAGGACGUGACCACCUUUGGACGAUCACUGUCAUCUGGACCUCUUCUUCAGCACCGUCCAGUGCUACAACCCUUCUUGGAACGAAUUCAGAACAAGAUACGGACUGUGUACGAGGCUAUCACGUGCACCCGGAGAACCGACGUUGUUCAGCACCACCAGCAGCAGCCGCGUCACUCCAUGCACCGACAUCAACCACGUCCACGUCUAGCACAUCAGCCGACAACCAGGCCACCCCGUCCUGACCAACCUGGCAGUUCAACGUGGCAACAACCAUAACAAUAUGGUCCCACGUCGAGCUUCGUGUUUUCUCCACAGCCACAGCAACACGGUCCCUCGUCGAGCUUCGUGUUUUCUCCACAGCCACAACAGCACGGUCCCUCGUCGAGCUUCGUGUUUGAGCCAGAGAAGCCGUCACAACCAGCAGGUAAGUGUCUUCAUUUUUAUUGUUUUCAAUAUUAAUUGAGGCGACCUCAUUCUUCAUGACUAAACGUUCCAUCGUGCAGGAGCCUACGGAUAUCAUGCGUCUAUGUCAGCAUCACAUGAUACGUGGGGGAGUGAUCAACAUCCCGAGGAGAACAUACAUGCUCAGAUGUCGCAGCACACCCAGUGGAUGAACAUGUAUUCGACUCCUCCAUCAGGCCCCACACAGGAUACACAGCAUAACCAGGGAGAGUCUGAAAUUCCUCCUCAUAACAUUAGGCCACCUAACAGGUUGGGAUGGUCGCCGCUUCCAGAUCCGCCUCCCCGCCAGGCCAGACGUCGUCACUGACGCUUCCAUCUAUCAAUAGAGACAUGACCAUCUACUUAUGUAUGAGACUUAUGUCUAUUCUAUGUAUGAGACAAAUGACUAUGUACUUAUGUAUGAGAUAUAUGCCUACUCUAUUUUAGUACUCUGUUAUCCGAACUACAACAUCAUAUUUAGAUAGAACAUAAUGCUCGUACAACAAGACAGUAUAAACAACUAGAUAGAACUACAUCUAAAUUAACGGUACAUACGACUAAACUUACAACAUACAUCAUAAAAACUACAUGAAGUCAUCAUCGUCAUCCUUCGUCGAUGCAGAACUUUUGCCCUUCGAGGAUGCAGAACUCUUACCCUUGGACGAUGCAGAACUCUUGCCCUUCGAGGAUGCAGUACUCUUGCCCUUGGACGAUGCAAAACUCUUGCUCUUUGACGAUGCGGAACCCGAAAGCGGCGGCAUGAAGAUAUCAUCUUCAUCCUCGCUCUCCUCAGUCCAUAAAAAUGGAUGCUUUUCUGCAGUCCUUCUGAAAGUUUCACUCUCCGGCUCCACUACCUUCUUCCACCUUGCAUGCAACCUAAGAAGUUCUAUACGUACCUCCUCAUAGGUCCUUUCAGGCCACCCAGACAUACGUAAUUCGUGAGCCAACUCAUUCAUUAUGGUGUCACUACCGGUGAGUUUGUCCCAUGGAACUAUCCUAUUGUCCAUCCUGAAAUCGGUAGCUAGCCUCAGAAGAGUCCUGCUCAUCUCAGGGUGAAAACUACUAUCAAAAGGAUAAUGGGACAUCUCAACUACACUACACUGGAAUGCUUAUCCUCCUCUGUCUGAAGGGGGUUUUAUAGGUAGGGAUGAGAAAAUGGCGGGAAAGAACGACUGCGGUAUGGCGGGAAACGAUUGGCGGGAAAAGGGUGGCGGGAAAGAGCUGGCGCGAACAUAUGGCGGGAAACGGGUGGCGGGAAAGAGUUGGCGCGAAUAUAUGGCGGGAAAGAGUUGGCGCGAACAUAUGGCGGGAAAAUAUUACGGGCAAAGGGUUGCACGAAAUACGUCAUAGUUUAUAUAAAAAAAUCCAGGGAGCGUUCGGGAAAAAAAUGGUGGCAUGCACCGGUCAGCCCACAGCAGGCCAAUUAGUCCCUGUCGGCCCGCAGCUGGCCAAUUAGUCGCUGUCGGCCCACAGCAGGCCAAUUAGGCCGACUGGACCUGAACUGGUGGCCGACAGGCCAAUUGGCCAGCAGCUAGCCGAUAGGGUCUCAGUCGGCCUGCUGUGGGCCGACUAGGUCCACUUGGCCGGCUGCGGGCCGACGGUGUAUUAUUUUUGAAAAUUAUUUUUUGAGCGUAAUAUUUGUGCAAAUUAAUAAAAAAGUGUAUUAUUUUAAAAAAAAUAGCGAGAUUGGAUGCCCUUUUUCUUCUUAAGAAAAAUGAAAUACAAACUUGGGGUUUUCAGAAAAACUGAAGUUUGUUUGGACAACUAUAUUUUUAAUAUACUAUGCUCCCUAAUUUUUAAGGGCUCACAGUCAAUUGUGGUCUCUAAUUUAGAAUUGGGUCGUCUUUUUUUAGGGUCAAAACAGUAGGAGCUCCUACUGCAUAUAUAUUUAAAAAAUGGGGGUUAUGUACAAGUACAUACAUGGUCCCUACACCGUUUUGGUGAGGAGGGAAAGUUACAAAAGAGUGUGCGGCAGAUAUUCUAGUCUACAGAAAGGAAGAUAUGCUGGGUUUUAUAUCCUCUGGCACUCUCUUAUUCAAUUAUUUUAAUUUACUAUGCUCCCUAAUUUUAGAGCUCUUCCAUUCGAAUGAGGUAUUCAAUACUAGAUUUGGUUUACGAUUUUGACCGGGCCAAUGAUUUUUCAAAUCAAUUAGCAACAACUGGUCUAUAAAAACAUAUCAAUCCCACUCACCCUCUCACCAAUUAGAAAAAUGAAGGGUCGUCAUGUGACACUGUAGCACCAAUAUAGUACAUGCAGCAACCGACUCAGGAAUUUCCUGUCAUAUAUAUGGGUUGAUUAGCAGAUAACAUAGAAUCAAAUUGUGAAAAGCCGACCAAAACACCGCCUUAUAUGAAUAAAAAUAAAAGACACGCCAUCAUCUCCUCUGCUCGCUAAACAUUCCCCCAGUUCUAAAAUAGAAGGUGCAUUUAGUUUUUUGAAAACUCAAAUUUCUUUUAACUUUGACUAAGUUCAGAGCCAAAAUAUCGACAUCCACAAUACUAAAUAAAUAAAAUAUAAAAAUCCGUUUCAUGAUGAAUGUAAUGAUACCAAUUUGAUAUUAUUGAUUUUGAUAUACUUCUAAUUUGAUCAAACUUAAAGAGGUUUGGCUUUUCAAAAAAGAAUAUGCCUUCUAUUUUGAAACAGAGAGUAAUAUUUUUAUGAAAACCCAACAAUACCAAUGGCGUAGCAAAAUGCGCCCAGCCCUUCUAGUAUAGACGAUAGCUCCUCUAAUUCUAACAAUGGAGAAAACUAUAGGAUUUAUUAGAAAAGCUUUGAAGGAUUGUGAAAAGCAUGUCACAAAUGGACUAUGGCGCUUUAUUCAGCAGAAAGCUAGAAACCUUUGUUUUUCUUGCUUUAUUAAGGUUAUUUUCUGCAGAAGAGAAAGACACAACUGGUGUUGUCCUCCAAUCUCCAGCAUGUUUGUUGUUUGACAUGGGUGCCAAUGACUUGCGCCUGCGUCCAGCACAACGCCUUGCACAAGGUGUCAAAAUAGAAUGGCGUCGUCGAAACCCGAUAUCUGUAAUCCUCUGCACAGAAAAAACACAAUAUUACAUUAAAAUGAAAAGGAAAUAACAUAACUAUAAAUGUCCACGCAUCAGUUAAUUAUUAGUUUGGUCUCUUAUAGCCUCACACCGCGAGCAAAGAAGACAAAAACAAGCCAGAUCCUAGAUGAGAGGGAGGAAGAAACAUAAGCCGCGUGUUUGGUUCUGUGCAUGAAUUUUGGGCCUCCUGCAUCUGUGGUUCGGUUGAGUCCAGAUGAGCAAAUAGAGACAGUAAACCCUGUUUUGUAGUGCAUUUGGUUGCCCACAAAGCUCCAGGCUGCAUGAGAACAGAAAUAGAAGUACUACCUUUGGUUGCAAAUAUUUGUUCCUCAGAUGCAACGUGUUGUUGUUCGGUUACGUGAAAAACAUAGAGUGUGGUAACCUCUGUUUUUAGUAGUGAGUUUAGGAGCACACACAGUCAUAUGAACACCACUUUCAACAAGCAUACACAUGACUACAUUAACAAGCAUACACACAACGACACAACCAUAGGUAUAAUAGUGAUAGAGUAAAAUACACUAGAGGCCCUACAAGUAUUCCAAGUGUGUAAGGUAGUUCCUAAAAGUUUGAAAUCGUCCACUGCCGGUCCUAUACAUCUAUUUUACCCGCAAAAUUUAGGAACUACUUGACAUAGUUGGAAUAUUUUUAGGACCCAUGGCGAACGACUUACAUACAUUUAGAGCAACUCUAGCAGACUGCAUCCCGCCCCGACCCGCAAAAUAACCGCCAAAAUGCGGGCCGGGGCGGAAAAACCUACCCGAUUAGACCCCGCAUCCCGUCCCGGCCCGCAAAAAAAAUUGAGGGGCGCGGCAAAAUCUCGGCCCCAACCUGGUAUUCGCGGGUUUCCCCCUCGCCGCUGCGGUGCCCUGCAUAUAAGCGGGAAGCGGUUAGUGGGGGGACAUUUCAGCCUGCGCUUUACCCACCAACCACCUCCUCCCCCCCAUCGCGCUGUGAUACGUCUCCAACGUAUCUAUAAUUUUUGAUUGUUCCAUGCUAUAUUAUAUCCUGUUUUGGACAUAUUGGGCUUUAUUAUACACUUUUAUAUUAUUUUUGGGACUAACCUAUUAACCGGAUGCCCAGCCCAGAAUUGUUGUUUUCUUGCCUAUUUUAGGGUUUCGUAGAAAAAGAAUAUCAAACAGAGUCCAAACAGAAUGAAACCUUCGGGAACAUGAUUUUUGGAACGAACAUGAUCCAGAGGACUUGGACCCUACGUCAAGCAAUCAACCAGGAAGGCACGAGGUAGGGGGGCAUGCCUACCCGCCCAGGCGCGCCCUCCACCCUCGUGGGGCCCACAUUGCUCCACCGAUGUACUCUUUCCUCCUAUAUAUACCUACGUACACCCAAACCAUACGGAGCCAAAACCCUAAUUCCACCGCCGUAACUUUCUGGGUAUCGAUCACGGAGGGCUUCUACAUCAACACCAUAGCCUCUCCGAUGAAGUGUGAGUAGUUUACUUCAGACCUACGGGUCCAUAGUUAUUAGCUAGAUGGCUUCUUCUCUCUUUUUGGAUCUCAAUACAAAGUUCUCCCCCUCUCUUGUGGAGAUCUAUUCGAUGUAAUCUUCUUUUGUGGUGUGUUUGUUGAGAUCGAUGAAUUGUGGGUUUAUGAUCACGUUUAUCUAUGAACAAUAUUUGAAUCUUCUCUGAAUUCUUUUAUGUAUGAUUGGUUAUCUUUGCAAGUCUCUUCGAAUUAUCAGUUUGGUUUGGCCUACUAGAUUGAUAUUUCUUGCAAUGGGAGAAGUGCUUAGCUUUGGGUUCAAUCUUGCGGUGUCCUUUCCCAGUGACAGUAGGGGUAGCAAGGCACGUAUUGUAUUGUUGCCAUCGAGGAUAACAAGAUGGGGUUUAUAUCAUAUUGCAUGAGUUUAUCCCUCUACAUCAUGUCAUCUUGCUUAAUGCGUUACUCUGUUCUCUUGAACUUAAUACUCUAGAUGCAUGCUGGAUAGCGGUCGAUGUGUGGAGUAAUAGUAGUAGAUGCAGGUAGGAGUCGGUCUACUUGUUUUGGAUGUGAUGCCUAUAUACAUGAUCAUACCUAGAUAUUCUCAUAACUAUGCUCAAUUCUGUCAAUUGCUCAACAGUAAUUUGUUCACCUACCGUAAUACUUAUGCUCUCGAGAGAAGCCUCUAGUGAAACCUAUGGCCCCCGGGCCUAUUUUCCAUCAUAUUAAUCUUCCAAUACUUAGUUAUUUCCUUUGCCAUUUAUUUUACUUGCAUCUUUAUUUCUCUUUAUCAUAAAAAUACCAAAAAUAUUAUCUUAUCAUAUCUAUCAGAUCUCACUCUCGUAGGUGACUGUGAAGGGAUUGACAACCCCUUUAUCGCAUUGGUUGCGAGGAGUUUAUUUGUUUGUGUAGGUGCGAUGGACUCGUGCGUGGCCUCCUACUGGAUUGAUACCUUGGUUCUCAAAAACUGAGGGAAAUACUUACGUUGCUCUACUGCAUCACCCUUUCCUCCUCAAGGGAAAACCAACGUAGUGCUCAAGAGGUAGCAAGAAGGAUUUCUGGCGCCGUUGCCGGGGAGUCUAUGCAAAAGUCAACAUACUAAGUACCCAUCACAAACCAUUAUCUCCGCAUUACAUUAUUUUCCAUUUGCCUCUCGUUUUCCUCUCCCCCACUUCAGCCUUGCCGUUUUAUUCGCCCUCUCUCUCUCCAUCCUCCCUCUCUUUCUCUAUUCGCCUCUUUUUGCUCCUUUCUUGUUUGCUUGUGUGUCGGAUUGCUUGCUUGUCACGAUUGCUCAAGACAAUAGCAAAUGUGUGACUUUACCAAUACCAACAACAAUGAUUUUAUUAGCACUCCGAUUGCUCCUCUUACCGAUGCUGAAUCUUGUGAAAUUAAUGCUGCUUUGCUGAAUCUUGUCAUGAAAGAUCCGUUUUCCGGCCUUCCUAGUGAAGAUGCCGCUACCCAUCUAAACAACUUCGUUAAUUUGUGUGAUAUGCAAAAUAAGAAAGAUGUGGACAAUGAUAUUGGUUAAAUUGAAGCUAUUUCCUUUUUCGCUUAGAGAUCGUGCUAAAGCUUGGUUUCGUCUUUGCCGAAAAAUAGUAUUGAUUCGUGGAAUAAGUGUAAAGAUGCUUUUAUCUCUAAGUAUUUUCCUCCCACUAAGAUCAUCUCUCUUAGAAACAAUAUUAUGAAUUUUAAGCAACUUGAUCAUGAACAUGUUGCACAAGCUUGGGAGAGGAUGAGAUUAAUGAUACGUAAUUGCCCUACACAUGGUUUGAAUUUGUGGAUGAUUAUACAAAAAAUUUAUGCCGGAUUGAAUUUUGCUUCUAGAAAUCUUUUAGGUUCGGCCGCGAGAGGCACUUUUAUGGAAAUCACUUUAGGAGAAGCUACUAAACUCUUAGAUAAUAUUAUGGUUAAUUAUUCUCAAUGGCACACUAAAAGAUCUACUAGUAAGAAAGUGCAUGUGAUAGAAGAAAUUAAUGUUUUGAGUGGUAAGAUGGAUGAACUUAUGAAAUUAUUUGCUAAUAAAAGUGUUUCUUCUGAUCCUAAUGACAUGCCUUUGUCUAGUUUGAUUGAGAAUAAUAAUGAAUCUUUGGAUGUGAAUUUUGUUGGUAGGAAUAAUUUUGGUAACAACGCGUAUAGAGGAAACUUUAAUCCUAGGCCAUAUCCUAGUAAUUCCUCUAAUAAUUAUGGUAAUUCCUACAACAAUCCUUAUGGAAAUUUUAAUAAGAUAUCCUCUAAUUUUGAAUCUAAUAUUAAAUAAUUUAUUACCUCGCAAAAGAAUUUCAAUGCUUUGAUUGAAGAAAAAUUGCUUAAGAUUGAUGAGUUGGCUAGGAACGUUGAUAGAAUUUCUCUUGAUGUUGAUUCUUUGAAACUUAGAUCUAUUCCUCCUAAGCAUGAUAUCAAUGAGUCUCCCAAAGCCAUGAGAAUUUCCAUUGAUGAGUGCAAAGAAAGAAUCGCUAGGAUGCGUGCUAAGAAAGAUUGCUUUAUAAAAGUGUGUUCUUCUAGUUUUCAUGAUAAUAAAGAUGAAGAUCUAAAAGUUAUUGAUGUGCCUCCUAUUAAAUAUUUGUUUUUUAAUAUGAAUCUUGAGAAUGACGGGACUGAAUAUGAUCCACCUUUACCUAUAAGGCGUUCCAAAAAUUCGGAGUCUUUAGAUCUUGAUGGUAAAAUUGUUAAAAGUGGGAUUGAAGAAGUCAAAACUUUAAAUAUUAAUGAACCCACUAUUUUGGAUUUCAAGGAAUUUAAUUAUGAUAAUUGCUCUUUGAUAAAUUUUAUUUCCUUGUUGCAAUCCGUGCUAAAUUCUCCUCAUGCUUAUAGUCAAAAUAAAGCCUUUACCAAACAUAUCGUUGGUGCUUUGAUGCAAUCUUAUGAAGAAAAACUUGAGUUGGAAGUUUCUAUCCCUAGAAAACUUUAUGAUGAGUGGGAACCUACUAUUAAAAUUAAGAUUAAAGAUCAUGAAUGCUAUGCUUUAUGUGAUUUGGGUGCUAGUGUUUCCACGAUUCCAAAGACUUUGUGUGAUUUGCUAGGUUUCCAUGAUUUCGAUGAUUGCUCUUUAAACUUGCACCUUGCGGAUUCCACUAUUAAGAAAACUAUGGGAAGAAUUAAUGAUGUUCUUAUUGUUACAAAUAGGAAUUAUGUGCCCGUGGAUUUUAUUGUUCUUGACAUAGAUUGCAAUCCUUCAUGUCCUAUUAUUCUUGGUAGACCUUUCCUUAGAACGAUUGGUGCAAUUAUUGAUAUGAAGGAAGGGAAUAUUAGAUUCCAAUUUCUGUUAAGGAAAGGCAUGGAACACUUCCCUAUAAAGAAAAUUAAAUUAACUUAUGAAUCUAUUAUGAGAGCCACUUAUGGAUUGCCUUCCAAAGAUGGCAAUACCUAGAUCUAUCUUCGCUUUUAUGCCUAGCUAGGGGCAUUAAACGAUAGCGUUUGUUGGGAGGCAACCCAAUUUUAUUUUCAUUCCUUGCUUUUUUCUCCUGUUUAGUAAUAAAUAAUUUAUCUAGACUCUGUUUUGUUUGUGUUUUUUUGUGUUUAAUUAGUGUUUGUGCCAAGUAGAACCGUUGGGAUGACUUGGGGAAAGUCUUGUUGAACUUGCUGUAACAAACAGAAACUUUAGUGCUCACGAGAAGUGCUUUAAUUUUUAUUUGGAAAGUUAUAUUUAGUUAAUUAAUUUUCCAGAUGAUUAAUAUAUAAAUUCCUCACGUGCAGCAAUUUAUUUUAGAAUUUUUGGGGUUCCAGAUCUUGCGCUAGCUACAGAUUACUACAGACUGUUCUGUUUUUGACAGAUUCUGUUUUGCGUGUGUUAUUUGCUUAUUUUGAUGAAUCUAUGGCUAAUAAAUUAGUUUAUAAACCAUAGAGAAGUUGGAAUACAGUAGGUAUAACACCAUAUAAAUAAAUAAUGAGUUCAUUACAGUACCUUGAAGUGGUCUUUUGUUUUCUUUCGCUAACGGAGCUCACGAGAUUUUCUACUUUAAGUUUUGUGUUGUGAAGUUUUCAAGUUUUGGGUAAGAUUUGAUGGAUUAUGGAACAAGGAGUGGCAAGAGCCUAAUAUUGAGGAUGCCCAUGUCACCCCCAAGAUAAUCUAAGGCCACCUAAAACCCAAAGCUUGGGAUGCCCCGGAAGGCAUCCGCUCUUUCGUCUACUUCUAUCGGUAACUUUACUUGGAGCUAUAUAUUUAUUUACCACAUGCUAUGUGUUUUGCUUGGAGCGUCUUGUAUUAUUUGAGUCUUUAUUUGUUAGUUUUCCACAAUAAUCCUUGCUGCACACACCUUUUUGAGAGAGACACUCAUGAUUCGGAAAUUGUUAGAAUACUCUAUGUGCUUCACUUAUAUCUUUUGAGUUAUAUAGUUUUUGCUCUAGUGCUUCACUUAUAUCUUUUAGAGCACGUUGUUUGAUGACCCACAAGUAUAGGGGAUCUAUCGUAGUCCUUUAUAUAAGUAAGAGUGUCAAACCCAACGUGGAGCAGAAGGAAAUGAUAAGCGAUUUUCAGCAAGGUAUUCUCUGCAAGCACUGAAAUAAUAGGUAACAAAUAGUUUUGUGAUAGGAUAAUUUGUAACGAGCAACAAGUAACAAAAGUAAAUAAAGUGCAGCAAGGUGGCCCAAUCCUUUUUGUAGCAAAGGACAAGCCUGGACAAACUCUUAUAUAGAGAAAAGCGCUCCCGAGGACACAUGGGAAUAUCGUCAAGCUAGUUUUCAUCAUGUUCAUAUGAUUCGCGUUCGGUACUUUGAUAAUUUGGUAUGUGGGUGGACCGGUGCUUGGGUGCUGUCCUUACUUGGACAAGCAUCCCACUUAUGAUUAACCUCUAUUGCAAGCAUCCGCAACUACAACAAAAGUAUUAAGGUAAACCUAACCAUAGCAUGAAACAUGUGGAUCCAAAUCAGCCCCUUACGAAGCAACGCAUAAACUAGGGUUUAAGCUUCUGUCACUCUAGCAACCCAUCAUCUACUUAUUACUUCCCAAUGCCUUCCUCUAGGCCCAAAUAAUGGUGAAGUGUCAUAUAGUCAACGUUCACAUAACACCACUAGAGGAGAGACAACAUACAUCUCAUCAAAAUAUUGAACGAAUACCAAAUUCACAUGACUACUAAUAGCAAGACUUCUCCCAUGUCCUCAGGAACAAACGUAACUACUCACAAAGCAUAUUCAUGUUCAUAAUCAGAGGGGUAUUAAUAUGCAUAAAGGAUCUGAACAUAUGAUUUUCCACCAAAUAAACCAACUAGCAUCAACUACAAGGAGUAAUUAACACUACUAGCAACCUACAGGUACCAAUCCCGGACUUGGAGACAAGAAUUGGAUACAAGAGAUGAACUAGGGUUUUGAGAGGAGAUGGUGCUGGUGAAGAUGUUAAUGGAGAUUGACCUCUCCCGAUGAGAGGAGCGUUGGUGAUGACGAUGGCGAUGAUUUCCCCCUCCCGGAGGGAAGUGUCCCUGACAGAACAGCUCCACCGGAGCCCUAGAUAGGUUCCGCCUCGUGGCGGCGGAGUCUCGUCCGGAAAGAUGGCUUAUGAUUUUUUCCUCAUUGAAAGACUCCAUAUAGCAGAAGGUGGCCAUCGGAGGGCCACCAAGGGGCCCACGAGGCAGGGGGCACACCCAGGGGCGCGCCCCCCACCCUCGUGGGCAGGGUGUGGCCCCCCUGGUGAACUUCUUAUGCUCGGUAUUUUUUAUAUAUUCUGAAAAUGACAUCUGUGAAGUUUCAGGACUUUUGGAGCUGUGUAGAAUAGGUCUCUAAUAUUUGCUCCUUUUCCAGCCCAGAAUCCCAGCUGCCGACAUUCUCCCUCUUUAUGUAAACCUUGUAAAAUAAGAGAGAAUAGGCAUAAGUAUUGUGACAUAAUGUAUAAUAACAGCCCAUAAUGCAAUAAAUAUCGAUAUAAAAGCAUGAUGCAAAAUGGACGUAUCAACUCCCCCAAGCUUAGACCUGCUUGUCCUCAAGCGAAAGCCAAAAUCGAAAAAUAUGUCCACAUGUUUAGAGAUAGAGGUGUCGAUAAAAAUAAAAUACAGACAUGAGGGCAUCAUGAUCAUUCUUAGAACAACAACUUAUAUAAUUCUUGUCAUAUGAUCUCUUAUGCUAGAGUAACAAUUCAAUCACAAUUUCAAGUAUGAAUCAUAAACUUCAUUGAAAACUAACAAACUACAAUCUCAGUCAUUGGAGCAAUUGCAACUUACCAUAACAUAGGAAAGAGUCAAUAUAUAAGAGCUUUUCAACAAGUCCACAUACUCAACUAUCAUAUAGUCUUUCACAAUUGCUAACACUCACGCAACACUUAUGGGUAUGGAGUUUUAAUCGGACACAGAGAAAGAUAGGGGCUUAUAGUUUUGCCUCCCAAUGUUUUACCUCAAGGGUAAUGUCAACAAUGAUAGUUCAUGAAAACUCACAUCCAAUUAGCCAUAUAUACCAGGAUCUUUCCAACAUGUUGUGCUUGCCAAAAGAUAAAAUUUAAAAAAGGAAGGGUGAAGAUCACCAUGACUCUUAUGUAAGGUAGGAGAUAAAAGUAAAAGAUAGGCCCUUCGCAGAGGGAAGCAGAGGUUGUCAUGCGCUUUUAUGGUUGGAUGCACAAAAUCUUAAUGCGAAAGAACAUCACUUUAUAUUGCCACUUGUGAUAUGGACCUUUAUUAUGCAGUCCAUCGCUUUUAUUUCUUCAAUAUCACACGAUCAUAUAAAGCUUAUUUUCUCCCACACUAAUAAGUCAUACAUAUUUAGAGAGCAAUUUUUAUUGCUUGCACCGAUGACAACUUACUUGAGGGAUCUUACUCAAUCCAUAGGUAGGUAUGGUGGACUCUCAUGGCAAAACUGGUUUAAGGGUGUUUGGAAGCACAAGUAGUAUCUCUACUUAGUGCAAAGAAUUUGGCUAGCAUGAGGGGGAAAGGUAAGCUCAAUCAUGUUGGAUGAUCCAUGACAAUAUAAUUUAUCUCAGAUGUAAGAAAACAUAACCAAUUAGGUCGUCUUCCUUGUCCAACGUCAACUCUUUAACAUGUCAUAUUUUGAUGAGUGCUCAUAAUCAUAAAAGAUGUCCAAGAUAGUGUAUUUAUAUGUGAAGACCUCUGUUUCUUUAUUACUUCCUAUUAAUUGCAACGAUGACCAAAACUAUGUUUUUCAACUCUCAACAACUUUUAUUCAUCAUACUCUUUCUAUGUGAGCUCAUUACUCUCCAUAAGAUCCAUAUGAUCUAUUUGUUCUACUAGAUCAUGGCAAAAUAAUCAAGCGCUUGAGUCAACACUAAUAUUUAUUAUAUAUAGCUCACGGACUCGAUUACAUAGAAGGAUCAUAAAGCAAAACUCACAACUGGAUCAUACUAAAACUUUAUUCUACUAGAUCAAGAUAUUACCAAAAGGAUCGAACUAAGAAAGAUGGUAAAGAUAGAAGUGAUGGUGAUACGAUACCGGGGCACUCCCCCAAGCUUGGCAGUUGCCAAGGGGAGUGCACAUACCCAUGUGAUUAUGUCUCCUUCUUCGGGGAUGGUGAUGUGAUAUUCUUGGCGAUGAUGCCCCUCAGGAUACGAUUCUCCUCCUCGAACUUAUUGACUUGCUGCUUGAGGUCCAUUAUUUCCUUUCGAAGUUUUCCUGUAACAGCCAAAGCUCCCUGCACCCAAGGGUGUUGCAUAGCUGCGGGAGAACAAGUGACACUCUUUUUCAUAUUCUCAUAAGAAAGAAAUCUAACAUUGGAAGGGAUAACCGAAUUUUGGGAUAGUCGAGCUCUGCAGUCCCCCCAUUGUGAAUCCAGCUCGGAAGCGAGAAGUGACUUCUUGAUCCUCCUCCAUGGCAUCUAUCCUCUUCAAAUCAGCCUCCAUCUCUUACUCCGUUGCUGGCCCAAAGUGGUCAACAUUGUUGUUUGUCAUUGAUCUCGGUGCCGGAUGAGACACCCGGCUCUCUCCGACUGACUCUUGCGAAGACGUCUUGCUCUAAUCUGCAGCAGCAACAACUCGAAACACAAACAGAGGAUAAUUGCGUGAUACGGGAGUCAAAACCUUUGGAAGAUUAUAUAAUGAAUUUUUACCGACCAAAAUACGUAACGUGUAAGAAAACGGAGUCCGGAGAGCACACGAGGUGCCCACGAGGUAGGUGGGCGCGCCCUACCCCACCCUCGUGGAGGCCUCGUGUCCUUUCCGGACUGCUUCUUAUUUUUCUAUUUCUCUAAAUAUUCCAAAACGGAGAAAUAUUGCCAUAAAAACUGUUUUGGAGUCGGUUUACUUACCGUACCACAUACCUAUUCCUUUUCGGAGUCUGAAAUGUUCUGGAAAGUGUCCCUUAUGUAUUCCUCCAGGGUUACGGUUUCAAUAACAUUGGUUUCAACAUUUAUAGGAUUACCUGAGAUAUACUGUUUAAUUCUUUGACCGUUCACCACCUUCGGAUUUGUGCCUUCGAAAUUGUUGAUUUUUAUGGCACCGGAACGAUAGACCUCCUCGAUAACGUAAGGACCUUCCCAUUUAGAGGGAAGUUUUCCUGCGAAAAAUCUUAAACGAGAGUUGUAUAGCAAUACAUAAUCACCUAAAUUAAACUCAUGCUUUUGUAUUCUUUUGCCAUGCCAUCUUUUAACUUUUUCUUUAAAUAAUUUGGCAUUCUCAUAGGCUUGGGUUCUCCAUUCAUCAAGUGAGCUAAUGUCAAAUAACCUCUUCUCACCGGCAAGUUUGAAAUCAUAAUUGAGCUCUUUAAUAGCCCAAUAAGCCUUAUGUUCUAGUUCGAGAGGUAAGUGACAUGCUUUUCCAUAAACCAUUUUAUACGGAGACAUACCCAUAGGAUUUUUAUAUGCAGUUCUAUAGGCCCGUAAUGCAUCAUCAAGUUUCUUGGACCAAUUCUUUCUAGAUCUAUUAACAGUCUUUUGCAAAAUUAAUUUGAGUUCUCUAUUACUCAAUUCUACUUGACCACUAGACUGAGGGUGAUAAGGAGAUGCAAUUCUAUGAUUAACAUCGUACUUAGCAAUCAUUUUACGGAAAGCACCAUGAAUAAAACGUGAACCACCAUCAGUCAUUAAAUAUCUAGGGACUCCAAACCUCGGAAAAAUAACUUCUUUAAGCAUUUUAAUAGAAGUGUUAUGAACAACACUACUAGUUGGAAUAGCUUCUACCCACUUAGUAACAUAAUCAACAGCAACUAAAAUAUGUGUUUAUCCAUUAGAGGCAGGAAAAGGUCCCAUAUAAUCAAAGCCCCAAACAUCAAAUGGUUCAAUAACAAGUGAAUAAUUCAUAGGCAUUUCUUGACGUCUACUAAUAUUACCAAUUCUUUGACAUCCAUCACAAGACAAGACAAACUUACGGGCAUCCUUGAAGAGAGUAGGCCAAUAAAAACCGGAUUGCAAUACCUUAUGUGCAGUUUUGUCUCCAGCAUGGUGUCCUCCAUAAGCUUCGGAGUACACUUGUGUAGGAUCUGUUCCUGUUCAUGCUCAGGUACACAACGUCUAAUAACACCAUAUACUCCUUCUUUAUAAAGAUGUGGGUCAUCCCAGAAGUAAUGUCCUAAAUCAUAGAAAAACUUUUUCUUUUGCUGGUAUGUGAAACUAGGUGGUAUAAAUUUAGCAACAAUAUAAUUAGCAUAAUCAGCAUGCCAUGGAGUAGUACGAGAAGCAUUUAUGACAUUUAGUUGUUCAACAGGAAAGCUAUCAUCAAUAGGUAGUGGGUCAUGAAGAAUAUUUUCUAACCUAGACAAGUUGUCUGCAACGGGGUUCUCAGCUCCCUUUCUAUCAAUAAUAUGCAAAUCAAAUUCUUGUAGCAAGAGAACCCAUCUAAUAAGUCCAGGUUUAGCAUCUUUCUUUUCCAUAAGAUAUUUAAUAGUAGCAUGAUCUGUGUGAAUAGUUACUUUAGAAUCAAUAAUAUAGGGUCUAAACUUAUCACAAGCAAAUACAACUACUAGGAAUUCCUUUUCAGUAGUAGCAUAAUUUCUCUGAGCAUUGUCCAGAGUUUUACUAGCAUAUUGAAUAACAUUUAAUUUCUUAUCAACUCUUUGCCCUAGAACAACACCUACGGCAUAAUCACUAGCAUCACACAUAAUGUCAAAGGGUAAAUUCAAAUCAGGUGGCUGAACAAUAGGUGCAGAGAUUAAUGCUUUCUUCAGUAUUUCAGAUGCUUCUACGCAAUCAUCAUCAAAAACAAAUGGUAUAUCUUUUUGUAAUAAAUUAGUGAGAGGCCGAGAAAUUUUUGAGAAGUCCUUAAUGAACCUCCUAUAAAAACCGGCAUGACCAAGGAAACUUCUUAUACCUUUGAUGUCCUUGGGACAUGGCAUCUUUUAAAUAGAAUCUACCUUGGCUUUAUCAACUUCAAUACCUCUUUCAGAAACUUUAUACCCCAAGACAAUACAUUCAUUAACCAUAAAGUGACAUUUCUCCCAAUUCAAGACAAGGUUAGUUUCUUCACAUCUCUACAAAACUCGAUCAAGGUUGCUUAAGCAAUCAUCAAAAGAGGAUCCAUAGACGGAGAAAUCAUCCAUGAAAACCUCACAAAUCUUUUCACAAAAGUCAGAGAAUAUAGCCAUCAUGCAUCUUUGAAAGGUAGCUGGUGCAUUACAUAAACCAAAAGGCAUACGUCUAUAAGCAAAAGUACCAAAAGGCCAAGUAAAAGUAGUCUUUGAUUGAUCAUUGGCUGACACAUGUAUUUGGGAGAAACCAGAAUAACCAUCUAGAAAGCAAAAAUGUGUAUGCUUGGAUAAUCUUUCUAGCAUUUGAUCGAUAAAAGGUAAGGGGUAAUGAUAUUUUUUAGUAGCUUUAUUUAAUUUGCGGAAAUAAAUUACCAUCCUAUAACCUGUAAUAAUUCUUUGCGGGAUCAACUCAUCUUUAUCAUUAGGAACGACAGUAAUACCUCCCUUCUUAGGGACACAAUGGACAGGACUUACCAACUGACUAUCAGCAACGGGAUAAAUUAUACUUGCCUCAAGGAGCUUUAGUAUUUCCUUUCUUACCACUUCCUUCAUCUUAUGAUUCAGCCGUCGUUGAUGAUCACAAACUGGUUUGGCAUCUUCCUCCAAAUUUAUUUUGUGUUGACACAGAGUGGGACUAAUGCCCUUAAGAUCAUCAAGAGUAUAUCCAAUAGCAGUGUGGUGCUUCCUCGGAGUUUUCAAUAAUCUCUCUUCUUCAUGCUCUGAAAGGUUAGCACUAAUAAUAACAGGAUAUAUCUUCUUUUCAUCAAGAUAAGCAUAUUUAAGAGUAUCAGGUAACAGUUUAAGCUCAAACACGGGAUCACCCUUGGGUGGAGGAGGACCCCCUAGGAUUUCAACAGGCAAAUUGUGUUUCAGGAUGGGUUCGUAUUUAAAGAAUACUUCAUCUAUUUCCGUUCUUUCAUUCAUAAACAUAUCAUUUUCAUGGUCUAGCAAAUAUUGUUCUAAAGGAUCUCUAGGAGGCACAACAAUAGAAGCAAGACCAAUAAUUUCAUCUUUACUAGGCAAUUCCUCUUCACGGUGUUGUCUACAAAAUUUAGAGAAAUUAAAUUCAUGAGACAAAUCACCCAAACCAAUAGUAACAACAUCCUUUUUGCAAUCUAUCUUAGCAUUAACUGUGUUCAAGAAGGGUCUACCAAAUAUAAUGGGACAAAAUCUAUCUUGUGGGGAACCAAGAACAAGAAAAUCAGUAGGAUAUUUAGUUUUCCCACACAAGACUUCAGCAUCUCUAACAAUCCCAAUUGGUGAAAUAGUGUCUCUAUUGGCAAGUUUAAUUGUAACAUCAAUAUCUUCUAACUCAGCAGGUGCAAUAUCAUGCAUAAUUUCUUUGUAUAAGUCAUGAGGUAUAGCACUAGCACUAGCAACCAUAUCACACAAGCCACGAUAACAAUGAUCUCCUAUUUUAACAACAUGCAUGCCUACCACAGGUCUAUGUUUAUCUUUAGCACAAGGUUUAGCAAUUCUAGCAGUUUCAUCACAGAAAUGAAUAACAUGCCCAUCAAUAUUAUCAGACAGGAGAUCUUUAACAAUAGCAAUAUUAGGUUCAACUUUAACUUGCUCAGGAGGUGUAUAAGUUCUAAUAUUGCUUUUAUGAACCACAGUUGAAACUUUAGCAUGAUCUUUUAUCCUAACAGGAAAAGGUGGUUUCUCAACAUAAGCAGUAGGAACAAUAGGAUCAUUAUAGGUGACAGUCUUUUCUUCAACUUUAAUAGGUGCAGCUACUUUUACUUCUAUGGGAGGAUGAUAUUUAAACCACUUCUCCCUAGGGAGAUCAACAUGAGUAGCAAAAGGUUCACAGAAAGAGGCUACUAUCUCAGAGUCAAGUCCAUAUUUAGUGCUAAACUUACGGAAAACAUCGGUAUACAUAAAAGAUUUAACACAAUCAAACUUAGGUGUCAUACCUGACUCCUUACCUUCGUCGAGGUCCCAAUCUUCAGAGUUGCAUUUAAUUAUUUCCAAUAAAUCCCAUUUGAAUUCAAUAGUCUUCAUCAUAAAAGAGCCAACACAAGAAGUAUCGAGCAUGGUGCGAUUAUUAUCAGAAAGCCGAGCAUAAAAAUUUUGAAUAGUCAUUUCUCUUGAGAGCUCAUGAUUGGGGCAUGAAUAUAACAUUGAUUUAAGCGUCCCCCAAGCUUGAGCGAUGCUUUCUCCUUCGCGAGGCCAGAAAUUAUAUAUAUAAUUGCGAUCACGAUGAACAAGAUGCAUAGGAUAAAACUUCUGAUGAAAUUCCAGUUUCAAUCGUUUGUAGUUCCAUGACCCCGUAUCAUCACAUAGCCUAUACCAUGUCAAUGCAUCUCCCUUCAAAGAUAAAGGGAAGACAUUCUUCUUAAUAACAUCUCCGGGCACACCUGCAAGCUUAAAUGAUCCACAAACUUCAUCCACAUAUAUUAGGUGCUCAUCAGGAUGCUUUGUUCCAUCUCCUGCAAAAGGAUUAGCUAGCAGUUUUUCUAACAUACCCGAAGGAAUUUCAAAGAAGACAUUUUCAUUUUCAGUAGGUUCAGUAGGUUGAGGAGCAACUCUUUGCUCUACUGGUCGGGGUGAAGAUACCCCGAACAAGCUCCUCAGAGGAUUACUUUCCAUAGUAACAAGUGACAGUAAAUUUCAGCACACUAUAUAAAUUCUUCCUAACCAAAUUCCACCUACCAAAGGCGCUUCACUCCUAGGCAACGGUGCCAGAAAAGAGUCUUGAUGACCCACAAGUAUAGGGGCUCUAUCAUAGUCCUUUCAAUAAGUAAGAGUGUCGAACCCAACGAGGAGCAGAAGGAAAUGAUAAGCGGUUUUCAGCAAGGUAUUUUCUGCAAGCACUGAAAUAAUAGGUAGCAGAUAGUUUUGUGAUAGGAUAAUUUGUAACGAGCAACAAGUAACAAAAGUAAAUAAAGUGCAGCAAGGUGGCCCAAUCCUUUUUGUAGCAAAGGAAAAGCCUGGACAAACUCUUAUAUAUAGAAAAGCGCUCCCGAGGACACAUGGGAAUAUCGUCAAGCUAGUUUUCAUCACGUUCAUAUGAUUCGAGUUCGGUACUUUGAUAAUUUGGUAUGUGGGUGGACCGGUGCAUGGGUGCUGUCCUUAAUUGGACAAGCAUUCCACUUAUGAAUAACCUCUAUUGAAAGCAUCCGCAACUACAACAAAAGUAUUAAGGUAAACCUAACCAUAGCAUGAAACAUGUGGAUCCAAAUCAGCCCCUUACGAAGCAACACAUAAACUAGGGUUUAAGCUUCUGUCACUCUAGCAACCCAUCAUCUACUUAUUACUCCCAAAUGCCUUCCUCUAGGCCCAAAUAAUGGAUAAGUGUCAUGUAGUCGACGUUCACAUAACACCACUAGAGGAGAGACAACAUACAUCUCAUCAAAAUAUCGAACGAAUAUCAAAUUCACAUGACUACUAAUAGCAAGACUUCUCCCAUGUCCUCAGGAACAAACGUAACUACUCAAAAAGCAUAUUCAUGUUCAUAAUCAGAGGGGUAUGAAUAUGCAUAAAGGAUCUGAACAUAUGAUCUUCCACCAAAUAAACCAACUAGCAUCAACUACAAGGAGUAAUUAACACUACUAGCAACCUACAGGUACCAAUCCUGGACUUGGAGACAAGAAUUGGAUACAAGAGAUGAACUAGGGUUUUGAGAGGAGAUGGUGAUGGUGAAGAUGUUGAUGGAGAUUGCCCUCUCCCGAUGAGAGGAGCGUUGUGAUGACGAUGGCGAUGAUUUCCCCCUCCCGGAGGGAAGUGUCCCCGGCAGAACAGCUCCACCGGAGCCCUAGAUUGGUUCCGCCAAGGUUCCGCCUCGUGGCGGCGGAGUCUCAUCCGGAAAGAUGGCUUAUGAUUUUUUACUCAUCGAAAGACUCCUUAUAGCAGAAGAUGGCCACCAGGGGGCCCCCGAGGUAGGGGGCGCGCCCAGGGGGGUAGGGCGUGAUACGUCUCCAACGUAUCUAUAAUUUUUGAUUGCUCCAUGCUAUAUUAUCUACUGUUUUGGACAUUAUUGGGCUUUAUUAUCCACUUUUAUAUUAUUUUUGGGACUAACCUAUUAACCGGAGGCCCAACCGAGAAUUGUUUUUUUUUUUGCCUAUUUCAGAGUUUCGCAGAAAAGGAAUAUCAAACGGAGUCCAAAUGGAAUGAAACCUUCGGGAACGUGAUUUUUAGGAAGAUUAUGAUCCAGGAGACUUGGACUCUACGUUAAGAAAUNNNNNNNNNNNNNNNNNNNNNNNNNNNNNNNNNNNNNNNNNNNNNNNNNNNNNNNNNNNNNNNNNNNNNNNNNNNNNNNNNNNNNNNNNNNNNNNNNNNNNNNNNNNNNNNNNNNNNNNNNNNNNNNNNNNNNNNNNNNNNNNNNNNNNNNNNNNNNNNNNNNNNNNNNNNNNNNNNNNNNNNNGACGUACUCCUUCCUCCUAUAUAUACCUACGUACCCCCAAAUGAUCAGAGACGGAUCCAAAAAACCUAAUUCCACCGCCGCAACCUUCUGUAUCCACGAGAUCCCAUCUUGCGGCCUGUUCCGGAGCUCCGCCGGAGGGGGCAUCCAUCACGGAGGGCUUCUACAUCAACACCAUAGCCUCUCCGAUGAAGUGUGAGUAGUUUACCUCAGACCUUCGGGUCCAUAGUUAUUAGCUAGAUGGCUUCUUCUCUCUUUUUGGAUCUCAAUACAAUGUUCUCCCCCUCUCUUGUGGAGAUCUAUUCGAUGUAAUCUUCUUUUUGCGGUGUCUUUGUUGAGAUCGAUGAAUUGUGGGUUUAUGAUCAAGAUUAUCUAUGAACAAUAUUUGAAUAUUCUCUGAAUUCUUUUAUGUAUGAUUGGUUAUCUUUGCAAGUCUCUUUGAAUUAUCAGUUUGGUUUGGCCUACUAGAUUGAUCUUUCUUGCAAUGGGAGAAGUGCUUAGCUUUGGGUUCAAUCUUGCGGUGUCCUUUCCAGUGACAGUAGGGGCAGCAAGGCACGUAUUGUAUUGUUGCCAUCGAGGAUAACAAGAUGGUUUUUUAUCAUAUUGCAUGAAUUUAUCCCUCUACAACAUGUCAUCUUGCUUAAGGUGUUACUCUGUUAUCAUGAACUUAACACUCUAGAUGCAUGCUGGAUAGCGGUCGAUGAGUGGAGUAAUAGUAGUAGAUGCAGGCAGGAGUCGGCCUACUUGUCUUGGACGUGAUGCCUAUAUACAUGAUCAUACCUAGAUAUUCUCAUAACUAUGCUCAAUUCUGUCAAUUGCUCAACAGUAAUUCGUUCACCCACCGUAAAAUACUUAUGCUCUUGAGAGAAGCCACUAGUGAAACCUAUGGCCCCCGGAUCUAUCUUCAUCAUAUUAAUCUUCCAAUACUUAGUUAUUUCCUUUGCUUUUAUUUUACUUUGCAUCUUUAUCACAAAAAUACCAAAAAUAUUAUUCUAUCAUAUCUCACUCUCGUAAGUGACCGUGAAGGGAUUGACAACCCCUUAUCGUGUUGGUUGCGAGGAGUUAUUUAUUUUGUGCAGGUACGAGGGACUCACGCAUAGCCUCCUACUGGAUUGAUACCUUGGUUCUCGAAAACUGAGGGAAAUACUUAUGCUACUUUGCUGCAUCAUCUUUUCCUCUUCAAGGAAAUCCAACGCAGUGCUCAAGAGGUAGCAAGAAGAUUUCUGGGGCAGUUGCCGGGGAGGUUCACGCAAGUCAAGAUUUGACUCACGAGCCAUUUCUGGCGUCGUUGCCGGGGAGUCUACGCAAAAGUCAACAUACCAAGUACCCAUCACAACCCUUAUCUCCCGCAUUACAUUAUUUGCCAUUUGCCUCUCAUUUUCCUCUCCCCCACUUCACCCUUGCCAUUUUAUUCGCCCUCUCUCUCUAUCCUCCCUCUCUUUCUCUAUUUGCCUCUUUUUGCCCGCUUGCUUUUUGCUUGCUGGUGUGUUGGAUUGCUUGCUUGUCACGAUGGCUCAAGAUAACACUAAAUUGUGUGACUUUACCAAUACCAACAACUAUGAUUUUAUUAGCACUCCGAUUGCUCCUCUUACCGAUGCUGAAUCUUGUGAAAUUAAUGCCGCUUUGCUGAAUCUUGUCAUGAAAGAUCCGUUUUCCGGCCUUCCUAGUGAAGAUGCCGCUACCCAUCUAAAUAGCUUCGUUGAUUUGUGUGAUAUGCAAAAGAAGAAAGAUGUGGACAGCGAUAUUGUUAAGUUGAAGCUAUUUCCUUUUUCACUUAGAGAUCGUGCUAAAGCUUGGUUUUUGUCUUUGCCUAAAACUAGUAUUGAUUCUUGGAACAAGUGCAAAGAUGCUUUUAUCUCUAAGUAUUUUCCUCCCGCUAAGAUAAUCUCCCUUAGAAACAAUAUUAUGAAUUUUAAGCAACUUGAUCAUGAACAUGUUGCACAAGCUUGGGAGAGGAUGAAAUUAAUGAUACAUAAUUGCCCUACUCAUGGUUUGAAUUUGUGGAUGAUUAUACAAAUUUUUUAUGCCGGAUUGAAUUUUGCUUCUAGAAAUCUAUUAGAUUCGGCCGCUGAAGGCACUUUUAUGGAAAUCACUUUAGGAGAAGCUACUAAACUCCUAGAUAAUAUUAUGGUUAAUUAUUCUCAAUGGCAUAUUGAAAGAUCUACUAAUAAGAAGGUGCAUGCGAUAGAAGAAAUUAAUGUUUUGAGUGGAAAGAUGGAUGAACUUAUGAAAUUAUCUACACUACUAUUAAACAAUCAAACAAGAUCUUUUUACGUGCACCCCGUAGUUAGUCCCACAACCCCGCACGAACCAAUUAGCACCACACAAUUAGGCCCACAAUUCUAAAUCUAACAACCAUGAUUGAUCUAAUAACUCUAUGGUGUGCACGUAGCAAUUUCCAAGGGCUGACCAUGCUUCACCAGGAGAGGAGUACUGGAACUACCAGCCCCGCGCCCCUACAAUCACGGAAAUCUGAUCGCACGCAACUCCACGCCCUUGUAUUGGAACUACCAGUCCCGCGGCCGCUACAAUCACGGAAAUCUGAUCGCAAACUAAGGCAACUCCACGCCCUUGACCUCGAGAUCAUCGUCUGGCAUGACGACAACCUGGUGUCGGACACUACCCACCAACGGCGUCUCCUGCCUGCACGAUGACCUCGCCGCACUGCACCGCUCCGUCGCCUCCCUGCAUGAUCGCCAUCGCCGAUUAUUGCCGCUCAUAGCGUGGCAUUCGUCCUGCGAGAUCGCCAACGCCCAGGAGAGAUAGAGCCUCCUGCCCCAGCACCGGCCCUGCUGCCGCGCCCGUGGCCACCCUGCACCCGUGCCCGCUCCCGCCGCGUCCCCCGAACCAGCCGACCACACAUAGCUGUGAUUCUCCCAUGCACUUCUUCAGGUUCAAUUUCUUCCUAGCUGUUGCAACAAUACUCAUGAUUAGUAGAUGUUUAAGAAUAGAGUUCUAACUAAUAAGCCUUUGCACCUUCAUCUGUCUUUCUAACAAAAUCAUGCACCCUAUCUCCUGCUCCUGGUGUCAAAAAAAAGUUGGCUUUCAGAAUUUACAAGAGUGACUUGUGCACAGUGUACAACUCUGCUGAAACACAAUAUCAACAAAUAGGACAAUGUGGUAUGUUUACAGAGAUGAAAUGGAUAUUGCUUAUCUGCCUGUUAGUAAUAUAAAGCCAACAUCUGAUGUUGAUGUUCAUGAUUAUAUGCACAAUAUCCAUGCUUGUAACAAUUUGAGACAUGAAUAUUCACAUGAAGGCGAGGUAUGUCAUCUCCCAGUCGUGCAGGGGUGCGCUCCCCAUUUCAGGAUUUAAGCAACAACCAGCCAUUGGGUGAGUAUCAUCAAGCAAUUCCUAAUUUGUGCUACUGUUUUUGUUGUUGCUCGUGUGCUAACUUGUGGAUAAAAUUUACUAUGAAUGCAGGCCCUCACAUCCAAAUCUCAGGGGUUAAGGUACCCCAACUCUGCAGAAUACGUGACCCAGAUUGCACCAUUUAAGAUGCGGGUUAGUUCGUCGAUUUAAUUAUGAUGCAAAUGUGUCAACAAUGUUUAUUUGACCAUAAAUCUGGGUUCUCUUUCCUUUGUUCAGGUAUAGAGCCUUUUAUCGGCUCCAAUCCACUUGAAAAUACGCCGUAUAAUGAUACAAGAGUCCUUGUCGAACCGUCUCUGCAUGGUACUCAAAACACUACAAAUCUGCUAAUUACUUUUGCCUAUCCUACGUCUACUAUAAUGCGUACAUUGUAUGGCUCUACUGUUCUUAUGAUUUUCCAUAAUGGGCAAUGACCAGACAAAUGAUCCAUAUGGAAUGUUUGAGCCCAUUGUUGAGCAAACCAAUUUAGAAGGUACAUUAUAUAUAAUUAUUCUUCACAUAUCAAGGUCUUCAUCUAUAAAUUUUCUACAUUUAUGAUUGGCAAAUAUAGUGCCUACAAGACUGCUUGGAGCCAUUGCAUAAUGGAGAAGCUGCAUACCAUGAACCUGAUGAAGAAGCUAGAAUAUUUGUGGAUCAAGGUAUGUCCAUUGUGUAAUUUCCUAUUUAGCACCCUCAAGUGUGCAUUUUAUGAUAUAGAUCAGGACUUGGUUCAUAGGGCUAAUAGGUCUCUAGAUCUUAAUUGACCUCAUACGGAAGAUUCUGCAAAUACUAGAGUGUAACCCUUAUGCGCAAGCUUUCAAGAGCCAUGGGUCUGUACCGAAUCUACAUGAGUACAAAAUCUCACUAAACACGGAUAUCAACUUGGAUCAACGAAGGUACAAUGCCCGGAUGACUUCUCAAGUGGCAAAGAUAUGGGUUGAAGGGAGCGACCCACAAAAUUACUUUGACAUGAGUGUUGUCGUGCAUGGAAUAAAGGGAGACCGACCCCUAUAUAUUAGAGCAGAUUAGGGGUGCUACAACCCAUUGUCAUAUCCACUAUUUUUCCCAUGUAGGGAGAUUGGUUGAAAUCAUUACAUGCCAUAUGUUGGGCCCCUGGCUGACAUGAUCAAAAAUUUAGUGAAUAUUUUGCACCACAAGGAAACCAAGCCUCUGAUUUCUAUACAGGUAUGAUGUUCACUAUUAAUCUAAAUCCUCACUAUUUAUGAAUGAAAACUUAUGUUUCCAUCUAUAUAUCAGAUCUAUCGGAUGAAAAUUUGAUUACUGAAAGAAAGUAUUGACGGGCACUGACUUUAAAAGACAAAUAUAGAACAUGACUGGAAUAACCAUAUAUGUAUGUACGGAAGAGAUCUAACUAUCAGGCGACGCAUUAGUAAUAGUGAAAUAAACAUAAUACCAGUCAGAGGUAUUCACAUCUGAAGUUUUCUUUUCUUUGUCGAUUUCACAUAUCCCUUGGUCCCUGCAGAGGAGAAAUACCAUAGAUCCCUAUCAUACUUCAAUACACAAGGUCCAGCAACAGAUUAAGCUAUAAUUUUGACAACAACACCUAAAAGGAAACCUAAAACCUUGUAAAGCAAACUGUUCUUUUUUUGACAAUGUAAUGCAAACAAAUACUCCCCCCGUAAAGAAAUAUAAGAGUGUUCUUGUAUUUCUCUAUAGAGGGAGUACCACUCUGCAAUGAGAACUACAACUAUCCAUUUCAGUUCAGACCUUUGUAUGUACCACUGUAUCUCGCUACUAAAAAGGUAAAAUAGGAACAACAUGGAGAAACGAGUUUACAGUACCAACAACAUGGAGAAAAGAGUUCAUUACAUAUGAUUAAUAGUAACGUAAGCAUCAGAUCUUAAAUUUCGUCUAUAUUCAUAACAAAAGAUAUCAUUGCUGCUACUCAUAGGAAUAGAUAUUGCAGUAUCAGCUAUAUGAUAUCUGCAAUUUUGUACUCCCUCUGUAACCAACUAAGUUACAGGCUGCUGGUCAGUACAACUCAUAGGAAGAAAUUUAGUUAGUACAACCAGAUACUAGAACUCACAGGAAGAAAUAUUAUAGUUAGUAGAACCAAUUCUGAAAUUUAGUAGUUACGCGUGGGCUCACCAGCUGCCAUUGGCGCGCGGAGUGGGAGUUCUCGCAGUCGGCAAAGGCGAUGAUGAGCGCGACGCCUGCGGUGGUCUGCACCGCCAGAACCAUCCAGCGCUUGCUUCUUCGACCCCUCCCCCUCCGCGGGCCAACGCGCAUAUGGGGUUUGGCAUGGGCAGCUCGCCGGUGAAAGCGAAGCAUCCGAACCGCUCAAGCUGGUGAGGCGUCGGGGCCUGCUCCCUGCUCGGGCAACGCCAGCACAGGAUGGCCACGGCCACCGAUGCAGAUGAGACGAAUCCCGGGCCACCGCGUCCGCCUCAGGCGGCCCCUUGCGCUCGGUCGCUCGUGAGCUUGCCGAGCUCGAGUGUUGUUACCUCUUUUAGCACUGCGUUGGUUUUCCCCGAAGAGGAAGGAAUGAUGCAGCAAAGUAGCGUAAGUAUUUCCUUCAGUUUUUGAGAACCAAGGUAUCAAUCCAGUAGGAGGCUACGCGCGAGUCCCUCGUACCUGCACAAAACAAAUAAAUCCUCGCAACCAACGAAAAUAGGGGUUGUCAAUCCCUAUAGGGCCACUUACGAGAGUGGGAUCUGAUAGAUAUGAUAAGAUAAUAUUUUUGGUAUUUUUAUGAUAAAGAUGCAAAGUAAAAUAAAGGCAAAGUAAAUAGCAAAAUAAAUAACUAAGUAGUAGGAGAUUAAUAUGAUAAAGAUAGACCCGGGGGCCAUAGGUUUCACUAGUGGCUUCUCUCGAGAGCAUAAGUAUUCUACGGUGGCUGAACAAAUUACUGUUGAGCAAUUGACAGAAUUGAGCAUAGUUAUGAGAAUAUCUAGGUAUGAUCAUGUAUAUAGGCAUCACGUCCGGUACAAGUAGACAGACUCCUGCCUGCAUCUACUACUAUUACUCCACUCAUCGACCGCUAUCCAGCAUGCAUCUAGAGUAUUAAGUUAAAAACAGAGUAACGCCUUAAGCAAGAUGACAUGAUGUAGAGGGAUAGACUCAUGCAAUAUGAAGAAAACCCCAUCUUGUUAUCCUCGAUGGCAACAAUACAAUACGUGCCUUGCUGCCCUUACUGUCACCGAGAAAGGACACCGCAAGAUUGAACCCAAAGCUAAGCACUUCUCCCAUUGCAAGAAAUAUCAAUCUAGUAGGCCAAACCAAACUUAUAAUUCGAAGAGACUUGCAAAGAUAACCAAUCAUACAUAAAAGAAUUCAGAGAAGAUUCAAAUAUUAUUCAUAGAUAGACUUGAUCAUAAACCCACAAUUCAUCGGUCUCAACAAACACACCGCAAAAAGAAGAUUACAUCGAAUAGAUCUCCACAAGAGAGGGGGAGAACAUUGUAUUGAGAUCCAAAAAGAGAGAAGAAGCCAUGUAGCUACUAACUAUGGACCCGUAGGUCUGAGGUAAACUACUCACACUUCAUUGGAGAGGCUAUGGUGUUGAUGUAGAAGCCCUCUGUGAUUGAUGCCCCCUCCGGGGGAGCUCGAGAACAGGCCCCAAGAUGGGAUCUCGUGGAUACAGAAAGUUACGGCGGUGGAAUUAGGGUUUUGGCUCCGUAUCUGAUCGUUUGGGGGUACGUGGGUAUAUAUAGGAGGAAGAAGUACGUCGGUGGAGCAACAGGGGGCCCACGAGGGUGGCGGGCGCGCCUGGGGGGGAGGGGCAGGCGCGCCCCCUACCUCGUGGCCUCAUGUUAGUUGGCUUGAUGUAGGGUCCAAGUCUCCUGAGUUGUAUUCGGUGAGAAAAUCACGUUCCCGAAGGUUUCAUUCCGUUUGGACUCCGUUUGAUAUUCCUUUUCUUCGAAACCCUAAAACAUGCAAAAAACAGCAAUUCUGGGCUGGGCCUUCGGUUAAUAGGUUAGUCCCAAAAAUAAUAUAAAAGUGGAUAAUAAAGCCCAAUAAUGUCCAAAAUAGUAGAUAAUAUAGCAUGGAGCAAUCAAAAAUUAUAGAUACGUUGGAGACGUAUCAAGCAUCCCCAAGCUUAAUUCCUGCUCGUCCUCGAGUAGGUAAAUGAUAAAAACGGAAUUUUUGAUGCGGAGUGCUACUUGGCAUAAUUUUAAUGUAAUUCUUCUUAAUUGUGGUAUGAAUAUUCAGAUCCGAAAGAUUCAAGACAAAAGUUUAUAUUGACAUAGAAAAUAAUAAUACUUCAAGCAUACUAACAAAGCAAUUAUGUCUUCUCAAAAUAACAUGGCUAAAGAAAGUUAUCCCUACAAAAUCAUAUAGUCUGGCUAUGCUCUAUCUUCACCAGACAAAAUAUUUAAAUCAUGCACAACCCCGAUGACAAGCCAAGCAAUUGUUUCAUACUUUUGACAUUCUCAAAACUUUUUCAAUCUUCACGCAAUACAUGAGCGUGAGCCAUGGAUAUAGCACUAUAGGUGGAAUAGAGUGGUGGUUGUGGAGAAGACAAAAAGGGGAAGAUAGUCUCACAUCAACUAGGCGUAUCAACGGGCUAUGGAGAUGCCCAUCAAUAGAUAGCAAUGUGAGUGAGUAGGGAUUGCCAUGCAACGGAUGCACUAGAGCUAUAAGUAUAUGAAAGAUAAAAAAGAAACUAACUGGGUGUUCACCCAACUUGCUUGCUCAUGAAGACCUAGGGCAUUUUUGAGGAAGCCCAUCAUUGGAAUAUACAAGCCAAGUUCUAUACUGUAAGAUUCCCACUAGUAUAUGAAAGUGAUAACAUGAGAGACUCUCUACUAUGAAGAUCAUGGUGCUACUUUGAAUCACAAGUGUGGUAAAAGGAUAGUAACAUUGUCCCUUCUCUCUUUUUCUCUCAUUUUUUUAUUUGGGCCUUUUCUCUUUUUUUUAUGGCCUCUUUUUUUUCGUCCGGAGUCUCAUCCUGAAUUGUGGGGGAAUCAUAGUCUCCAUCAUCCUUUCCUCACUGGGACAAUGCUCUAAUAAUGAUGAUCAUCACACUUUUAUUUUUCUUACAACUCAACAAUUACAACUUGAUACUUAGAACAAAAUAUGACUCUAUGUGAAUGCCUCCGGCGGUGUACCGGGAUAUGCAAUGAUGCAUGAGUGACAAGUGUGAAAGAAUUAUGAACGGUGGCUUUGCCACAAAUACUAUGUCAACUACAUGAUCAUGCUACGCAAUAUAACAAUGAUGGAGUGUGUCAUAAACGGAACGGUGGAAAGUUGCAUGGCAAUAUAUCUCGGAAUGGCUAUGGAAAUGACAUAAUAGGUAGGUAUGGUGGCUGUUUUGAGGAAGGUAUAUGGUGGGUGUAUGAUACCGGCGAAAGGUGCGCGGUAUCAGAGAGGCUAGCAAGGGUGGAAGGGUGAGAGUGCGUAUAAUCCAUGGACUCAACAUUAGUCAUAAAGAACUCAUAUACUUAUUGCAAAAAUCUACAAGUUAUCAAAGCAAAGUAUUACGCACAUGCUCCUAGGGGGAUAGAUUGGUAGGAAAAGACCAUUGCUCGUCCCCGACCGCCACUCAUAAGGAAGACAAUCAAUAAAUAAAUCAUGCUCUGACUUCAUCACAUAACGGUUCACCAUACGUGCAUGCUACGGGAAUCAUAAGAUUCAACACAAGUAUUUCUCAAAUUCACAACUACUCAACUAGCAUGACUUUAAUAUCACCAUCUCCAGAUCUCAAAACAAUUAUCAAGUAUCAAACUUAUCAUAGUAUUCAACACACUCAUAAGAAAGUUUUAUUAUUAAUCUUGUAUACCAAGCAUAUUAGGAUUUUAAGCAAAUUACCAUGCUAUUAAGACUCUCAAAAUAAUCUAAGUAAAGCAUGAGAUAUCAAUAUUUUCUAUGAAACAAAUCCACCACCGUGCUCUAAAAGAUAUAAGUGAAGCACUAGAGCAAAAUUAUAUGACUCAAAAGAUAUAAGCGAAGCACAUAGAGUAUUCUAACAAAUUCCAAAUCAUGUAUGGCUCUCUCAAAAGGUGUGUACAGCAAGGAUGAUUGUGGUAAACUAAUAAGCAAAGACUCAAAUCAUACAAGACGCUCCAAGUAAAACACAUAUCAUGUGGUAAAUAAAAAUAUAGCUCCAAGUAAAGUUACCGAUAGAAGUAGACGAAAGAGGGGAUGCCUUCCGGGGCAUCCCCAAGAUUUGGCUUUUAGGUGUCCUUAGAUUAUCUUGGGGGUCCCAUGGGAAUCCCCAAGCUUAGGCUCUUUCCACCCCUUGUUCCAUAAUCCAUCAAAUCUUUACCCAAAAUUAGAAAACUUCGCAACACAAAACUUAAAGUAGAAAAUCUCGUGAGCUCCGUUAGUAAAAGAAAACAAAAGACCACUUCAAGGUACUAUAAUGAAAUCAUUAUUUAUUUAUAUGGGUGUUAUACCUACUGUAUUCCAACUUCUCUAUGGUUUAUAAACUAAUUUACUAGCCAUAGAUUCAUCAAAAUAAGCAAACAACACACGCAAAACAGAAUCUGUCAAAAACAGAACAGUCUGUAGUAAUCUGUAGCUAGCGCAAGAUCUGGAACCCCAAAAAUUCUAAAAUAAAUUUCUGGACGUGAAGAAUUUAUCUAUUAAUCAUCUUCAAAAAGAAUUAACUAAAUAUCACUUUCCAAAUAAAAAUGACAGCAGUUCUCGUGAGCGCUAAAGUUUCUGUUUUUUACAGCAAGUUCAACAAGACUUUCCCCAAGUCUUCCCAACGGUUCUACUUGGCACAAACACUAGUUAAACACAAAAACACACAACCAAAACAGAGGCUAAAUAAAUUAUUUAUUGAAUAACAGCAAGGAUAAAUAUUGGGUUGUCUCCCAACAAGCGCUUUUCUUUAAAGCCUUAUAGCUAGGCAUAAGAUUUCAACGAUGCUCACAGGAAAGACAAGAAUUGAAGCACAAAGAGAGCAACAUAAAAUGCGUGACAAACACAUCUAAGUCUAACAUACUUCCUAUGCAUAGGCACCUUAUAGGUAAACAAAUUAUCAAGGCAAGCAAAAACUAGCAUAUGCAAGGAAGCGGAAAUAAACAAUAGCAAUGUCGACAUAAUGAGAGGUAAUUUAGUAACAUGAAAAUUUCUACCACCAUAUUUUCCUCUCUCAUAAUAAUUACAUGUGGGAUCAUAAGCAAAUUCAACAAAAUAGCUAUCACAUAAAAUAUUUUCAACACGAUCCACAUGCAUGCAAAGUUGACACUCUUUCAAAAUAGUGGGAUUAACAUUAACUAAAGUCAUGACCUCUUCAAACCCACUUUUAUCAAAAACUUCAUAAGAUUGAACAUUAUCCAAAUAUGUGGGAUCUAAAGUUGACACUCUUGCAAACCCAGUUUCAAUAAUAUUGCAAACACUAUUAUCAAUCUCAUAUUCAUCAUGGGGCUUAAAUAAAUUUUCAAGAUCAUAAGAAGAAUCACCCCAAUCAUGAUCAUUGCAACAAGUAGAGGACAUUGCAAAACUAGCAUCCCCAAGCUUAGGGCUUUGCAUAUUAUUAGCACAAUUUACAUAAACAGAAUUUAUAAUAAAAUCAUUGCAAUCAUGCUUUUUAUUCAAAGAUCUAUCGUGAAUCGCUUCAUAAAUUAAUUCAUUACACUUUUCAGAUCCACGAAUUUCAAGCAAAACCUCAUAAAGAUAAUCUAGUGCACAAAACUCACUAGCACUUGGUUCAUCAUAUUUGGAUCUCUUAAAAAGAUUAGCAAGCGGAUGAGGAUCCAUAGAUCUUAGGUUCACUGUUUAGUAAUAAAUAAACAACUAUUCCAAUCAAACGAGAAAAUGAGCCAACUAAGGCAUUAAAGAAAACAGAAAAGAGGGCGAAUAAAAAUGUCAAGGGUGAAGUGGGGAGAGGAAAACGAGAGGCAAAUGGCAAAUAAUGUAAUGCGGGAGAUAAGGGUAUGUGAUGGGUACUUGGUAUGUUGACUUUUGCGUAGACCUCCCCGGCAACGGCGCCAGAAAUCCUUCUUGCUACCUCUUUUAGCACUGCGUUGGUAUUCCCCGAAGAGGAAGGGAUGAUGCAGCAAAGUAGCGUAAGUAUUUCCCUCAGUUUUUGAGAACCAAGGUAUCAAUCCAGUAGGAGGCUACGCGCAAGUCCCUCGUACCUGCACAAAACAAAUAAAUCCUCGCAACCAACGCAAAUAGGGGUUGUCAAUCCCUAUAGGGCCACUUACGAGAGUGAGAUCUGAUGGAUAUGAUAAGAUAAUAUUUUUGGUAUUUUUAUGAUAAAGAUGCAAAGUAAAAAUAAAGGCAAAGUAAAUAGCAAAAUAAAUAACUAAGUAGUAGGAGAUUAAUAUGAUAAAGAUAGACCCGGGGGCCAUAGGUUUCACUAGUGGCUUCUCUCGAGAGCAAUAAGUAUUCUACGGUGGGUGAACAAAUUGCUAUUGUGCAAUUGACAGAAUUGAGCAUAGUUAUGAGAAUAUCUAGGUAUGAUCAUGUAUAUAGGCAUCACGUCCAAGACAAGUAGACCGAUUCCUGCCUGCAUCUACUACUAUUACUCCACUCAUCGACCGCUAUCCAGCAUGCAUCUAGAGUAUUAAGUUAAAAACAGAGUAACGCCUUAAGCAAGAUGACAUGAUGUAGAGGGAUAGACUCAUGCAAUAUGAAGAAAACCCCAUCUUGUUAUCCUCAAUGGCAACAAUACAAUACGUGCCUUGCUGCCCUUACUGUCACCGGGAAAGGACACCGCAAGAUUGAACCCAAAGCUAAGCACUUCUCCCAUUGCAAGAAAGAUCAAUCUAGUAGGCCAAACCAAACUUAUAAUUCGAAGAUACUUGCAAAGAUAACCAAUCAUACAUAAAAGAAUUCAGAGAGGAUUCAAAUAUUAUUCAUAGAUAGACUUGAUCAUAAACCCACAAUUCAUCGGUCUCAACAAACACAUCGCAAAAAGAAGAUUACAUCGAAUAGAUCUCCACAAGAGAGGGGGAGAACAUUGUAUUGAGAUCCAAAAAGAGAUAAGAAGCCAUCUAGCUACUAACUAUGGACCCGUAGGUCUGAGGUAAACUACUCACACUUCAUCGGAGAGGCUAUGGUGUUGAUGUAGAAGCCUUCUGUGAUUGAUGCCCCCUCUGGCGGAGCUCCGGAACAGGCCCCAAGAUGGGAUCUCAAGGAUAAAGAAAGUUACGAUGGUGGAAUUAGGGUUUUGGCUCCGUAUCUGAUCGUUUGGGGGUACGUGGGUAUAUAUAGGAGGAAGAAGUACGUCGGUGGAGCAACAGGGGGCCCACGAGGGUGGAGGGCGCGCCUGGGGGGAGGCGCACCCAACCUCGUGGCCUCCUAUUAGUUGGCUUGACGUAGGGUCCAAGUCUCCUGAGUUGUAUUCGGUGAGAAAAUCACGUCCCGAAGGUUUCAUUCCGUUUGGACUCCGUUUGAUAUUCCUUUUCUUCGAAACCCUAAAACAGGCAAAAAACAACAAUUCUGGGCUGGGCCUCCGGUUAAUAGGUUAGUCCCAAAAAUAAUAUAAAAGUGGAUAAUAAAUCCCAAUAAUGUCCAAAACAGUAGAUAAUAUAGCAUGGAGCAACCAAAAAUUAUAGAUAUGUUGGAGACGUAUCAAGUGCCUCCUCGGGGACUUCAGGGACCGGAUCAACGAGAAGGGGCAUGUGGACCUCGCGCCGACUGUGGGGACGAAGGGUAGGGGCUGCCUACGAGGUGGAAAGGGGGAGCCGGCGAUCAGGAGAAUGGGGAAUGGCGUGGACAAUUGAGCAUACCCCGCGGGGGCGAUGGAGAGACUCAGAGUGAGCAGCGUUGUUCAUUUUUAACGGGUGUGUUUAAUUUAUCUACAUGGGUCUGAUCUUUCUAGGGAAGGUCUGAUUUUUUUAUCAUCAGUCUUGUCACAAGGAUUUCACAAAGAAAAUUUUCGUCGUAAUCAUUUGAUGAUUUUGAAAAUCUUGUAAAACUAUUUGUAAAUAAUUGAAUAUAUUAAAAUCCUGUAAUCACACAUGUCAUGUUGUGGUCUGCGAACAUUAAAUUUUACGGAUGUAAAAUUAAAAAUAGAUAUUUUUAUUAUUGAUUACGUUACGUGCGUUGCACGUGCACGUUUACUAGUUUGCUAAGAGUGUUUCUUCUGAUCCUAAUGAUAUGCCCUUUGUCUACUUUGAUUGAGAACAAUAAUGAAUCUAUGGAUGUGAAUUUUGUUGGUAGUGAUAAUUUUGUUAACAACGCGUAUAGAAGCAAAUAGGAAUUAUGUGCCCGUAGAUUUUAUUGUUGUUGACAUAGAUUGCAAUCCUUCAUGUCCUAUUAUCCUUGGUAGACCUUUCCUUAGAACGAUUGGUGCAAUUAUUGAUAUGAAGGAAGGAAAUAUUAGAUUCCAAUUUCCGUUAAGGAAAGACAUGGAACACUUUCCUAGAAAGAAAAUUGAAUUACCUUAUGAAUCUAUUAUGAGAGCCACUUAUGGAUUGCCUACCAAAGAUGGCAAUACCUAGAUCUAUCCUUGCUUUUUAUGCCUAGCUAGGGGCGUUAAACGAUAGUGCUUGUUGGGAGGCAACCCAAUUUUAUUUUUAUUCCUUACUUUUUGCUCAUGUUUAGUAAUAUAAAUAAUUUACCUAGCCUCUGUCUUGGUUGUGUUGAAUUAGUGUUUGUGCCAAGUAGAACCGUUGGGAAGACUUGGGGAAAGUCUUGUUAUCUUGCUGUAAAAAACAGAAACUUUAGCGCUCACGAGAACUGCUUCCAUUUUUAUUUGGAAAGUGCUAUUUAGUUAAUUAUUUUUGAAGAUGAUUAAUAGAUAAAUUCCUCACGUCCAGAAAUUCAUUUUAGAAUUUUUGGGGUUCUAGAUCUUGCGCUAGUUACAGAUUACUACAGACUGUUCUGUUUUUGACAGAUUCUGUUUUACGUGUGUUGUUUGCUUAUUUUGAUGAAUCUAUGGCUAGUAAAAUAGUUUAUAAACCAUAGAGAAGUUGGAAUAAAGUAUGUUUAACACCAAUAUAAAUAAGGAAUGAUUUCAUUAUAGUACCUUGAAGUGGUCUUUUGUUUUGUCUCGCUAACUGUGCUCACGAGAUUUUCUACUUUAAGUUUUGUGUUGUGAAGUUUUCAAGUUUUGGGUAAAGAUUUGAUGGAUUAUGGAACAAGGAGUGUCAAGAGCCUAAGCUUGGGAAUUCCCAUGGAACCCCCAAGAUAAUCUAAGGACACCUAAAAGCAAAAGCUUGGGGAUGCCUCGGAAGGCAUCCCCUCUUUCGUCUACUUCCAUCGGUAACUUUACUUGGAGCUAUAUUUUUAUUCACCACAUGAUAUGUGUUUUGCUUGGAGCGUCUUGUAUGAUUUGAAUCUUUGCUUUUUAGUUUACCACAAUCAUCCUUGCUGUACACACCUUUUGAGAGAGCCAUACAUGAUUUGGAAUUUGUUAGAAUACUCUAUGUGCUUCACUUAUAUCUUUUGAGUUAUAUAGUUUUGCUCUAGUACUUCACUUAUAUCUUUUAGAGCACGGUGGUGGAUUUGUUUUAUAGAAAAUAUUGAUCUCUCAUGCUUCACUGAGAUUAUUUUGAGAGUCUUAAAUAGCAUGGUAAUUUGCUUAAAUAAUCCUAAUAUGCUAGGUAUUCAAGAUUAGUAAAAAAUUUCUUAUGAGUGUUUUGAAUAGUAAGAGAAGUUUGAUGCUUGAUGAUUGUUUUGAGAUAUGGAGGUAAUAAUAUCAAAGUCGUGCUAGUUGAGUAGUUGUGAAUUCGAGAAAUGCUUGUGUUGAAGUUUGCAAGUCCCGUAGCAAGCACGUAUGGCAAAUGUUAUGUAACAAAUUUGAAACCUGAGGUGUUCUUUGAUUGUCCUCCUUAUGAGUGGCGAUCGGGGACGAGCGAUGGUCUUUUCCUACCAAUCUAUCCCCCUAGGAGCAUGCGCGUAGUGCUUGGUUUUUGAUGACUUGUAGAUUUUUGCAAUAAGUAUGUGAGUUCUUUAUGACUAAUGUUGAGUCCAUGGAUUAUACGCACUCUCACCCUUCCAUCAUUGCUAGCCUCUUCGGUACUGUGCAUUGCCCUUUCUCACAUUGAGAGUUGGUGCAAACUUCACCGGUGCAUUCAAACCCCGUGAUAUGAUAAGCUCUUUCACACAUAAACCUCCUUAUAUAUUCCUCAAAACAGCCACCAUACCUACCUAUUAUGGCAUUUCCAUAGCCAUUCCGAGAUAUAUUGCCAUGCAACUUUACACCAUUCCGUUUAUCAUGACACAUUCAUCAUUGUAAUAUUUCUUAGCAUGAUCAUGAAGUUGACAUAGUAUUUGUGGCAAAGCCACCAUUCAUCAUUCUUUCAUACAUGUCACUCUUGGUUCAUUGCAUAUCCCGGUACACCGCCGGAGGCAUUCAUAUAGAGUCAUCUUUUGUUCUAGCAUCGAGUUGUAAGCAUUGAGUUGUAAAUAAAUAGAAGUGUGAUGAUCAUCAUUUUCUAGAGCAUUGUCCCAAGUGAGGAAUUAAAAAAAGGAGAGAGAAAAGGAGAGAAGGGACAAUGCUACUAUCCUUUGCCACACUUGUGCUUCAAAGUAGCACCAUAAUCUUCAUGAUAGAGAGUCUUUUGUUUUGUCACUUCCAUAUACUAGUGGGAAUUUUUCAUUGUAGAACUUGGCUUGUAUAUUCCAACAAUGGGCCUCCUCAAGUGCCCUAGGUCUUUGUGAGCAAGCAAGUUGGAUGUACACCUACUUAGUUUCUUUUGUUGAGCUUUCAUACAUUUAUAGCUCUAGUUCAUCCGUUGCAUGGCAAUCCCUACUCCUUGCAUUAACAUCAAUCGAUGGGCAUCUCCAUAGCCCAUUGAUUAGCCUCGUUGAUGUGAGACUUUCUCCUUUUUUGUCUUCUCCACAUAACCCCCAUCAUUAUAUUCUAUUCCACCCAUAGUGCCAUGUCCAUGGCUCGCACUCAUAUAUUGCGUGAAAGUUUAUAUGUUUGAGAUUACUAAAGUAUGAAACAAUUGCUUGGCUUGUCAUCGGGGUUGUGCAUGAUGAGAGCAUUCUUGUGUGACGAAAAUGGAGCAUGACUAAACUAUAUGAUUUUGUAGGGAUGAACUUUCUUUGGACAUGUUAUUAUGAGAAGACAUAAUUGCUUAGUUAGUAUGCUUGAAGUAUUAUUAUUUUCAUGUCAAUAUGAACUUUUAUCUUGAAUAUUUAGGAUCUGAAUAUUCAUACCACAAUUAAGAAGAAUUACAUUAAAAUUAUGCCAAGUAGCACUCCGCAUCAAAAUUAUCUUUUUUAUCAUUUACCUACUCGAGGACGAGCAGGAAUUAAGCUUGGGGAUGCUUGAUAUGUCUCCAACGUAUCUAUAAUUUUUGAUUGCUCCAUGUUAUAUUAUCUACUAUUUUGGACAUUAUUGGGCUUUAUUAUCCACUUUUAUAUUAUUUUUGGGACUAACCUAUUAACUGGAGGCCCAGCCCAGAAUUGUCGUUUUUUGCCUAUUUCAGAGUUUCGCGGAAAAGGAAUAUCAAAUAGAGUACAAAUGGAAUGAAACUUUCGGGAACGUGAUUUUUAGGAAGAUUAUGAUCUAGGAGACUUGGACCCUACAUCAAGAAAUAAAGGAGGAAGCCACGAGGUAGGGGGCGCGCCUACCCCCCAGGCGCGCCCUCCACCCUCGUGGGCCCCCUGUUGCUCCACCGACGUACUCCUUCCUCCUAUAUAUACCUACGUGCCCCCAAACGAUCAGAGACGGAGCCAAAAAAACCUAAUUCCACCGCCGCAACCUUCUGUAUCCACGAGAUCCCAUCUUGGGGCCUGUUUGGGACCUCCGCCGGAGGGGGCAUCCCUCACGGAGGGCUUCUACAUCAACACCAUAGCCUCUCCGAUGAAGUGUGAGUAGUUUACCUCAGACCUUCGGGUCCAUAGUUAUUAGCUAGAUGGCUUCUUCUCUCUUUUUGGAUCUCAAUACAAUGUUCUCCCUCUCUCUUGUGGAGAUCUAUUCGAUGUAAUCUUCUUUUUGCGAUGUGUUUGUUGAGAUCGAUGAAUUGUGGGUUUAUGAUCAAGAUUAUCUAUGAACAAUAUUUGAAUCUUCUCUAAAUUCUUUUAUGUAUGAUUGGUUAUCUUUGCAAGUCUCUUCGAAUUAUCAGUUUGAUUUGGCCUACUAGAUUGAUCUUUCUUGCAAUGGGAGAAGUGCUUAGCUUUGGGUUCAAUCUUGCGGUGUCCUUUCCCAGUGACAGUAGGGGCAGCAAGGCACGUAUUGUAUUGUUGCCAUCGAGGAUAACAAGAUGGGGUUUUUAUCAUAUUGCAUGAAUUUAUCCCUCUACAUCAUGUCAUCUUGCUUAAGGCGUUACUCUGUUAUCAUAACUUAAUACUCUAGAUGCAUGCUGGAUAGCGGUCGAUGAGUGGAGUAGUAGUAGAUGCAGGCAGCAGUCGAUCUACUUGUCUCGGACGUGAUGCCUAUAUACAUGAUCAUACCUAGAUAUUCUCAUAACUAUGCUCAAUUCUGUCAAUUGCUCAACAGUAAUUCGUUCACCCACCGUAAAAUACUUAUGCUCUUGAGAGAAGCCACUAGUGAAACCUAUGGCCCCCGGGUCUAUCUUCAUCAUAUUAAUAUUCCAAUACUUAGUUAUUUCCUUUGCUUUUUAAUUUGCUUUUAUUUUACUUUGCAUCUUUAUCACAAAAAUACCAAAAAUAUUAUUCUAUCAUAUCUAUCAGAUCUCACUCUCGUAAGUGACCGUGAAGGGAUUGACAACCCCUUAUCGCGUUGGUUGCGAGGAGUUAUUUGUUUUGUGCAGGUACGAGGGACUCUCGCAUAGCCUCCUACAGGAUUGAUACCUUGGUUCUCAAAAACUGAGGGAAAUACUUACGCUACUUUGAUGCAUCAUCCUUUCCUCUUCAAGGAAAUCCAACGCAGUGCUCAAGAGGUAGCAUGGCGCGCCCCCCACCCUCGUGGGCAGGGUGUGGCCCCCCUGGUGAACUUCUUGUGCUCGGUAUUUUUUAUAUAUUCUGAAAAUGACUUCCGUGAAGUUUCAGGACUUUUGGAGCUGUGCAGAAUAGGUCUCUAAUAUUUGCUCCUUUUCCAGCCCAGAAUCCCAGCUGCCGGCAUUCUCCCUCUUUAUGUAAACCUUGUAAAAUAAGAGAGAAUAGGCAUACAUAUUGUGACAUAAUGUGUAAUAACAUCCCACAAUGCAAUAAAUAUCGAUAUAAAAGCAUGAUGCAAAAUGGACGUAUCAUUGGUAGAUUUGUUUUAUAGAAACCAUUGUUCUCUCAUGCUUCACUUAUGGUAAUUUUCUUAAAUUAUGUUAGGCAUUCAAGAUUAAUAAUAAAAUUUUCUUAUGAGUGUGUUGAAUACUAUGAGAAGUUUGAAACUUGAUAAUUGUUUUUGAAAUAUGGAGAUGGUGAUAUUAGAGUCGUGCUAGUUGAGUAGUUGUGAAUUUGAGAAAUGCUUGUGUUGAAGUUUGUGAUUCUCGUAGCAUGCACGUAUGGUGAACCAUUAUGUUAAGAAGUCGGGGCACGAUGUAUUUAUUGAUUGUCCUCCUUAUGAGUGGAGGUCGGGGACGAGCGAUGGUCUUUUCCUACCAAUCUAUCCCCCUAGGAGCAUGUGCGUAAUACUUUGCUUCGAUAACUAAUAGAUUUUUGCAAGUAUGUGAGUUCUUUAUGACUAAUGUUGAGUCCAUGGAUUAUACGCACUCUCACCCUUCCACCAUUGCUAGCCUCUCUAAUACCGCGCACCUUUCGCCGGUAUCAUACACCCACCAUAUACCUUCCUCAAAACAGCCACCAUACCUACCUAUCGUGGCAUUUCCAUAGCCAUUCCGAGAUAUAUUGCCAUGCAACUUUCCACCGCUUCGUUUACUAUGACACGCUCCAUCAUUGUCAUAUUGCUUCGCAUGAUCAUGUAGUUGACAUUUUAGUUGUGGCAAAGCCACCCUUCAUAAUUGUUUCAUAUAAGUCACUCAUGCAUCAUUGCUAUCCUGGUACACCGCCAGAGGCAUUCAUAUAGAGUCAUACUUUGUUCUAGUAUCGAGUUGUAAUCAUUGAGUUGUAAACAAAUAGAAGUGUGAUGAUCAUCAUUCAUAGAGUAUUGUCCCCCAAAAAAGAGAAAGGCCAAAUAAAAAAAAGAAGGCCCAAAAAAUAUAAGUAAAAAGGGGCAAUACUACUAUCCUUUUUUCCACACUUGUGCUUCAAAGUAGCACCACGAUCUUCAUGAUAGAGAGUCUCUUAUGCUAUCACUUUCAUAUACUAGUGGGAAUUUUUCAUUAUAGAACUUGGCUUGUAUAUUCCAACGAUGGGCUUCCUCAAAUGCCCUAGGUCUUCAUGAGCAAGCAAGUUGGAUGCACACCCACUUAGUUUAUUUUGUUGAGCUUUCAUAUACUUAUAGCUCUAGUGCAUCCGUUGCAUGCCAAUCCCUACUCACUCACAUUGAUAUCUAUUGAUGGGCAUCUCCAUAGCCCGUUAAUACGCCUAGUUGAUGUGAGACUAUCUUCUCCCUUUUUGUCUUCUCCACAACCACCAUUCUAUUCCACCUGUAGUGCUAUGUCCAUGGCUCACGCUCAUGUAUUGCGUGAAGAUUGAAAAAGUUUGAGAACACCAAAAGUAUGAAACAAUUGCUUGGCUUGUCAUCGGGGUUGUGCAUGAUUUGAAUACUUUGUGUGGUGAAGAUGGAGCAUAGCCAGACUAUAUGAUUUUGUAGUUUGGCCAUGUUAUUUUGAAGAGACAUAAUUGCUUAGUUAGUAUGCUUGAAGUAUUAUUAUUUCUAUGUUAAUAUUAAACUUUAGUCUUGAAUCUUUCGGAUCUGAAUAUUCAUACCAAAAUCAAGAGAAUUACAUUGAAAUUAUGCCAAGUAGCAUUCCACAUCAAAAAUUCUGUUUUUAUCAUUUACCUACUCGAGGACGAGCAGGAAUUAAGCUUGGGGAUGCUUGAUACGUCUCCAACGUAUCUAUAAUUUUUUAUUGUUCCAUGCUAUACUAUAUCCUGUUUUGGACAUUAUUGGGUUUAUUAUACACUUUUAUAUUAUUUUUGGGACUAACCUAUUAACCGGAGGCCCAACCCAGAAUUGCUUUUUUUUUUGCCUAUUUUAGGGUUUCGCAGAAAAAGAAUAUCAAACGGAGUCCAAACGGAAUGAAACCUUCGGGNNNNNNNNNNNNNNNNNNNNNNNNNNNNNNNNNNNNNNNNNNNNNNNNNNNNNNNNNNNNNNNNNNNNNNNNNNNNNNNNNNNNNNNNNNNNNNNNNNNNNNNNNNNNNNNNNNNNNNNNNNNNNNNNNNNNNNNNNNNNNNNNNNNNNNNNNNNNNNNNNNNNNNNNNNNNNNNNNNNNNNNNNNNNNNNNNNNNNNNNNNNNNNNNNNNNNNNNNNNNNNNNNNNNNNNNNNNNNNNNNNNNNNNNNNNNNNNNNNNNNNNNNNNNNNNNNNNNNNNNNNNNNNNNNNNNNNNNNNNNNNNNNNNNNNNNNNNNNNNNNNNNNNNNNNNNNNNNNNNNNNNNNNNNNNNNNNNNNNNNNNNNNNNNNNNNNNNNNNNNNNNNNNNNNNNNNNNNNNNNNNNNNNNNNNNNNNNNNNNNNNNNNNNNNNNNNNNNNNNNNNNNNNNNNNNNNNNNNNNNNNNNNNNNNNNNNNNNNNNNNNNNNNNNNNNNNNNNNNNNNNNNNNNNNNNNNNNNNNNNNNNNNNNNNNNNNNNNNNNNNNNNNNNNNNNNNNNNNNNNNNNNNNNNNNNNNNNNNNNNNNNNNNNNNNNACCCUAAUUCCACCGCCGUAACUUUCUGUAUCCACGAGAUCCCAUCUUGGGGCCUUUUCCGGAGCUCCGCCGGAGGGGGUAUUGAUCAUGGAGGGCUUAUACAUCAACACCAUAGCCUCUCCGAUGAAGUGUGAGUAGUUUACUUCAGACCUACAGGUCCAUAGUUAUUAGCUAGAUGGCUUCUUCUCUCUUUUUGGAUCUCAAUACAAAGUUCUCCCCCUCUCUUGUGGAGAUCUAUUCGAUGUAAUCUUCUUUUGCAGUUUGUUUGUUGAGAUCGAUGGAUUGUGGGUUUAUGAUCAAGUUUAUCCAGGAACAAUAUUUGAAUCUUCUCUGAAUUCUUUUAUGUAUGAUUGGUUAUCUUUGCAAGUCUCUUCGAAUUAUCAGUUUGGUUUGGCCUACUAGAUUGAUCUUUCUUGCAAUGGGAGAAGUUCUUAGCUUUGGGUUCAAUCUUGCGGUGUCCUUUCCCAGUGACAGUAGGGGCAGCAAGGCACAUAUUGUAUUGUUGACAUCAAGGAUAACAAGAUGGGGUUUAUAUCAUAUUGCAUGAGUUUAUCCCUCUACAUCAUGUCAUCUUGCUUAAAGCGUUACUCUGUUCUCUUGAAUUUAAUACUCUAGAUGCAUGCUGGAUAGCGGUCGAUGUGUGGAGUAAUAGUAGUAGAUGCAGGCAGGAGUCGGUCUACUUGUUUUGGACGUGAUGCCUAUAUACAUGAUCAUACCUAGAUAUUCUCAUAACUAUGCUCAAUUCUGUCAAUUGCUCAACAGUAAUUUGUUCACCCACCGUAAUACUUAUGCUCUCGAGAGAAGCCUCUAGUGAAACCUAUGGCCCCCGGGUCUAUUUUCCAUCAAAUUAAUCUUCCAAUACUUAGUUAUUUCCUUUGCCAUUUAUUUUACUUGCAUAUUUAUUUCUCAUUAUCAUAAAAAUACCAAAAAUAUUAUCUUAUCAUAUCUAUCAGAUCUCACUCUCGUAGGUGACCGUGAAGGGAUUGACAACCCCUUUAUCGCGUUGGUUGCGAGGAGUUUAUUUGUUUGUGUAGUUGCGAGGGACUCGUGCGUGGCCUCCUACUGGAUUGAUACCUUGGUUCUCAAAAACUGAGGGAAAUACUUACGCUGCUCUACUGCAUCACCCUUUCCUCUUCAAGGGAAAACCAACGCAGUGCUCAAGAGGUAGCACGCUGCCGCCGGGCCCCCGCCCAAGAUUCCGACGAAAGCAGCCGGCAGGAGCUCGCCGAAAGGCCGCCACACGCACGAGGCCUCCCCUCUCCCACCCCCUGUAUCGGCGGGCCGCCGGAUUUGCGGAUCUGUGGACCUUCAUCGCGGGCCGCCGGAUUUGGCUUUUCCGGCCGCCGAUGGCUGCGCCGAGCGAUGGAGUGGUAAGGGAGCAUCUCCCGCAGCCCCGGAAAGGGCGCAUUGCCGCAUGCAGGUACGAGUUCGUCCCCUCGACUCCGCCGAUGAUUUGCGGUCAUGGAUUCGUCCGGCCGUCCACCGGGCUCGGCGCUCGCGUAACGGCUCUGUGGCUCGCCGAUGCCGCUCAUACAGUGCGAUGACUGCACACGGACAAAGCUGCGGCUAACUUCAGGCAUGCCGAAGCACCCCGGUUGGGUGUUCUUCAAAUGCGAAAACGAUGGGGUAUGUGCACUUGCAGUAGCUCAUUUUGAUAGCUCAUUCUUUGGUUCAAUUGCGGUAGCUCAUUUCGAACAUGCUCAUUCAUGUGUGUAGGAAGAUGGAUGCUCAUUUUGGUUUUGGGAAGGCGAAUACAUUGAUUUAUUGAUAGGAAGAAACUUAAUAGACGUUGACACACUCCUUAGAAGAAUCGAAGGCAAUGAUGCGGCUGCAUGUGCAACUAGAGGGGAAGCAACAUCUACUUCUUUCGAACCAAAGAUGAAGAAAGAAGAAUGCAAAAUCAAGAAUCCACAGAUAAACAAUGAAUGCAUGGAGAAGAUAUUAAUCCAACUAGUGGGAGCAGUUAUGGAAGUUGGAAAUCUUCUAAAAUGCAUACUUGUGGUUCUUGUUUUCUUUGGUCUUGCUAUUCUAGCAAAGAUUUGGUGAUGUCUUAUGUAUCCAAUGUUAUUGAAAAAGCAAAGAAAUGCAUUAUGUUGGAUCAAAUUAAGGUGCAAAUUUAGGUUUUCCGGGCCAGGAGGAGCUGCGGCAGAUCAGACCCCGCAAAGCCGACCUGUAAAAGAGCAUAUUCCACGAAUAUCCAUUUUUACGGGUCUGUUAUGUGGGGUCUGCAACUGGGGCCGUCCGCGCCGGCCCGCAAAGGCGUUUUUCCACGAACCGCAAGCACGUUUUGCGGGCCGGUGGGAUGCGGGGUGAGGGAGUCCUGGAUUAGGGGGUGUCCGGAUGGCCAGACUAUACCUUCAGCCGGACUCUUAGACUAUGAAGAUACAAGAUUGAAGACUUCGUCCCGUGUCCGGAAGGGACUUUCCUUGGCGUGGAAGGCAAGCUUGGCGAUACGGAUAUGCAGAUCUCCUACCAUUGUAACCGACUUUGUGUAACCCUAACCCUCUCCGGUGUUUAUAUAAACCGGAGGGUUUUAGUCUGUAGGACAACAUACAGAUUAACAAUCAUACCAUAGGCUAGCUUCUAGGGUUUAGCCUCUCUGAUCUCGUGGUAGAUCUACUCUUGUACUACCCAUAUCAUCAAUAUUAAUCAAGCAGGAUGUAGGGUUUUACCUCCAUCAAGAGGGCCCGAACCUGGGUAAAACUUUGUGUCCCUUGCCUCCUGUUACCAUCCGGCCUAGACGCACAGUUCGGGACCCCCUACCCGAGAUCCGCCGGUUUUGACACCGACAUUGGUGCUUUCAUUGAGAGUUCCUCUGUGUCGUCGCCAUCAGGAAGGAUGCCUUGCCCCGUCUUUAAAGAUGGCACUGUUGCUAAGGGAGCUUUGGCUGUCGGCCAAACCCUCCGGCUAGGUGGUUUUCUUAUGACCGCCUGUUCGGCUUCUGCGCCGACGAUGACCUCUUGAUCCAUCGAAAACAAUCUUCACGUCAGCUCGGAACUCGCCGAGCAGUUAGAUCCAAUGGAGCUCUCCUCCAUAAACGAGCUCUUGGAUCGCAUCGCCGCCCUGGGAGUCGCUACGGAUUACGACCAGAUUGGGCCUAAGCCCGAUCUGAGAGAGAUUAACUCUCCCCAAGUCACCCAUCACGUUGCCAUGGUAGAGGGACAGUGUGGCGACCCCUCAUCUAUCUUAAGGACUAGCUACGUCCGUAUUCCCGAUCCCUCCAAGCCGGAUACCUGCGGAGGGGAGGAUAUCACUCAAGACCUGAACCUAGAGUCAGGCGACGGACUGGAUUCAUUGGACAACAUCCAGGAAUCCAAAUUCUCGAGUUCGGAAAUUCCUCGGCCUCUGGGCCUCAGAUGGGGUGAGGCUUCGGAUUUAAUUCCACCCACCCACCCGAACAUAAGUGAUCUAUCCCAAAUUAGGCAAGAGCCCGAAGAAACAAUACAUCAUUACUGGGCCAAAUUCCUCCUGGUUAUGAACAGGAUAAAGGACUGCCGCGAGGAAGACGCAAUUUCAUUCUUCUGCAAUAAUUGCAAGGACAAGGGAAUCCUCAACGCCAUAAGUCGUCGUGAUAUUACAUGCUUCACUGACUUGGCGUCCAUAGUACGAAAGUACUGUGCGAUGGAAAGCGCCUGGAAAACCGAAAUAAAUUUUGGGACGAUCCGGCCCUGAAUACAAACCCAGUCCGAAAUAAAAGGGUGCACCAUCGCCAGACACCCGGGUCAAACACCAAAAAGCAAAAACCCUCUACAGGGCAUGGAACCGUAUUGGAAGGAUGGCUUAAUGAACCCUGUAAAAUUCACAGUACAGAGGACGCAACACCAACUCACAGCCUUAGAGCAUGUUGGAUACUCCGGCAAGUGGCCAAAAUUGGCGAAGAUCUCCUAAUUCUGGAGGCCACAGAAAGCCACCCUAGAGACACCAAUACGGUAUUAACAGUCUUCGAGACUUUCGCAUCAAAUAACAUGCGAAAAAGGACACUCCGCAGCCAUGCCGAAAUCUACCAAGUGGCAACAAUAAACCCAUGGAGUGACACGGCUAUUACCUUUAACGCCAGUGAUGAACCUAAAUUCCGAACAGCCCGAGUACCAGCUGCAUUGGUCCUCAGUCCAAUAGUGGACGGCUUUCAUCUUACCAAGGUACUCAUGGACGGCGGCAGCGGAUUGAACCUCAUUUAUGAGGAAACCCUUCAAAAAAUGGAAAUAGACUGGAACCGCAUUGAGCGAAGCAGCACAACCUUUAGAGGAAUAAUCCCCAGUCGGGAAGCGCGCUGUACAGGAAAAAUCACACUAGAUGUGGUGUUCGGCACGCCAGAUAAUUACAGGUCCGAAGAGGUCACAUUCCAUGUGGCUCCGUUCAGCAGCGGUUAUCACGCUCUGCUAGGGCGGGAAGCGUUUACAAUCUUCCAAGCAAUACCCCAUUACGGGUACAUGAAGCUCAAGAUAACCGGGCCCAACGGGAUCAUCACUCUCGCUAGUGAUCCGGACAUAGCACUCCGCGCCGAAAACAAGACAGCCGCACUGGCCCUCGAGGCACUAUCCGAAGCCCUAGCGGCUGAGGAACUGACUGCGCUGCGCUCCACGGUGAAUAGAGACGAUGUGGUACUCGACAAAAGAUCCAAGUCCACCUCCUUUAAACCGGCGGACGAAAUAGUCAAAUUCCAGGUCCAUCCAACGGACCCCAAUAAAAUAGAUUCCAUCGGGGCAUAGUUAAACCCGGAUGUAGAUGCCGCACUGCAAGAGUUCCUACGAGAGAACUGGGACAUUUUCGCCUGGCACCCUUCAGACAUGUCAGGAAUCCCAUGCAGGUUGGCCGAGCACAGCUUAAAUAUCCUAAAAGAAUUCAAACCUGUCAAGCAAGCUCUUCGGCGUUUUUCUGAACCUAAGAGACAGGACAUGGGAGAGGAGCUAGCAAAGCUAUUGGAGGCCGGAUUCAUCAGAGAUAUAAAACAUCUGGACUGGCUAGCAAAUCUGGUUAUGGUACCAAAGAAGGACAAAUCCUGGCGCCUGUGCGUUGAUUUUAAAGACCUUAACAAGGCUUGCCCAAAGGAUCCCUUCCCCCUCCCCCGCAUCGAUCAAAUUAUCGACGCUACCACAGGACACGAUUCAUUGUGUUUCAUCGAUGCAUAUUCCGGCUACCAUCAAAUCAAGAUGGCAGAAUCAAACCAAGCCGCAGCGGCAUUUAUCACACCAUACGGCCCAUUCUGCUUCAACACAAUGCCCUCCGGGCUCAAAAACGCCGGCGCAACAUAUCAGUGCAUGAUUUAGACAUGUCUGGCAAACCAGAUCGACAAAACAGUGGGGGCAUAUGUAGAUGAUGUGGUCGUCAAAACAAGACAUGUCGAAUCUCUAGUAGACGACUUGAGGCUCACAUUUGAUAACCUCUGAACAUACGACAUCAAGCUCAACCCGGAAAAAUGCGUUUUCGGCGUCCCAGCCGGAAAGCUCUUGGGCUUCAUUGUAUCCGGUAGAGGAAUUGAAGCAAAUCUAGCCAAGAUCCGAGCUCUGUCACAAUUGGAUAUCCCAAAGAACCUCAAACAAAUAAAAAAGUUAACCGGAUGCGUGGCGGCUCUAAGCCGCUUUAUCUCCCGCUUGGGAGAAAAGGCCCUACCCCUUUACCGCCUCCUUCGGCGCACCGAACACUUCGAAUGGAUGGAUGCAGCCACGGCCGGACUCCACGAAAUAAAAGCCAUAUUGGCAACAAACCCAGUCCUGGCCGCGCCAAACAUUGGCGAACCAAUGCUAUUGUACAUUGCAGCAACACAUCAGGUGGUAAGCGCAGUGCUCGUCGUCAAACGAGGAACGGACGGACACAAAUCCCCCUUCAAAAGCCGGUCUAUUAUGUGUCCACUGUCCUCACUCCGUGCAAAUCAUGGUACCCGCAUUAUCAAAAGAUUGCUUACACGGUAUUCAUGGCAUCCCGGAAGCUACGACACUACUUUCAAGAGUGUUCAAUAAUAGUAGCCUCGGAAGUACCACUUAACGAUAUUAUAAACAACCGUGACGCAACGGGCCGGAUUGCAAAAUGGGCCAUUGAGCUCUUCCCGUUCGACAUAACUUAUAAGCCACGGCGAGCCAUCAAGUCGCAAGUUUUGGCCGACUUUGUCGCAGAAUGGACGGAGGCCGAACUCCCUAAAGAGUACGGCACAUAUUCAAAUUGGAUCAUGCAUUUCGACGGCUCCAAGAUGUUGGCCGGACUAGGGGCUGGCGUCGUUUUGACGUCCCCCACAGGAGACACAGUUCAAUACGUACUCCAGAUUAUGUACAAAGACUCCAACAAUGCAGCCGAAUAUGAGGCCCUUUUACAUGGUCUCCGGAUGGCAGUAUCCAUGGACAUUCAACGCCUAGAAGUGCGCGGGGACUCGAACCUCGCAAUAUCCCAAAUAAAUGGAGACUUUGAUGCCAAGGAUCCAAAAAUGGCAGCUUACCGCAACGUCGUCCUAAAAAUGUCAGCUCGGUUCGAAGGGCUUGAAUUUCACCAUAUAGCCCGGGAAAAUAAUCAGGCGGCAGAUGUCCUGGCACGCAUCGGCGCAAAACGCGAUAUAGUCCCUCCCAACAUCUUCUUGGAAAGGCUGUUCAAGCCAUCUGUAGUAUGGGAAGGGGAGCCGAACAAUAACAGCCCGGACCCAACCGCACUGCCCGACACCUAACAUUCUGACACAAUCGGAGGCUCUGCCAAUGAAAUAACACCUUCAGCCCACGUAAGAAUGGCCGUCAUCGCCCCGUGGAUAGAACCAUUCAUCGCCUACCUUACUAGGCAGGAACUCCCCGAGGACCAAAAUGAGGCACGCUACAUAGUGCGGCGAUCCAAAGCCUACAGAGUCCACGAGGGAGAGCUUUAUAAGAAAAGCACUACCGGAGUCCUUCAAAGGUGCAUCUCCGAAGAGGAAGGGCGGAACCUCCUGGCUGAAAUUCAUGCCGGACUCGGCGGUCAUCACGCUGCAGCUCGGUCCCUUGUAAGCAAGGCCUUCUGUACAGGCUUUUAUUGGUCGACGGCCCGGGCAGACGCCCAGGACUUAGUCCAACGAUGCACCGGUUGCCAGCUCUUUGCAAACCAAAGCCAUAUGCCACCCACCGCCCUCCAAACUAUCCCCAUUACUUGGCCCUUCGCGGUUUGGGGGCUUGACAUGGUUGGACCCCUUAAAGGCGGAACCCACAAGCAAAAAUACUUACUGGUCAUGGUGGAUAAGUUCACCAAAUGGAUAGAAGCCAAACCUGUUAAGACGGUCGAAUCCGGACCGGUGAUAGACUUUAUAUCCGGGGUUGUACACCGUUACGGAGUCCCCCACAGCAUCAUCACUGAUAACGACACGAGCUUUAUGGCUGACGAGGUAAAACUCUGGUGCAAAAACAUGGGCAUCAAGCUCGAUUAUGCUUCCGUCUAUCACCCACAAACUAACAGCCAGGUCGAACGUGCAAAUGGUCUUAUCAUGAGCGGCAUCAAACCUAGAUUAGUGUGGUCCCUCAAGGAAUCUACCACGCACUGGGUAGAGGAGCUCGACUCCGUACUCUGGGGGCUGCGGAACAUGCCGAAUCGCACCACCAGAUACACACCAUUCUUUAUGGUGUACGGCGCAGAGGCAGUUUUGCCUUGCGACAUAAUUCAUGACUCACCUCGAGUGCGCAUGUACGAAGAAAGAGAAGCCGAGCUCGACCGACAGGACAGUUUGGACGCAUUGGAGGAGGAGUGCAACGUGGCAAAAGCCCGUUCCGCAUUCUAUCAACAGCAGGCUCGAAGAUACCAAAGCAGAGAAGUACGGGCCAAAAAUUACAACGUUGGCGAAUUAGUUCUACGCCUGCCGGACAAGAAAAAGGACAAACUCAAGCCCAAGUGGGAAGGUCCCUUCAUAAUUGACCAAGUCCUGACUGGUGGAGCAUACCGCCUGCGAGAUGCAUCGGAUAACCGACUCGAGACGAACCCAUGGAACGCAACCCGUCUCCGAAGAUUCUAUGCCUAGCACCGGACUCUAUGUUCGUCUCCUUCCUCUGUCCAUUUUUUAUAUAUACUGUUUGUCUUACAUUUCUCUCCUUCACCCCUUCCUUUCUCUUAUAGCCUCUAAAGGCUCAUCAAAUGACGUGCUAUUCGCACUCAUUAAACUUGGGGGCUUCUUUUACCAGAAGCUUAUUUAUACGGGCUUCAUGCCCAGCACAUGUGUUACACUUCCGCACGUACCAUUUAUUUCACCAUUAUAUGCAUCGAUAUGACUUAAGUUUUGGCCAAGCUGGGUUGUCUGGCUCUUGUGCUUACCCCUACGUUCCCGAUUAUUCGGCUAGGCGGUAAAGGGAGCACCUCUGCGAUUGUUACUGCCGGAUCAGCCGGAUGUGUACCUCAGACUGGGUGAAGCCGAAAGCUAGCGUUCUUAAGGGAAUAUUCGGUCGGUGACCUAAAAGAUGAUCUUUUCACUUAUUUAUGCGCCCCCAGAUGCUUUUUCCUGCGUCUUUCUCGCAGAAUGGGCAUGCACUUUAGGGCAUGCCUCCCAGGGAAAGGAACCCCUAACGGAACUAUUCUCCCUGGAAGAUGUUUCUUACUAACCAUGUAAUAUAACAUAACUAGUCGGGCACUUGUCUGUUCACGCACUAAUGACCCCUACGCCUGGUCUCCACUCAUUCCCCGGUUCUUAUAUAGCCGCACGGGAAUUCGGACACACUCCGGACCGUCGGGUCCCGAGGCUGAAGCGAAAAGGUCGGCCAUGACAAACGAUCUACAAUCCGGCUAGAAGGAAUUAUAAAUGUCAAUUAAAUUACAUAGUCAUUCUGACUGAUUGUAUUCCUCUUCAAUACCAUCUAACAGGCUGUCUAAUUUACAGUCCUGCUGGGAAUACUUUGCGGCCAAUUCUACUUGGUCGUAUACUAAGCUUACAGGGAUCUCCUUCGCAUCGGGCCCCACAGGGCUGACCUCGGCCAUG